UGCUGGGAGGUACUCAGUUAAGCGUUUCCGGAAGGCCCAAUGUCCCAUUGUUGAGAGGCUUACGAACUCUCUUAUGAUGCACGGUCGUAACAACGGCAAGAAAUUGAUGGCCGUCAGGAUUGUUAAGCAUGCCAUGGAGAUCAUUCACCUUUUGACUGACCAGAACCCAAUUCAAGUCAUUGUUGACGCUGUCAUCAACAGGUAUUGAAGUCUGAUUUCUCUAAAACAUUGUGGAAGUUUUUCUUUGCUAUUUAUGCAACUGGUUUAUCGAUGUGCUCUUUUAUUGAAUUAUCUCGAAUUUCCUUUGUUGCUGCAGUGGUCCAAGGGAAGAUGCUACCCGUAUUGGAUCUGCUGGUGUUGUUAGGCGUCAGGCUGUGGAUAUUUCCCCAUUGCGCCGUGUGAAUCAAGCGAUCUAUCUACUCACCACUGGUGCUCGUGAAUCUGCUUUUCGUAACAUCAAGACUAUUGCCGAAUGCUUGGCCGAUGAACUCAUUAAUGCUGCCAAGGGUUCAUCUAACAGGUAACCAACCAAUCAUGGCCUUGGUUCUGCUCUGUUACUUCUUUACUUACAAUUUCUUGAAACUGAUUGUUACCACUUGCAUUUUCAGCUAUGCGAUCAAGAAGAAGGAUGAGAUUGAGAGAGUGGCAAAGGCCAAUCGCUGAGGACGUGAUAGUGGAGAAGCAGAUGCAGAAAGUUGUACUUUUAAAAAAAAAAAAAACUUUUGGACGAUGUUUUGUUGCUAUUUUAUGAAUGUUGUUUCAAGUUUUGAGUAGAUGAUAUUGAGGAUGCAUUUAGUGACUUACUAGUUCCAUAUGCCAUGUGGUGGAUGUUACGAUGGAGUCUGCACAACUUAGUCAAACUAGAAUUUGAUGGUUUAUAAAUUCUGCUGUUUGUGAUUACCACAGUGCUUCUUGAAUGCAUUCUUCUGAAGAUUGAUGUGAUUUUUUCUCUCUUUAUUACUGGCAUAUCCUUAGAAUUUAAAUGGUUUUUUAAUGUUAUAUAUAUAUAUAUAUAUAUCAUUCAAUGAGGUCACUUUGACUUGGCCCGUAGGCGAAUGUUGAGUCUUUGAGUUCUUAAUUGCAUUUUGAAAAUUAAUCUUAUUUCUUAAUCAAUAUCCAUAAUAUAAUAUGAAAACCAAAUUUGUGAAUUUGAUUCAAGCUUUCCCUGUCCAAACCCAAGCCCAAGUCGAAGCCCAGGGGUCUGUUAAUAAAAAUUAAAAGAAAACAUAAAAUUAAAGGAAAGCAAUAGAAAUUCUCCUGCGGUCAAAAGGUUUUGUAAGAAAAAGAAUUUUGUUCUUACCGGAUUUCUUGAGGAAUAUCGAUAAGGUUACUUUUUGUGUGUGUGUAUUUAAUAGGGUACCUUUAGAGGGGUGCUUCUUAUAAGUCUAUUUAUAAAAUAGUUCGAUGCGGAUUAUUUAUAAUUGUUAGAUGCAAACAAACUUGUUGACAUUUCAAAUAUUUUUUUUUCAAUAGAAUAACAAGAGUAAUGAUACACUUUCGUGAGGGAAUUUACUAAAAAAUUGAAAGCAAUCGAAUUUUCUAACUAAGGUACUAGUAAAAAAUAAAGUAUUAUUUUAUGCUAUAUAAUACGUAAUAUUUUCAAAAGAUAGAGCAAAUUCAAGUUUCAAUUAGUAUUCCCUAAUUAUACUCAUUUAUGUUCGUAGAGCAACAAUAAAGAAUUGCAUAAAAUUAAAUUUGAUAGAAAUCAUAAGUUAAUUCAUAUCGUUCUUCAAUAAAAUAUGAACUAGGUAUUUUGGUUUGUUUAUUCUUUAUUUAUUCAAAAUCAUUAACUAGUUUUUCUCGACAUGUAUUGAUUAUUUACUGGGUGAGGCUAAUUACACUUUAAAAACUGAUUUCAACACUCUAUUACUUUGAACACUCAUUUAUUAAAUUUAAAAAAUUAUAUUUUACUUUGUAUACUCUUUCAAAUACCAAAACAAUUCCUUACUUAAACUACUUUAAUUAAUUAUCUUUAUUUACUCCGCACACUUAUAAAAAUACUCAUCUUAAAAAAAUAAAAUAAGGCACUCAAAAUUUUUAUGGAUUAGUUUGUAAUUUAAUAAUUUAUUUAAAAUAAUUCAUUUAAGAUCUUUUAGAGAAGUAAGAUUAUAAUUUCUGCUGGUUUUCUUUAAAGUAAUUUCUGUUGGUAUUAUUAAUGAAUAUUUCACUCAUUCAAUUAACGCCAUGACUACAACUUAGAAGAAUAAAAAAUAAAUGGAUCAUGGAUGAAUACUUUUCUCAAUCAACAUGGUCAACGUACAAUUUCACUUAAAUGAAUUUUCUAACUUAAUAGAUGUUUGUGGUCUAUAGUCAUUCUUAAUGGCCGUGAUUCAUAAUACAUUGGCACGAACCUGUUAAUUAACACUUAUAUUUAUGUAAAUUUAAUAAUUCGCAGUCGGUGGAUUGAAUAUUGAUCUAUUUUUGUAAAUUCGUAAAAAUCCGAGAAUCCGUAAAAAAUUAAAAAGUAUUUAUUUAAUUAAAAAUAAAACUUGUAAAUAUGACAUUAGUACUUGCUAGUAAAUAAAUAAGUUAAAAUAUAGUUACAUUAACACUAUAUUAUAUCUUAUUCGAUAAUAACAUAAAAUAAAAAAUAACUAAAUAAACAAAUAUAGCUUCCUAAAUAGUAAAUUUUCAUUUUGGUGUGUUAUAUUUUGAAACUUUAAAUACAUUUUCUAGUUUUAUUUAAACAAUUAAUUUAUUUAAAUCUUAUUUAAUUUUAAAUUUGAUCGGUAGUAAAAUUAUUUUUAUAUUAAUUUUUUUUAUUUAGUUAAUUCGUGGAUUGGACAUAAUUAAAAAUUUUCAGUCCAUAAACCAAUCCGCAAAAUGAUGGAUUUGGUCAAAUCCUCAUAUGAUCCAUAGAUGUAUGAAUUAGAUUUAGAUUGAAUUUCACCAAUAUAUGGAUUGGAUUGGAUUGAAAAUUUAUAGUCCGUAAAAUUGUGGAUUGGAUAUGGAUUGUUGUCCAAUCCAUAAAAUCUGAUCCGCGAACACCCCUAAGGGUCGGUUUGGGAUUGCGGUUGAAAUUCAAUAAGCCACUUAUUUCAUAAUUUUUGAUAAAAAUAUUGUUUAAUAAAUUUUAUAAAAUCGGCUUAUUUCAUAAUUUUCUCAAUUUUAUCAGCAACUUUUAAAAGCAGGUAAGGAAUUGCUUUUCGUAAGCAGUUUAUUUAAUAAGCUACCACACCUUUUUAAAAUUCUUAUUACAACCCUGCAUUUUAAUCAAAAGACAAUUGUAUCUUACUUAUUCAUAAACGCUAAUAUAUAAAUCAUCAUAUAUCAUAUUAUCGCUAUAAUUUAGUUACCACCAUAAUUACGUACAUUCUCUCCGGUUUUGAUUCGGUAAGUUCAUAUUCUAAUUGAGUUUUCUAAUGUAAGUUCAUAUUCUAAUGUAAUUUUACAUAUUUAUGAAAAAAGAUAUGUCUAAAUAAUUUAGUAAAUAUACUCUAAAAAUAACAAGUAAUUAAAACUUAUGUUUAUUUUGGUCAUCAUAUAAUAAAACAACACUUUUGUGAGAAAAUUUAUCAAACGCAUGUACUCUACUUUUUAAACUUACAGUAACCACAACAAUACAAUUUACCAAAUAUUAAAUUAUUUUUUUAAUCAGUAGCUUAUUUUAUUUACACGACACAAAUAAUUUAUUUCAUCAGCCCCGUAAUCUCAAACUAACACUAGGAAUAACUGAUUUGAUAUUGUUACCUUACUUGAAGAGUUUAAUGCUGUUGAUUAAAAGGAAAAUAAAAUUUAAGAACUGGGACCAAACAUGCCAGGCCCAGCCCAAAGAUCCUUCAUUUGAGAAAAUUAAAAUCAAAUAAAAAAAAAGAAAAAAAGAAAAAAAGCUCUUAGGUGGCUUAAACGGUUAAACCUGCUCUGCUCGACUGCUCCGCUCCGCUCCGUAGUUUUUUUCAUCGGGUCCGGGUAGAGACCCAAAGGUCUUGAGCGACCGAUCCGGCUGAACAACUCAAAAGAUAAAGAAGUAUCGUAAGUGCAAACUGAAUUUGUUUCUUGCAAUGAAGCUUGUGCGCCUGAGAACAACGCUGUACAACAUCAAAGCACAAUUGGGUCUCGGGAAUGUAUUGGAUUCUUCUUCCUCUUACUCGACGGCGACAAGAACUACGACUCGAGAAGUGACAAAUAGUUUGCGGAAGGGUUCAUCAAUGUAUAAGCUUUACCGCAUGCUUUCUCCAAUGGGGGACCCAAAUGAUUCAAUGGUUCCGCUGCUCGAUCAAUGGGUCGAAGAAGGACGCCCAUUGGAUAUGGAACAGCUCCGAAUCAUCAUUAAGAAGUUUCGGUUGUACAAACGAUUCUCUCACGCUCUCCAGGUAUUAAAAGUCGUAAUAAUUUUAUUAUUAUUUGCAUUGCAAUUUUCAAAAAAGUUCUGUUGAAAAUGUUUGUUACUGUAAUGAUUUUAUGGCUCCAAAAAAUUUGUAUCAUGUUCCCCUUUGAUGGCAUUUUGAGAUGUAGUAGUAGAUUUGGGAAUUGUAGCGGGAUAGCCUAGCCUCAUGAACCCGGAUAGCUAAAACUUUCAUUUUUGCUCUAUGUUGUGUAGUUCAUAUAUGGAUUAUCUGAAAUUGAAACGAUUUCAGUUUCAUUACUAGUUUUUGGACUGUAUUUUUGCACCUUUGCUCCCAAGCCUGUUGAUGGUCCUGUUGGUUGAUGAGAAUAGAUUGAUUGAGUUAACAAGUCUACUUAACUUAAUGAGACUGAUCAAGGGAGCCGUUUUUUGUUUUCUGUAAAUUCGACUUUCGGGGAAGCAUACUGGAUUUGAGCUACCUGUGAUAAGUGGAACCAUUGGUUUCUUGUUAUUAGUAAGGAUGCUUAUUCUGUUUUAUGAUUUCAUUUUUUUGUCAUCUCAUUGGUUUAUCUCCCCGUCCCCCUUCCUUCCCAGAUAUCUAUGUGGAUGACCAAGAAGAGCAACUUCGUACUCACACCUGCUGAUGUUGCCAUUAGGCUAGACUUGAUUGCUAAAGUUCAGGGAAUAGAACAAGCAGCAAAUUAUUUCAAUUGUGUUCCAGAAAAGUUAAAGCUUCCCAGCGUUUAUAUUGCUCUCCUCAAUGCCUAUGCCUGUGCAAAAUCUGCAGAAAAGGCAGAGAUUAUCAUGCAGCAAAUGAGGGAUCGGGGGUUGGUUAAAAAAACUAUAGAUUACAAUUCCAUGAUGAAUGUUUAUUAUCAGACUGGAAAUUACAAGAAACUUGACAGUCUGAUGCACGAAAUGGAAGAAAAGGGUAUUGAUUGUGACAAAUAUACAUUCAGCAUCCUUCUCAGUGCGUAUGCAGCUGCUUCUGAUGGUGAGGGAAUUGACAAGAUUGUGGCAAUGAUGGAAGCGGAUCGGGGUGUUGUUUUAGACUGGACAGUUUAUGCUACAGCAGCUAGUGGAUAUGUAAAAGCUGGGCUUUCGGACAAGGCUUUGGCAGUGUUAAGGAAGUCUGAGGUACUAAUGAUGCACAACAAAUUCAGUAGAGCAUAUGAUUUUGUUAUCACACAAUAUGCAGCAUGUGGGAAUAAAGAUGACGUUUUAAGAGUUUGGAAACACUACAAGCAGAACUUGAAGGUUUACAAUAGGGGCUAUAUUUGUGUUAUAUCUUCCUUGUUGAAAUUUGAUGGCAUGGAAAGUGCUGAGAAGAUUUUUGAGGAGUGGGAGUCUCGUAAUUUAUGUCAUGAUAUCCGAAUUCCAAAUCACUUGAUCGAUGCAUACUGCAGAAGAGGGCUUUUGCACAAGGCUGAAACUCUUAUCUACAAGGCACAGUUGAGGGGGACAGAGCCUAAUGUCAGGACAUGGUAUCUUAUGGCAACGGGGUAUCUUCAAAAUAAUCAAAGUGAGAAAGGAGUGGAAGCAAUGAAGAAAGCGUUAGUGCUUUUGGAAGCUGGAACCAGGUGGAAGCCAAGCAAGGAAUGUUUGGCUGCCUGUCUGGGAUACUAUAAAAAGGAAAGAGAUAUUGAGGGGGCAGAUUAUUUCAUAAAAUUACUUACCGGCAAGGAAAUUAUCUCUGCAGAUCUUCAUGAUAGAUUGUUAAAUAAUAUACGAAAUGGGUAAUCAAAUUGGAUUGUACGCAGCUGAGUUCUCUGGUAAUUCUUUGGCUGGGAAGGGAGAAUCACUUUUGAACCUUAAGAAUGUUAGCAGUAUUAAGAAGAGGAAACGCUGCAAACACAAAAUUACAACAAGAAAAGGAGUAUGACGGCGUUUAUUUUGUGAGAGCUUUCCAUGUAUUUUGAUUGGAAGGCGCAAUAAUGUUCAGAAAGUUGAUGAAAUUGUUCAGUUUACGUGCAGCAUUAUAAUAAAACUGCUUUUACUAGAUUUGUUUCUUCAAAACCAACUUCAAGCUAAGACCAAUGCUUGUAAAGUUUCACAAGUCCAGAAUGAGUUUCUGGGAAUGACACUUGCCCAAUUAGAGACUGAAUCUGCUAAGACGGCUCACAGUAUUUCUACCUAUAGAAAAGAUCGUGAAAGAGGCGAUCAGAAUGGUACUCGAAUCCAUUUUACGGUCUUGAUUUUCGAGAGCCAUCGCACUUCCACUCGGGUUCGAGCCUGCCACUCGGUCCUAAGAUGGAUCAAAGAAGAAUGGGGAAUCUCUCGCUGGUUUUGACACCUUUUUAUACUAAACUGUGAACUUAUCAAAAUAGCCGAAUUCAAGUUAUUAAGUAAUAAUAAAACUAAAUUUCCAAAAUCAAGCGCAAGUAAAAAAAAAAAUCAAUUUGACUUGUAGAAAAUAAAAUAAAAUAAAAUACAAAUUUGAGAAAAAUUUGGAAAAAUUAUAAAGAAAACUUCAAAUAAGUAAUUGAGGCCAAAAUGAAGGAAUUGGAGAUGAUCUGUUGAUUUAUAAUAAUAAAAUCCUAUGAAUCACAUUCCAUUGCUAUGUUUGGAAGUUUGAAAUGGUAUAUUACAUAUCCUAAAAUAAACACUUAUGUUUGGUUUGAAGAAAUAUAAAGAGAAGAGAGGAAAGGAGCAGAAAAAAAUGAGGAGAGAAAAAUAAAUUUCUUAUUUAGUUAAAUAAAAAAAUAAGAGUAAAUCUAUUUUUUACUCAUUUUCUCUCAACUCUUUCUUUUCUGUACAUCUCCUCUUCUACCAUUUCUUCCAACCAAACAUGGGUUGGAGUUUUAGUUACCGGCCCAAAAAUUAUACUAGGCAUUCUCCCAAACCUUGCCUACAUCAGAUAGUUUGAGGAUGACGUAAUUCAUAGUAACUAGUAGAAAAUGUAAUUAAAUUUUAACGCAAUAAUAUAAUUAAAUAUUAAAAUAUAGUCAGCUAUAGAAGUUUAUUAUUAUUAGAAGAAAAAAAAGGACUGUUAGUCCUCUAAUAUUUGGAACAGAAACAUAAAAUCCUCUAAUAGUUUAAAAAAAUAUAUAACUUUUAUAUUCUAUUAAUCUUUAAUUUACUUUAACUGAGAAAUAGGUAAUAUUGUAUAUUCACAAAAAAAAAAUGAUUGUAUUUUUAAUAAAUGACGUAUAAAACUUAUAAAAUCAUAUUCUUCCCUAAAAUUACAGCUGCAACUACUCUACAAAUUAAUAAGAUUUACAAUAUAUUUUUUAAAAUUGAGUGAGUUUUUUACUCCUUUCCAUACGUUAGAAUCCUAAAACCCCAUUUCCCCAUUACCCUUUUAUCACAAACCCUACAUUGUUCUGUCAUUUCCCCGUAAACUGAAAAUUUUCAAGCAAAUGAAGCUCCCACGCUACUAUACAGUACUCUACAACAUCAAAGCUCAAUUGGGUCUGGGAAAUGGGCUGGGUUUAUCCUCUUACGCGACAGCGACGAGUACCGCAACUCGAGAAAGUAAGUGGAAGGGUUCAAUGCAUACUCUUUUCCGUAGGAUUUCUCCAAUGGGAAAUCCAAAUGUCUCGAUCGUUCCGCUACUCAACCAAUGGGUUGAAGAAGGACAUCCGGUCGACAAACAACAGCUCCAAAGGUUCAUCAAGGAGCUGCGAUUUUUCAGCCGAUUCACUCACGCUCUUGAGGUAUCAAUUUAAGGGUCCUUUUUUUGAAAUAAUUUUUUUUAAAAUUGUUUUGGAAAUUACUAAUUAAACGAUGCGUUUGGUUCUCUUGAAAAGAAAAUGGAGAUUUUAUAAUUUAAUUUGAGUAUUUUGCAUUGCAGUUCAAGAAAUUCCGUGCUCAUAGACUGAAUAUUUGUAAUGAAUUUAUUAGAAAAUCUUGACGACGCCCAUGGGCUCCAUUGAUUUUUUAGCAAGGUUUAUUUGCGGUUCAUUUUGCAAUUUUGAGUAACAAUUUGUGCCAUAAUGAAGUCAUAUGUUACAUUUGCCUGUUCUAUUUGAAGGUAUUGAGUUGACUGUUUCUUGAACUUCUCCUGGUUUUUGGGAGCUGAACCGCCAAGCUUUAGUAUCUGAUCUCUUUUGUGUAUUUCUCAGAUGGAUCUUUUACAUUUAUUUAUCAUAAGAUUUUAGCGAUGAGUUGUUUUUAGCUGUCAUCCAAUUCCUAAUUGAUAAUCCCAAUUUUUUUAUCCGGGCAAACUACAUUCAGCAAGGAGAGGGAAAUAGCUGCAGUUAUCAACACUUUUUGCUGUUCUACUCAACUAUAUUUUUGGCGAAGAAUAAAAAUCAUUAGCUGCUGAUGCUAAUUAGACACUGUAUUGUUGUUAUUAAACUUUUUGGAUAUUUCAUCAUGAUUUUGGGUAUCUCCAAUGUUUGGCUUCCUAAUAUUAUGAUCUGUCCCCCCUCUCUUCCCCAGAUAUCGAUGUGGAUGACAGACAAAAGGUAUCUCAAUAUUACAGCUGCUGAUGCUGCUGUUCAGCUGGACUUGAUCGCUAAAGUUAAAGGCAUAGAAGAAGCAGAAAAUUAUUUCAGUUAUAUCCCAGAAAAAAUAAAGGGCCUUGAGGUUUAUUCUGCUCUUCUCAACUGCUAUUCCAAUGUAAAAUCCACAGAUAAAGCAGAGGCCACCAUGCAGAAAAUGAGAGAUUUGGGGCUGGCUAGGACAACACUGGUUUACAAUAGCAUGCUUAAGCUUUAUUAUAAAACUGGAAAUUUUGAGAAACUUGACAGUCUGAUGCACGAAAUGGAAGAAAACGGCAUUACUUAUGACAGAUCCACGUAUUGCACCCGUCUUAGUGCAUAUGCUGAUGCUUCUGACCAUGAGGGAAUUGACAAGAUUUUGACAAUGAUGGAAGCAGAUCCCAAUGUUGCAUUGGACUGGGUAAUUUAUGCUACUGUAGGAAACGGGUAUGGAAAAGUUGGGCUUCUAGACAAGGCUUUAGCAAUGUUGAAGAAAUCUGAGGAACAAAUAAAGGGUGCAAAGGUCAAUAGCGCAUAUAACGUCAUUCUCACUUUAUAUGGAAAAUAUGGGAAGAAAGAUGAUGUUCUAAGAAUUUGGGAACUGUACAAGAAAGCAGUGAAGGUUCUCAACAAUGGCUAUAGAAAUGUCAUAUCUUCCCUGCUGAAACUUGAUGACCUAGAAAGCGCUGAGAAAAUUUUUGAGGAGUGGGAAUCCCAGGCUUUAUGCUAUGAUACCCGGAUACCAAACUUCCUUAUUGAUGCGUACUGCAGAAAUGGGCUUUUGGAGAAGGCUGAAAAUCUUAUAAACCAUGAGAAAUUGAAGGGAAGGGAGAUUCAUGUGAAGUCAUGGUACUAUUUAGCUACAGGGUAUCGGCAGAAUAAUCAAAUUCAUAAAGCAGUUGAAGCAAUGAAGAAAGUAUUAGCAGCUUAUCAAACUUUGGUCAAGUGGAAGCCAAGUGUGGAAAGCUUGGCUGCAUGUCUUGAUUACUUUAAAGAUGAAGGAGAUAUUGGUGGAGCAGAGAAUUUCAUAGAACUCCUCAAUGAUAAAGGUUUUAUCCCCACGGAUCUUCAAGACAAAUUAUUGGAUAACGUUCGAAAUGGAAAAUCAAACUUGGAAACUCUCAGGGAGUUGUAUGGUAAUUCUUUGGCUGGAAAUGAAGAAAUACUUUCAGGUCCAGAGGGUGAUACCAGUGAUUUGAUAGAAGAGAAAGUACAUUGAAACAUGAUUUCCGAAGACCUCUCUAACUUUCCCAUAACCUAGCAUUAGGUAGUAGAAGCAAAAUGAGCAUGAAGGUUUAUUUGGUGAUUGUAAGAGAUAUUUUCAUGUCCAUUUUGGGAUAAUGGCGAUGAAGCCACUUCUGAAUCCAUCAUCUUAGAUGGUUAAUGAAGGAAGUAUGUUUAUGUUUCUUCCAAAUUAUUUGUGGUGGUGGUGGUCGGAUAAAUGGUUGCUUUCACCCAAAACAAAAAACAAGUGAGAAAAUGAGGAAUCAUCCUUGUUUAUUCUCUGUAAAAAAUUAAUUUCUUGUUCAAAGAGACUCUCUUAAAGAUUCUGUAUAUCUCUGAAAGAAUUUUAAGGAAAGUUCUAUUCUUAAACGAAGGAUUACUACAUUUUUUGCACGAACAAUUUUUAAAUUUCACAAUUCUGAAACUUGCUGAUUGUAUAAAAAUAAAAGGUAAUGAUAUAGUCAUAAGUUUUUGUACAAAAAUAAAUAAAAAAUGUAUACUAAUCAGUCUAAUCUAAUUUAUUAAGACAUUAUGGCGUCACUUGGCAUGGUAAAAAUAAUUUUUUUUUCUUUUAUGAAAUAAUAAUUGUUUAAAAAAGACGAACAAUUUUACUACUCGUAUAAAGAAUUACUCAUCUCUGCAUACAAGCUACAGCAGCCGCGGCAGCCAAAAGUAACCAAAAUGGAGGAGCUCAAAGAAAACAAAAUGCACCUCAAAAACGACGACGUUGAAGUCGAAGAGGAUGAUGACCGGCCGAUGCUGAGCUCUCAAGCUUUGGCAGCUCUUCAGGAAUUCCUUUCAGAACAAAACCAAACUUCGGAAACUGCUCAAAAUAAAACAGAAUCAGACUCAGAUGAGGUGGCGUUAGUGUCGGAGGACUGGAGGCUGAGCCAGUUCUGGUACGACGCCGUUACGGCAGAGACUGUAGCUCAAGAAGCCGUUUCUCUUUGUAGUGAUUCCGAUUCUCGCGUUGCCUGUAUUGCUUGCCCUACGCUCUACGCUUACUUAAAGGUAAUUUAUUUAUUGAUUGAUUGAUUAUUUGUAUGUAUUUACUCUUUUUUUUUUUGGGAGAUAAAAUUGAUUCAUUUGAAUUUACAGAAAAUUAGACCUGAGGUGUCGGCGAAAAUACUUGAAUACGACAUGCGUUUUGAGCAAUAUGGAAGUGAUUUUGCGUUUUAUGAUUAUAAUCAACCGCAAGAUUUGCCGUUGGAGCUCAAGCAUGCUUUCAAUGUUGUUGUCGCAGAUCCACCUUAUCUGGUGAGAUUUUAUUAAUCAUCAUUUUAAUUUAUUCAAAAAUGGUUAAAUUGUUGAAAUGCUAGUAGCUUAGUACAUAAUUUUUUGUUAAUUUUUAAUCUGCUUCCAUGUAACUGUGGAGCAAUGAGAUUAAUAUUGGUGAUUAUGGUCGUAGAUUGGACGCAUAGUCACUACUAUUCUACUAAGCUUUUAAGCCUUUGCGAGGGUAGACAAUUUUUCUUGCCUUCUAAUGUCUAUGAUCUCUUAAUAUUUUGAAAAAUAAUCUUGUUAGAAAAAUGAUAAAUAAGUGUUUUGAAUUCCUUUGAGGCUUGGACACCCUGUGCCAACUCCAAGCAUUUUAUGGGUUAUUUAAAAAGGAAAAAUUAAGUUGGACUUGUUGCAAUUGCAUGAGUUCAUCCAUUUGUAUCUUACGUAUCCCUGGUAGAUGCAUGUGGCGGGGAACAUGAUUCCUAGUUCUAUGUCUAGCUGUGAGCAUAUUGUAUGGUCAAGUUUGGAAUCACAUGCUUAUAAAUGUAAGUAGAAAUUGAUGGGUUGAUUCUAUUGAUAUGUGUGAUCAACAGAGCAAGGAGUGUCUGGAGAAAGUAAGUGAAACAGUUUCUUUUCUUGCUAGACCAGGGGAUUCGAAGUUGCUUCUACUCACAGGUUGACAUUGAUUCUCCAUCCAUUCUUGUAACAUAAUUGCUCUUUAUAUGUUUGGUUUAUACCUUUUGAAAGAAUUUAGUGACCCUGUUAUUAGUUACUCUUACCACAUAAUUUUCUUAGGCUUUUCUUUGUAGCCUUUUCAUGGUAAAUUCGAUAGAUUGCAUUUGUGAUGGUUGCAGGUGAGGUGCAGAAGGAGAGAGCUGCAGAGCUUUUAGGUUUGCGUCCGUGUGGUUUUAGACCACAGCACUCUAGCAAACUUGGGAAUGAAUUUCGACUAUUCACAAACUAUGGCCCGGGUACGAGAUUAGGAGGGUGGGAGCAAGAGAACUAGGUGCAUGUUGCUUUCUACAACUGGACUAAUGUUACCUGGCCAAUGGUAUGACCAUAUGUGGUUUCUGUAUUUAUAGUCCUUGUAUUAUUUUGAUUGCUUAAAAAAAAAAAAAGGUAUAGAUAUCAGUUAGCUAAUAUCUUGAGCCAUGAUUGUCAUUCUAGUUUAGAUAUCUGACAUUUGAAUUAUGGCAACAGAUUUGAUUACAGUUUCUUAUUUUAGCUGCAAAAACUAAGAUGAUGGUGGGAGGCUUUCACUUUCGAGUUGUAAUUAUGGAAAAACUCCAGCUGAAUUGUGCUCUCAUUGCUCAGCAUGAAAGUGAACUGCAAGGAGAAUGUGUUUCUUUCACUUUGUUCUUGUGUUAUUUUCCUCUCUUACUUUUUUUUUCCUCGUUUUAAGACCAAUUUUGACAUUUAACUAUGAACCGGUACAUUAUCCUGUACGAAAUUGCAAAUUUGUAUGUUAUGAGAUAAUGUAGUCGGAAUAUUUCCAUUUUUUCCUGAUCUUCUCUUCCCCAAAGAAAGUGUGUAAACCCAAAAGCUUUUAGAAUUUUCAUCGUAUUUUACCCGGGAUGCAGCAUAGACUAACAAGUAGUUUGAAACGUAUACUCAUUGACGUUGUAUUAGAACUGCGGAAAGUUGUGCUCAAAUGAUGGAACAUUAUUAUAGAUUUUCACGUGGUGAGUGAUUUAUCUAAAUUAUGUGUGAAUUGUAGAAAAUUUGUGUGUAUACGAUAUGAGAUGCAUGACUCUAUAAUUAAUAGGUGAAUUGUAUAAAGUUCAAAUAAUGUAACAUAUGGUGCGAAAUUAUCUCAAAUUGUCUUGUAAUUAGUGAUUUUUAAAAUUAUGUGUGAAUUGCAUAAAAUUUGUGUGUAUACGAUAUGAGAUGCAUUACUCUAUAAUUAAUAGGAUUAAUUGAAUCCUUACUAAGUUUAUUUGAUUAUUGAAGUUAAAUAAGAAAUUAUUUUUAAUUUGAGUCUUAAUAUCAUGUCAUAUUAUUUAGGUAUUCAAAUAGUGACGUAUCUAAUAUUACUUAAACAAAUAUUAACUUUUGUGACAUCUUAUUUAAAAAAAAUAUCAAAAGAUCAAAAAGCACCUAAUUGUCAAACCUAAACUUACAUCAUGUUUGAAAUUGAGGUGAUAUAACUUUUAAAUUAUGUGAAAAAAAAGUUAUAAUUAUGAAAUAAAAGUUAAUAUUACGUAGUAAAUAUAAUUAAAAAAAAUAAUUUUGAUAAAAUUAGUAAAGAUAUAAUAGAUUUUUCAUUAUAUAAGUGUAAAAUUAAAUCAACUUAAUUUUUAAAUUAUAAUAAUUAAUAUUUACCAAAUAUUUUAGUGGCGUAACUUUUCAGGUACAAUUGUCUAAUCUCUUCCUCAAACAAGCUAAUCAAAUUGGACUAACAACUUUUAAUAUAUUUUGGCUUCAAAUUUUAUAAUUUCACAAAUAGGAGAAAGUUUAACAAUUUGUAUCAAAUAGGUCCACAGCAGGCAGUAGUGAUUUGGACAAUUGGACAGUAUAUGUCCUUAAUUAAGAAAAUGUUAAAGAUUCAGGGACCCGAAUGUUGUAAAGGAUUACUGGAUUAGGUGGAUCCGAACCCGAAGCAAAAAUUGGAAAUCUCUCGAGAUUCUGAGGCAUCGGUCAAGAUGCCACCUUUUUUUAUAAAAUGAUCGGCAGGUUCGCUAAAAGACUUCAAGUAAAAGUCACCGAGAAGCUUACUUCUUGACGUGCAAAAUGAGACCCAACAUUGUUUCGGAGGUAAGCUCAGUCAGAUCUAACACACUACAACUCUGUGUUGUUAGGGUUUCAUAAUUCGAAUAAUCGUGAUUUUUUUUAUUGCAAAGUAAAAACGUUACUUUCUUUCGUACUUGCCGAGAAAGUGUGAGAAAAUGUAACGAAAUGAAAGUUCUUGGAUCGUAUCUGUUGUUCUUUCUAAAAUUUGUGCUUCUUUAUGUUAGUUUCUAGCUUGUGAGCUUCAUUGUGUUAAUGCUGUUACUCUUCUGAUGUAAAAUUGUGCAUUCGAGUUGCUGUUGGUGUUCGAAAAGUGUGAGUGAUUGUCAAUUUUAGAGGAUUCUUACUGUAGCUAAAGAGCUGGUCGAAAAAUUAAAAUGUGUUUAUGAAUGAAUGAAUGAAGUAGAGAGAUCAAGGACUCAUUGGUUUUGGUCAGUUUCUUUGAGCUUAUAGUUGCUCUUUUUUUUUUUUUUUUUUUUUUUUUAAAUGCUAAAGUUGGAUAUUAAUUUGUUUAAUGUUUCUAAAACAUGUUUGUAAUUGCUGUGUUUUUACUUAAUUUUGAAAGUAAUGCAGCUGAAGUGUUAGAUAAAUGAUCCGCGUAUACUUGACACCUAGUAAUUUUAUGUCUCAUAGCAACUAUGGAUUUGUCACUGCAACCGAAUUCCAAACAUAUCCUUAAUCAUAUGGAGCUUUUAGCAUGAAGGAUGUGAUUGCUUCUUACGCCUUUAUCUGAUACUGUCUUUCUAUAAUGAUCUGAGAGUGUGCUUUUCUCAUUUCCAUAUUAGAUGAAAUGCUAAUUAAUGUGCUAAUUAUUGUGCCUCUAGGAAUCCAGAUCUAUAGAUUGGUCUAGACGGGGGGUUGUUCUGUCAGUGUUUUUGGUCGAAAAGAAUAUCCGUUACGAAUAGUUUUUCAACUUUAUGUAAUUGAUGUCUCACUUGAAUCUUAACUUGGUGUUUAUUGGUUUAUACUUUAUAGGCGGGGUUGUCCACCAGAGCGAAUCAGUGGUGGGAAAGUAUUCCAUUCUUUACUUCUGCUGUGGUGAUUGUUUGUGGGACAAUUUACUUGAUCUGCCUCUUGUUUGGAUACGAUUCCUUUUAUGAAAUAUGUUUCCUCCCAUCUGCAGUUAUAUCACGGUUUCAAGGUACAUUCAUGCAAUCUGACAAAGAUGAUUAUCAUUAUAAAUAUGUGGGUACAAACACAUUGAACCUUCUCUGUGAUAUGAUCAAAAGUUGGUCAUGAUCAUGUUGGAAAGAUUUUUCCUCAUUUUGACUGCAUGGCUGUAGUAUUUUGCGAGUUAUGUGAAUAAUUAGGAAUAACUCCGAAGAAACACUAUGUAAUUCUUUACACUAUUUACUGCAUGAUUUGUUGCUCCAAUGUAUCAUUUACCUGUUUUUUCUGUGAUUGCACUCAAGCUAUUUUGUUACGCCAAAAUGGAAUUAAUGAUUGCUUUGGUAACUGUGAAUUCUUCACCCUAUGUCACUAUCUUUUUUCCUGCAAUUGCGCUGUAGUUAUGUCGAUACGUUAAUAUGGAAUUAAUUAUUUCUUCGGUAACGGUGAAUAGUUCACACUUUGGAUUACAUAAAUCAAGCACUAACUCUAGCUAGCAGCUGAGUAGUAUUUGUUGGAAAUGGGAGAACAUGGAUCAUGGAAAUUUUCUGGAUAAUAAGCUCCCGUUCUUAGUUAGGGGUAAAUAGUCAACGGACUAGUCACUUAUGCAUACUUCCUAACUUAUGAUGGUAGUUUUUAGUUAUUUCUUCUACGAGCCUAUCAUGGGUCACAAAACAAUGCGCCAUUCUACAAAAAUAUAUGUUCUGACAAAUCAUAUCAUUCGUUAUACUGACCUUUUUUUAAAAUGUGUCCCUCUGUACUUUUUGAUCACAUGGGAUGGUAAUUGUCUGUUGCCGUUUCCUUUUGAAUGUAACAAUUAUUGUUCUUCCUCAUAUAUAUAUUUUUAUCGUAGUUUUUCAUUCUAGGAUAUGUACCCUCAUGAAGGAGAAAAAAAUGCAAUCUUCGAACAUGCCACUUGGUAAAUUUUGGACUUGGCCUUUUCUAACCAAACAAUGGCUGCCACAGGUCUCUGCAUGACUUGCAUUUGGGAACCAAAAACUCUCAUUUUAUAAGCCUCCUGGUGUUCUAGUUACAUUGUUGAUUUCAAUCUGGCUGUCCUAUCAGGAGGUUAAUAAUCCAUGUUACUUGGAUGUUUGUUUUAACUUUGAGAAGCAUUUCAAUUGCUAUUACCUAAAUAUAAUCCAUAUUCAAUUGUCAAUAGGAGAUAACAACAACAACAACAACAACUAUUAUUAUUAUUAUUUUUGUUGUUGUUGUUGUUGUUGUUUACUUCAUAUUACGAAGAAGAUCAUAUUUUUGUAAUUUUCUUAAGAGAGUGAAUCAUUUCUGUCUAUGAUAAUUAAUUUUACUCUUUUGUCUUGCAGUUUACAGGUUUUAUACCUCCAUUGUUUUUCAUGGUUCACUGCUACAUGUUCUAUUCAACAUGUUGGCUUUGGUUCCUUUGGGUUCUGAACUGGAGCGAAUUAUGGGAUCUGUCCGCAUGUUUUACAUUACUAUUUUGUUGGCCACAAGCAAUGCUAUUUUACAUCUUCUAAUUGCUUUGUUGGUAGCCCAUAUUCCAUUUUAUCGGUUACAGAAUGUCAUGGAUGAGUGUGCAAUCGGCUUCUCAGGAGUUAUUUUCUCUUUGAUCGUCAUAGAGACAAGUUUGAGUGGAGCCCAAUCUAGGAGGUUGGUUUUCUCUUCUUUCUUUUGGUCUGAUUUCAUAUUUUCAUAUGUGUGUGUGUACAUACUCCUACAACAGACAACCAGAUGGAUGAAUCCCUGUAUUUUAUCAUUGAGUAUAUAAUAUAAUGAUUUCUUUUUCAUUUUUGGCCAAUAUGCCUGCUUCUUGAACUGAGUUGCAACUUUAUUUUUUUCGUUCUGCAGUGUGUUUGGUCUCUUCAACAUCCCUGCUAAGUGGUAAAUGCAAUAACUUGCUCUUAGGAUGUGUGAUUAUGGUUUUCUUCUUCUUUUCUUUUCUAUCAUAUUCUUUUUUAAGUCUCACGAGGUGGCAUCUAAUGGAACAUUAUGCUCAGGUAUCCAUUGAUCUUAUUAGUACUGUUCCAGGUUCUUAUGACCAACGUCUCGUUACUUGGACACCUAUGUGGCAUUUUGUCUGGAUUUGCAUGUAUGUUCUCAGCUUUUCUUUCAGACUCUUUAUAUUUUCCUCUCAUAAUAUUAUAUGUUCAUUUAAAAUAUUUGCUCCUGGCUCUACAUUUUCAGAUACCUAUGGCUUUUUCAACCUCCUUAUGCCUGGAACAUCCUUCUAUUCUGCCAUUGAGUCUUCCUCUUUGCUUGUAAGUAUUUCAAUGGAACGGGAUUGUGAUGAUAGACGGACUUUGGUUUUCCUUUUCUUAUUGGAUUGCUUGGGCAUGUUGCCAUUUAUUUGUCUCUGGAUGAAUUGAGUUGCUUGGUUUUGGCGAAGCUAAGUGGAGUUGAAAAUAUUUGCAAUUGCUUUACUGGUCUGCUUAGUAAUUAAAAAAACUGAAGAAAUGUUUUAGAUACCGCGGGGUGUUGUCCAUUUGGUUUUACUUCUUGUCACAACUCUCAUCCACAUUUGGGAUCCUUGCCCUCCCAUAAAAUCCUAACGGCACUGAGUUUUCUGGCCUUAUAUGCAAACACAUAAGAAUCAGAUAUGCUAUUUGAGAUCUCUCUACAGAGACUUGUAUCCUGACUUGAGAUUGAUUACAUAUGGAACUGUAUUUAGGGUUGUAUGUCCUAUGUUAAAAUGUAUUUCUAGUCUUCUACACCUCCUCUAUGUGCAUUCUUUCUGAGCUUGCUUUUGUCCCUGCCCCCAUAGUUUAAGAAGCCAUCAUGGUUUUAAUAAUUUGUAUGUGGAAUGUUGCAUCACCUGAUACAGGUGUCUUAACUGUCCAAAGAAAAAAUACAGGCUUCUUAUCUGUUACCUAUAAGCAUAAUUAGAACAAAAUUUUAAAGUGAGUACUGGGGAGGGAAAUAUUAAUUGCUGACUGCCUUCCCAAGUGAUGAACUUGUGUCAAUUUAUCUAAAUAACCAUAGCAAUAUGGCUUCAUUUCAUGGAAACUUUGUGUAUGUUACUUUCCUUUUACCCUUACAUUUUCAUACAGAUAGCUUUAAAUAGUGUGUUGUUUUUGUGAAUGCCAGUCCACUUGCAUAAGACGGCCUAAAUUUAUCUUGUGUACUGGUGGGAAUCCUUCUGGCUACAUCCCAACAUAUUCUGGACAGAAUACAAGUUCCAGGUAAGAAUUGAGCUCCGUAUGCCAGAUUCUACUUUAUAUCCCUAAAAGGUAUAUAACUUGAUUAUUUUUAUUAAACAGUGGAUUGUUUUCUGGAAAUAUUUGGAGCAACUUGUCUUCUUGGAUGCCACAGAGGGAAACAUCAUCUCAGGUAUUAAAUCAGUUGAUUUUAGAGGGCUUUUCACAAUGUUAAAUAUGUUAUUCAAUAUGUUCCUUGUUUGUUAUGGUUGAUCUAGCCAAUUAGGGCACCUGAAAGGGAUAAUAUGGAUUUCUAAUUGGCCUUCAGCUUUGUUAAUUGAUGGUAGCUUUUCUGACUUGAACACAUGCCUGUGCAGUAGGAAUUUUACCAUUUCCUCUGCAAUUUUUGCAACUCAUAUUGUACGUUCAUUCAUUUUACUUCUGCUUCAAUUUACACCUGAAUAUGGAACCCUUGACAGCUUUGGUUACUUUUCUUGAACUAAUUAUGCACUGAAAGAAACAGCAAUUGUGGUUAUGAAGUUAUGCAGUAAAAAUACAAUGUAAAGAAUGUGUCAUGUGGGUGAUUUCUCUGUUUUUUGUUCAUAGUUUCCCUUAAAUCUGUCUUUAUUGCUUAAUGUUGUCCCAUUCCACUUUCCUUCUUUUCUUUUGCUGUCCCUGUAUUUCUCAAUCAUUGUAACCUGCAAUCUUUACUUAAGAUAACAUCAAUUAACCAAUCUCCUCUUACCGACAUGCAGCCAACACAAGAUAGCCGGUUCCCUGGGAGAGGAAGAACUCUUAGUUCCAGCCAAAGUCCUGUACAUGUAGAUUCAAACCUACAAGCUAGACUUCUGGAUAAUAGUAGUCCUGAAAACCGUUCCCAUAUGAUAGUAACUGAAACAGGAGACAGGCUAUCAGAUGAAAGGUAUUGCAAGAAAUUUCAAUGCAUCUAAAAAAUCAUCUUGUUUAAUGGUCUAAGUGUAGCUUAUUGAUUUUCUCACGUUAUUCCAGGCUAUCAGAUGAAAGUUAUUGCAAGAAAUUUCAAUGCAUCUAAAAAAUCAUCUUGUUUAAUGGUCUAAGUGUAGCUUAUUGAUUUUCUCACGUUAUUCCAGAUGUGAAUGCCCUAAAUUUUUUGGUUUACAUUCGUUGUGGUUCUGGUUGAGAAAUGUAUCAAGCACAUGAAAGACUUGAUUAUAUUUAUUUUGGGUAAUAUCUGUAUGAUCUUCAUUAAACUUUUGAUUGUAUUCUUUAUUAUUUUCAGGCAGCCAGCUCUAGGUACUGCAGUUGCGGUGGACAGAGUCCCUGCAGGCCAACAGGUUUUCUUUAUCCAUAUCUGGAGUUCAAUAUUCUUUUUACCUUUCUUAGGGUCCUCUAGUUCUUGAACAUUUCUUUGGUUUUCCUUCCUCUGGAUGCAGGGUGCAGUUGUCUCUGAUGAAGAAAUACAAAAACUUGUUUCAAUGGGUUUUGACAAGGUAAAUAUAUUAUGUCAAUUAAAUUAGUCUUGUUCUCUAUAACCAUAGUACUAAGUUUAGCAGUUCAAUGUUGUAUAUAAAUUUUUUUCCCAUUUAUUGCAAUUUUAUUUUGCAUUUGUAUGAAAUUGAGACUGAGGACUCAAAUGCCAUUGCUGGGCCUUGUUUCAGACUCAGGUUGAAGUUGCUCUGGCAGCAGCUGAUGGCGAUCUUAAUGUAGCAGUGGAAAUUCUCAGCCAGCAGGUACAUUCAAGAGUUAAGUUUUCCAAAAAUUGUGUUGAUUGACAUUCUUUCUCUGGAAUGUUUAGUUAAUGGACAAAAUUGUAUGCAGGGUUAAGUUCAUAAAGCAAUCUCACCCCGUGACUUCUCGUAUACAAAUCUCCUAUUACAUUUCAGUUGGCCAGUAUGAUCUGCUCUUACAAUGUCUGUGAACUAUGGUUCGUUUGGGUGCUGUAUGGUUAGAGGUGCUGUAUGGCCUUUCUAACGUGAUUACACAGAUUGGGGGAAAGAAAUAUUUGGGAGAAUAACAAUUAUGCUAAUUUCUGCUUAAAGAAAAGAAAGAGCCCUUUGUGUACAUGUUUUGAGUUUUGAAUUAAAAGAAGUGCAAUCUAAUCUUAGCUUUCUGAACAAAUUCAACUCUGUAAAUAUAAUCUCAUGCCGAUAUUUGUUAUGGGAAAUUGAGAUCAAAUCUUUAUUUAUCGAAUGUAGUCAGACAACAAGCAUCGAUGACUACUUGCAUUAUCAGGUAAUAUUUCCUUCAUCAAAUUGGCGAUAGCUAGGUUUUGGGUUUGCUCUCAAUUUUCUGGUUUCCGCCCAUGGAACUGCAAUUUAAGGACAUCACGAAAUGUGCGCUGUAGAAAUUUUUGGAUUCAAUUGAGCAACCGUGGAUCUAAAUCAAGACGUUUGCUACAACAUGACGCAUCUAACUGCUUGAAACGCAGAAGCCUAUUAGAAACAUGUUCGUCUAAUAGAUUAUGUUUAGUUGAAGUAGAUAAUAGUGGCUGUAAUGUUAAAAAAACAUUUCAGCUGCAGAGUUAUUGAUUAAUUCAAGGUUAUUAGUAACAUUUUAGGUAACAAAUCUUUUGUGUCCAUAAUACAUCCCAAGAUGCCAAAUGCAAUCAGCUGUAUAUUUCCUAAGGACACGAGAACUUGAUAGUCCCGGGAUUUCGAUGACUUCACAAAAGGUCAUGUGGCAAUGAAGCAGAAAUCUCUUCAACUUUCAUUAGGUCAAAUAUCAUACUCUGUUGUCGAGCAGAUAGGAGAUGCAGCCACUCCACCUGGAUUGAUCGGCAGUCAUAAUUAUCCUUUCUCUCGUCGAUUGUCAUUCUCCCUUCCUUGAGCGUUGCCAAGGCCAUGAGGAGUGCCAUUAGACCCUACAAAAUGUCUUGCUCGGGUUGGGGGCCUUUCAGCGGUGAAUAAUAAAUCACUGAUUCUCAGUCUAUCCUGCAAUAGACGAAACAAUUUCAAUUGUAUCUCACAUCAAUUACAGACUUCUAUUUGUGUGCCCUUGCAUGUCCAGUGUGUCCAGAAAGAGAGACAGAUGUAUAGAUUUUUUCCAAUCCAGCAAAAGCAAUUAUAGAACUUUUGGGGGAAAAAAAAUCUACCUUGAAAUUACUGCCGCAUCUGCGUGCAAAAUGACCUUCCUUGCCACACUUGUAACAUAUAAGAUUGGAUCUUUUACCAUUAAGAGCUUCACAUGAGUUUGUGCAUUCCUAGUAUAAACUAAUUCAAUAAGAUAAUGAUAAACCUCAACCGUAAUACACGUUUUGCCGCUAAAAAGCAGAAAAAUUACUUACAGGACCCAAAUGGCCAGACUGCCCACAGUUGUAACAGGAGACUUGCUUUAGACCUAUGAUUGAGGAGUUGACACAGCAAAGAUGACCGAAACUCUUGCAAAUGUAGCAUUGUAUCUUCUGCCCACAUGAGAAAAAUUAUCACCAUUAAAGAGCAAGCAAGAAUCACUUCAAUUUGGGGACUUGCUGUUUGCUAUAUGAUAAGAAGAGAGGGGGACAAUAAUAUAUCUAUAUAUAGACAAAAAGACUCGUAAAACUGCAAGAUAAAAUUCGGACCUUGAGAUCAUCAGCGUGGUAUUCUCCCUCACAUGAAAACAAGUCGUGUCCUGAAUCCCCACACCUUAAGCAAAAAUUAGAACUCAAAUUGUUGCCCUGGUCCGUCCCAGGACAAUCACUGGCAAGGUGCUCUGAUCCUUUGUUGAUAAAACAAUCCUGGCCCUGCUGGUAUACAAGGUGGCCUCUGAAUAAGUUAUGAUGUAACUCUUAAGAGGCUAACGAUGGAAUGGAUUAUGGCAGAAAAAUCUAAGAAAUAAGCAAUGAAAUGCAAGAUGCAACUUGGCUUUGAAUAAACCUUUUUAAUUCCUGGAGAUCUUCUGUUGGUGGAGUUUUAAUUGUUAUUCUUGACAACAGCUUCAGAUUUUUGUGGACAUUUCUGAGGUAACGAGAAGUCAACAGAUUAGCAGUCGUCAUUUAAGUCAGAGGCAGUUUUAUGAUAAGCCUAGGAGUUCAGUCAACUGGAUGGUGGGCUUGCAAAAUCUAUCUACCUAAGAUAUAUUAUUGCUUUGAAAUUGAUAGUAUGAUUCAGAAUGAAACAUUUAGGCUCCGCAUGAAAAAUACCAAAGACUGACUUUUCAUUUGAUAAGUACUGUAAAAGAUCCAAUUCCAUAUUUAGCGCAGAUACAAAGUUUCAUAUGUCACAAUACUCAUACGGAAAAAUCUAGAGCCAAAAAAUAGUACUUGAUAAUAUCUUUUGCAGUUAAAUGAAGUGAACAAAAGAAAAUCCAGACACACGAGAAAAGUUGUAGAGUGAAUGCUACUACACCUGUUUGCAAUUCUUCCACCUGUGCUUGAAACUCCCACAAAGGAAGCAUGGUUUAUUCUGCUUUUGCAUUUUGCAGGUUGCUGCUGUGUGAUUUUCUUUUCCACAAUUUGAGCAUGUUUCUGAGUUCCAGCCUGGAGGAUCAAAAUAUCUUGGUUUCCGAAGAAGCAUACGGAGCACAACAUUAUAUUUUGCCUCAUUUUCUUUCCUGGCAUCUUCAACCUUAUCUUUAGCUUCAAUUACACGAGUCUUCUUUCUCCUUUUCUUCUGCUGCCUCUCCCCUACAAUUGGCCCUACGGAUACCGUAUCUUCAACCCUUCUGCCCAAACGCAUGUCUGAAAGUGGUUUAUCAUCCUCUAGGCGCAAUGAAUAAAGGUUGUUCAUUUCAACACUCUUUACCCCAUCAUUUGCUCCUGUUAUUGUUGCUGUUGUCUGCACAGCUUUACCCAUAUCUUCAACGCUUCUCUCCAAGCUCACACCCGAAACUGAUUUAUCAUCAUCUGUGGAGGACAAACAAAGAUCAAUCACUUCAAAAGAAUUUCCCCCAUCAUUCCCUCCCACCACUCUUACCAUUGGCAUAGGUUCACCCAUGCUUGCACCCUCAUUAUCCUUUGCAGGAUCAAUAAAAAGAUGCCGGGACCCAUCCAUUUCUGUUGUCAGAACUGAUUCAGGUUUUGAAACCUCUACUACUUUCAAAGGUUGAUUUUUAUCUAGCUGCCCUUUCUCCUCUUCAGCACUAACACUAACAUCCUCUUGACCACAAAAUUCAAUCUCCCUCUUCUUUCUCUUUCUAUUUCUCUUCUUUCUCCUCAUAAAAGCCUCUGCCUCUAUCAUGGCUUUCAGGUUAUCAAAGCCACUCAAAUCUGAUAUCUUUUCAUACUCAUCAAGCUUAGCUCUAUUUGCUCUUCUUCUUUUCUCUUCUCUUCCAUUUCUUUCUGUUUCUUCAACUUUAUUCAAACCGUCAUCCUGACCUAACUGCCCUUGCUCCUCUGCAACGUUAACCUAAACGCACUAUGCAUUAUUAGAAAACAAAGCUCACAAAACAACAAACAUGCAGAUACCAAGUCCAAAAAAAGACCAAUGCAAAAUCAUUUUAAAUGAAAUCAAGCAAGAGAGACUUUUAAAUGAAAUCAAGCAAGAGAGAUUUGGUAUCUUUAUAUAUUCAAGAUUCAAAACUAAGCUCUAUAUAUUUCUCUUCAAACAUUUUCCUUUCUUUAACCUCACCGUUUCCCAAUAGCCAAGCACAAAAUGGGAUAAUAGAUUAUUUAAAUAAUAAAAAAACACGUACAGUGUCAUUCUCCUGAGCACAAAACUGAGUCUCUAAAUUGCCCCUCAUCCUCUCACUACUCUUUCUCCUCAUAGGAGCUUCCGCUUCUAUCAUGGCUUUAAGGUUCUCAAAUCCGGUCAAAUCAGCUACCUCUCUGUACAAAGAAUCAAGCUUUGUCUUAUCCUUCUUCUUCUUCUUUCUAUUUCUCUUCUUCUUUCUCUUCAUGAUAGACUCAGCCAAAAUCAUAGCUUUCAGAUUGUCAAAGCCAGUAAGGUCAGCAAUCUCUUUGUACUCAUCAAGCUUAGAUUUUGCAGCCACCCCACGUUCUAUAUUCUUCUCUUUGCUCCCAUUUCCUUCUUCUUUCUCUUCUUCACUGCUUGUUAUCACUGUGACGGGGCUAUUUUCCAUCUUCACUUCUAGUGUUUUCCCCGAAUAUGACUGGGGAAAUGGGCUGCUGCCUCUCCGUAGUGAAAGGCCGAAUGCCACCUUAAAAUUUCCAAAAAAAUAAUAAUAAAUUAAUAACACUAAAAAUUCAUAUUAUUUUCGCUUUUAUCUUUUUUUAGCCUAAUAAAGAAAAUAUAUCAACUAACUUGGAUGCGGUUUAACCGUACGGCCCCCAACAAUCAUUAUUUGCUUUCAGACCCUCAGUCUUGUCAAGUUUUACAUGAGAUUUUUCAUUAAGCAUCCAUUUUCCUAGUCCCUGUGUUUCUUUCAUUUCUUCUUUAAUAAUGGUUAUGCGUUAUGGGUAGUAGUGAAGAAAACUAUAUUAUAAGAAUAUAUUGACCACAUAUGGGUAGUAGUAAAUCAUAUGUAUUUUAGUUCAAAGUUUUUAAAUUGGGAUAAUUUUUAACUAUAAUAUAGAUUUUUAUACAUUUAGUAGUUAAUGUUUAUCGUUUAUUCAAAUAUUAUAUUUAAUAGUUAAUGAUUCCAUCUCGUAGUAAAAUUAUGGCUUAUCACUCAAUCUCAAACAUACAUUACAUAUCUUAAUGUAGUAAAAUUAUGACUUACAACUCAAUCUUAAUUAUACAUUGAAUAUCUUAAUGUUGUAUUGUAUUGUACUCUAUUUCGGGACAUGUAAUUACUCUAAGAUACAUGCCAAAUGUCUCAUUUCACCUAAUAAAUAAAAAAUAAUAAUUUAUAUUUUUAAUCAUAAAGGCUAGAAAAUAACAAUAAUGAGUAGAUAGAGAUCCCUAACAGUAGGGAGGAGCAUUUGAUGAUAUCAAUGAUAUUUUAUUCUAGAUGAUCAUCUUAUCAUAUACUUUCAACUUUUUCUUUUGAAUUGAAUUCUUUCAUGCAUUAAUAUAGGUGUAUCUCUCUCUCUCUCUCUCUCUCUCUCUCUCUCUCUAUAUAUCAAAUAUAAUUCGUUUUAGGUUUGGAUAUCUACUAAGACUCCGUUUGGUAUAUUUUUUCAAUUAAAACUUAUUUAAGUAGAGUUUUUGUUAAUAAAAUUUUUAUAAGUAAAGUUUUUUGCACAAACAAAUUUAUGGUGCGUUUGGUAUUGUUUUUCAACUAGUAUUUUUGAAUUUCCUUUAAAAAAUAAAAAGGAUUAGUUUUUGGUGAAAAUGAAAACGUGUUUGGUAGUUUAUUUUAAAACUAACAUCAAAAAAUAAAAAAGAGUAAAAUGUGUUUGGUAGUUUGUUUGUAAAAUAUAAAUAGUAAAAAUGUAUUUGAUAUAAUUUUUAUGAAAAUUGUUUUAGAAUAGUUAUAUGAUAUGUAUAAAUUUUAAAUUUAUCUUUUUUUUUUAUUUUAGAUAUUUUUGAAAAAAUGAAUAAACAAGUAAAAUAAUGUAGUAAUAAAUAUUAAUAUAAAAUUAUAAGUUUGUAUAUUAUUACAAAGAUUUAUUAAAUAAAAUAUUAUAGAAUAAUUUAUAGAACAUCCAUAAUUAUUUCAAAAAAUUAUUUAUUAUUUUAUUUUAAAAAAAUUUUAAACAAAAAUUAUUGCAUAAACAUAAUAAAAUUUAUUUUAUAUUUAUCAUUUUUCAUUAAGCAUCCAUUUUCCUAGUCCCUGUGUUUCUUUCAUUUCUUCUUUAAUAAUGGUUAUGCGUUAUGGGUAGUAGUGAAGAAAACUAUAUUAUAAGAAUAUAUUGACCACUUAUGGGUAGUAGUAAAUCAUAUGUAUUUUAGUUCAAAGUUUUUAAAUUGGGAUAAUUUUUAACUAUAAUAUAGACUUUUAUACAUUUAGUAGUUAAUGUUUAUCGUUUAUUCAAAUAUUAUAUUUAAUAGUUAAUGAUUCCAUCUCGUAGUAAAAUUAUGGCUUACCACUCAAUCUCAAACAUACAUUACAUAUCUUAAUGUAGUAAAAUUAUGACUUACAACUCAAUCUUAAUUAUACAUUGAAUAUCUUAAUGUUGUAUUGUAUUGUACUCUAUUUCGGGACAUGUAAUUACUCUAAGAUACAUGCCAAAUGUCUCAUUUCACCUAAUAAAUAAAUAAUAAUAAUUUAUAUUUUUAAUCAUAAAGGCUAGAAAAUAACAAUAAUGAGUAGAUAGAGAUCCCUAACAGUAGGGAGGAGCAUUUGAUGAUAUCAAUGAUAUUUUAUUCUAGAUGAUCAUCUUAUCAUAUACUUUCAACUUUUUCUUUUGAAUUGAAUUCUUUCAUGCAUUAAUAUAGGUGUAUCUCUCUCUCUCUCUCUCUCUCUAUAUAUCAAAUAUAAUUCGUUUUAGGUUUGGAUAUCUACUAAGACUCCGUUUGGUAUAUUUUUUCAAUUAAAACUUAUUUAAGUAGAGUUUUUGUUAAUAAAAUUUUUAUAAGUAAAGUUUUUUGCACAAACAAAUUUAUGGUGCGUUUGGUAUUGUUUUUCAACUAGUAUUUUUGAAUUUCCUUUAAAAAAUAAAAAGGAUUAGUUUUUGGUGAAAAUGAAAACGUGUUUGGUAGUUUAUUUUAAAACUAACAUCAAAAAAUAAAAAAGAGUAAAAUGUGUUUGGUAGUUUGUUUGUAAAAUAUAAAUAGUAAAAAUGUAUUUGAUAUAAUUUUUAUGAAAAUUGUUUUAGAAUAGUUAUAUGAUAUGUAUAAAUUUUAAAUUUAUCUUUUUUUUUAUUUUAGAUAUUUUUGAAAAAAUGAAUAAACAAGUAAAAUAAUGUAGUAAUAAAUAUUAAUAUAAAAUUAUAAGUUUGUAUAUUAUUACAAAGAUUUAUUAAAUAAAAUAUUAUAGAAUAAUUUAUAGAACAUCCAUAAUUAUUUCAAAAAAUUAUUUAUUAUUUUAUUUUAAAAAAAUUUUAAACAAAAAUUAUUGCAUAAACAUAAUAAAAUUUAUUUUAUAUUUAUCAUUUUAAAACCAAAGUUUUAUAUUUGUAUUUAAUAUCUCUCUGGGCCCACUAUUUUUUUUAUGGUAAAAAACCACAAAAGUCACCAAAGUGUGGUCCCCGUACAAUUAAUGCAUGCAGAAUAGAAAACAAAAUUCAGAGAGUGCAAAUAUUGUGUUUUCUGUAUUUGUUAAGAAAAGUUAAAGAAUGGAAACAUUUAAUUCUCCUUAAUUUUCCAUUAUAGCUACGAAACGCCCUGGCCAAACGCAUUUUCUAUUUUAUUAUUUUUGCAAAACAAAAAAGGUCCAGUAAAAAAUGAUACCAAAUGGGCAUCUUUAGUUAUUUGGUUGUCAAUGAAAUUUUUUAUUAAAAAUUAUAAAAUUAUUUUAAUAGGUAAGUUUUUUUAAAGUUAUGUUAUGAAAAGUAUAAAAUAAGAUUGUUAAAUAAGUAGAUAAUAUUUUAAAUAUUUUAUUAUUUUUAAAAAAAAAUUCAAUCUCUAUUCCCAAAGUCCAAAACUUAAGAUUUUAUUAGUAAAGACAAAAUAUCUUAUUUAAUCUUCAAAAGCUCUAUUAAAAAAAAAAAUCAAACAACAACAAGAAUUUUGAUAAGAGUUUAUAAGAUUAAAUAAGUACUUAUGACAUACCAAACAUACAUUAAAGCUGAUUUUUGGCGGGGUUUGAAUAAGUCUUUAGAUAACUCAAUUUGUUAUUCUUAAGGAAUUUUAAAAAAUAAAAAUAAAGUUCACUCAGAUGAUCCACAAAAAUGCUCUACGAAUCUUCGAAGUUAGUUUCUCAUUGUAUUUUUUACUCUUGACAGCUAAUAAUUUGUGAACCAAUGAUAAUAUAAAAUGAAAAAUAAGAGUUGUAAGGGAGUGAGAGAGAGCCACUCGAUGUUGUCAAUUAUGACAAUAUAAAAUGUACUCUCGUCACUUGUCAAUUAUCUCACUAUUAUAAAUUUAAAAAAAUAUAUAGAUUAUAAGAGAGAGAAAUUUUAGAGCCGGAUGUUCCAUUUGGGUAUGGACCCAAUGGGUUUCAGAUAUCGAAUUUUUCAAAAUAUCUAUUGAUUGACAAAAUUGCACGCUAUUAUUUUUGUUGUCAUAUAAUUGAAAAUGUUUUUAAAAUUAAUUCUCUUUUAUAAAAUUAAACAAUUUAAUUAUUCACGGAGCUAUUAUAACCAUAAUAUACUUGUAAAAUUAUGUUAAUUUGUAAUGAUUGCAUGUAAGGUGUUGAAAAAUAUGUAUGUACUCUCUCAGACAAGGGGUUUUAUAUAUAUUUGUAUAUUUAUAACUUUUUGAAAGCUAAUUAUAAGAUAUGUUAUUACUCAAUAAUAGUGCAAAGAAGGGAUUCAAUUAUAAUAUUGAAUUGAUGUUAAUAUUUAAUACCAUAUAAAUAGAUAUAUACAAUGUUUAUAAAUCGCAUGUUGUUUAAGUUAUAAGUUUAGCACGUCGGGUGUAAUACAACUCAACUAAUAACGCGUUCAAUACUUAUUAAUUUGAUGUCCGUAGAUAUUGAUUCUACCUGCAAUAUCAUCAAUUUGAUGAUGUUUUGAUCCUAAUAAAUAAAUCAACUUUGUUAGGUUCGCCCAAAGCCAAAACAUUUGAAUGUAUUUUUUUUUUUUAAUGCUUCUUCUCUCACAGUAAUUUAGACCAAGCUGUGAAUAAUCCAAUUCUGAAAGUACCUAAUUCUUACUUACGCAAAAUACAAUGAGAAAAAACAUCACGUUCAAGAGAAUCUUUUUGUAUGUUGUUUCCUUCGAAUUCGUCCAUUUGUCAGGCAAAUAUCCCAGCCUCCCCAAUUCAGUUAAUCUAUUUUUCUUUUCUUUCAUUUUCACGGAAAAUUUUUCAAAGCAAGUGGGACCCAUAUGCAACCACUAAUAUUAUAUUUAAUCGCUUAGUGGGAAAAUAAAUGAUAACAAUAAUGGGAAAAUUAACAAAUAGAUCCCUGAUUUUCGAUGAUUUCUGAAAUAAUGGCUUUAUUUAUUCAUUUGUAUCAAAUGGGUCUUUGUUCUUUUGAAAAAGGUCUGAUUUUUAUCCCAAAUUAAGGUGAUAGUACUAAAUUACACUAAUUAAAUUUCUCACCCAACUUCAAGUUUCUUAAUUACUUGACCAUCUAGUAAAAUAAUAAUAAUAAUAAUAAUAACAACAACUAAUCUCUUUUAUAGUCUAGUACUCAACUUACCUGACUAUAAUAGAUAUACAAAUAUUAAUUUAGUACUUUCUUGUGUAUUUUUAAGAUAAUCAUGUAUUAAUAGAAUAUUAGAAUUCAAAGAAAAUUCAUGAAAAAUUUUCAUAUGUCUUAGGUUUAUAGGGCGUAAUUUGCACUACAAUAGAAAUAUCAAAUUCAAUAUUAUAAGAGCAAUUCAAUAGAAGUUAAGAAUUUAUUUGAUAUAUAUAAAUGGACAAACUGUGCCUUCAUUUAAGAAAUUAUACAAAAUCAAAGGGGCCAGAUGUUAUUAACCGUAUAAUAAUGAUAAUAAUGGAGAAUGAAGAAAGUGUAGCAUCCUUCAAACAGACUCAGUGAAUACCAUUGGACAACUUUUGCUUCAUAGUUUAUUAAUUGCACACAUCAUUGUAUUUUCAUUGUGGUUGGCAGCAGGCGGAGCAAUCUUUAAUUUCUUUUCUUUUUACCCUUUUGUUUAAUGAUUGCUAGAAAAUGACAAGUUAAGAGGAAACAAAAGCACUAAUUAAGAUAACUAAUUAAGGACACAGAGAAAACAAAAUGUGAAGAAAAAGCUAUGAUGAUGGCACAAUGGCAAGUAAGUGGAGACAGUUAGAUUGACUUUGAAGACAAGGGAAAUCAAGUAAAAGGACUAAGAAAAAGAGAAAAAGUAGGCAAAAGGGUUCUUGAUUUUUUUGUUUAUUUUGGUUCAUGGUGAGUCACUUUUAAUGUCCAAAGCACUGAAGAGGAAAGUUUAGCAGGCAUGGCUGAACUCAGAUUGCUCAUCUUCAUAGCUUUGUUUAGCUUCCACAUUCAGUUAAUCUCCAGCACUACAGAUUCCCGCGACGGUAAUUAAUUUCACAUUGUACAAGUAAAUUAAAUAGUGUGUAGUAUAACAUAUAUGUACUAUUUGGCUAUGUUCUGCAAGAAUUCAUCAUGCCAAACUCAGUAUGAUUGCUGAUUUUAUUGAGUUUAAAAUAUCAUGUAACUUUGUAGCCGCGGCUCUACAAUCUUUGAAGGAUGCAUGGCAAAAUACACCACCAACCUGGAAAAAUUCCGACGAUCCCUGUGGAUCCUGGGAAGGAGUUACUUGUAACAAUUCCAGGGUCACUGCACUGUAAGUACAAUUCUAUAUUUCAAGAUUUUUUUUUUUAAAUUCAACAUUAUUUUCAAUAGAAGCAAAGCUCACUCGUCACAUAUGCAUUAUGUUUUCAGGGGAUUAUCAACCAUGGGACUCACUGGGAAACUCAGUGGAGACAUUGGAGGCCUCACAGAAUUGAGAUCCUUGUUAGUAUCCUUCUCAAGUUUUCUAGAAAGUUUGCGGCAUAUUUCAACUUAUUAAGCAUAUCUUAUAUGCGUGUUGAAUUCAUUUGUUCCAGGGACCUGUCAUACAAUGGAGGCCUUACAGGUUCCUUAUCUCCGCGAAUAGGAGAUCUCCAGAAGCUGAAUAUCCUGUAAGAUCUUAUACUAGACGAAUCUGCAAGUUUCGGAAAAUCCUGAAUCUUUAUACUCGGCUAAUUUGUUUUUGUAUUUCAUAUGAUUUGGAUAAUGUUUUCCAUCUUGCAGGAUUCUAGCUGGCUGUGGUUUCACCGGCAAUAUUCCUGAUGAAAUUGGAAACUUGGCAGAAUUAUCUUUCUUGUAAGAAUAAUUCUAACUAGUCAAUUCAGUAUAUUUUUCUUUUUCUCAUUGUUCAAUUUAUUUAAAAAAAAGACCUACACACAAUUUCCAGGGCACUGAAUUCAAACAACUUCAGCGGUCGAAUUCCUCCUUCUUUGGGUAAGCUCUCCCAGCUUUACUGGCUCGAUCUUGCAGACAAUCAGCUGACAGGAUCAAUUCCAGUUUCAACAAUAACCUCCCCAGGAUUGGAUCAACUCAAAAAUGCUAAGCAUUUGUAAGUUAUUUAUUUAUUAUUAUUAUUUUAUUAUUAUUAUUAUUAUUAUUAUUAUUUUUGGGUGCAUAUCAAUCCAUCUUCAAAGUGAACACAAGGAAGUAUGAAUGAUUAUUUUCAUGUACUUUGCAGCCAUUUUAACAAAAACAAGCUUUCGGGUACCAUUUCCGAACAACUUUUCAGCCCUGACAUGGUACUGAUACAUGUGUAAGUUCAAUAUCCACCCAUCAUUCAAUUUUAGUUUUCUCUUUAUUUCACUCACUUACUGAGUUUGGUUCUCAAUUUCAGAUUAUUUGAUGGAAAUCAACUUUCUGGGAAUAUCCCGGAAAGUUUAGGAUAUGUUCAGACUCUUGAGGUUCUGUGAGUAUAAAUCUCCUCAUAUUCAACAUUUUUUUUUCAAAUUAAUCCCUUUCCAUUUGACUAGCCAUCUUGCUUAUUUCCAUUUUACUGGAAACUUUGUUAAUCUGCAACAGCCGGCUUGAUAGAAAUGCUUUGACAGGCAAAGUCCCAACAAAUCUCAAUAACCUCACAAAUGUCAAUGAAUUGUGAGUGUUUGUUUUUUAAGCAAAUGAGGCAAUGCUUUUGUUACUAUAGAAGUUGGUGAAUUAUGAAAUUUCUUCUACAUGAAACAAUGUUUCUCUUUCAGGAAUUUAGCUCACAAUGAUCUUAAAGGCCCUUUUCCAGAUUUAAGUCAAAUGAACUCCCUUAGUUAUGUGUGAGUUUCAUAAUAUUGAAGCUACUAUUUCCAGUUAAUUCCCCAGAAAGUAUUGCUUGUUCCAUAAGAGAAAAAUCUGAUCAAUGAUUUAUCAUAUCAUAGGGAUCUUAGCAACAAUUCAUUUGACCCAACAGAAGCUCCACUUUGGUUCUCAACUUUACCAUCACUCACCACAUUGUAAGUCUUCUGUCAGUCACAGAAUACAGUUAUGAAAAAUCCCCUGGACUAUUUCCAAAUCAAAUCUCACUCUGGAGCUCCACAGGAUUUGUGAAUUUGGAUCUCUCCAAGGCCGUGUUCCAGAUAAACUCUUCAGCUAUUCACAAAUACAGCAAGUGUAAGUUUCUAGUAAAGUAUAACCCUGUGAAGAAGAAUGGUAUAAUUCUCAAUUUUCAUUCUUGUAAAUCCGUUGCAGGAAACUGAGGAACAAUGCUUUCAAUAACACAUUGGACAUGGGAAAUGCUGUUGGUCCACUGUUGCAACUCGUUGAUUUGCAGAACAAUCAAAUUUCUGCAAUAACACUGGGUUCAGGAAUCAAAAACUAUACGUUAAUGUGAGACUACUCAUCAGCCUCAAUUCUCAUUGUAAAUGAUACUCUACCGUCUCUUUUCCAUUAUUCUUACUUAUCAAGUGAUGUUAUGCAUUUCAGACUUGUUGGAAAUCCGGUAUGCACGGCAACUCUGGCAAAUACUAAUUACUGCCAGCUUCAACAGCUGACCACAAAGGCCUAUUCCACAAGCUUGGCUAAUUGUGGAGGCAAAUCAUGUCCUCCUGAGCAGAAGCUGAGCCCUCAGAGUUGCGAAUGCGCCUAUCCAUAUGAAGGAACAAUGUAUUUCAGAGGACCAUCCUUCAGAGAAUUGUCCAAUGUCACAGUGUUUCACUCGCUGGAAAUGAGUCUGUGGGUGAAAUUAGGCCUCACACCUGGAUCAGUUUUUCUUCAGAAUCCUUUCUUCAAUAUCGACGACUACCUACAGAUUCAGGUUGCACUCUUUCCAUCUGGUGAAAAAUCUUUUAACAGGUCAGAAGUUCAAAAGAUAGGAUUUGAACUGAGUAAUCAAACCUACAAGCCUCCUAAGGAGUUUGGUCCCUAUUAUUUCAUUGCUUCUCCUUAUGCUUUCCAAGGUAACUUAAGUCUGUUUCUUUAUAACAGUCAACAAAAUAACAUCGAGAAUGGUGAUCUGACAAGAGAAUAUACAAAUAUGUUUUAGUUCCGCAGGGAGGUAAUUCUAUCAGCCCAGGAGUAGCUGCUGGAAUAGCAUGUGGAGGAGCCGUUCUAGUUUUAGGACUGGUAGGAUUAGGGUUGUAUGCUAUUCGGCAAAAGAAAAGAGCUGAAAGAGCGAUUGGAUUGAGCAAACCAUUUGGUAACAAAUAUUUUCGACAAUUGUCCGUUAUAUUGACCGAGUAAAUUGAGUUGCAAAUAUUAACAUACUGUAGCUGCCAACAUGAGAUCAUACCGUUUGAAUUCUCUGUUUUUGCAGCAUCCUGGGCACCGAGUGGCAAAGACAGUGGUGGUGCUCCUCAAUUAAAGGGAGCAAGAUGGUUCUCAUACGAUGAACUUAAAAAGUGCUCGAAUAAUUUCUCAGAAAGUAAUGAGAUAGGCUCUGGCGGCUACGGCAAGGUAAAUGCUCUUCUUGUUUAAAUAUUUGUGAAAUUUCGCUAACCUGCUGUUCGCUCAUCUUUUUCUGUUUUAUGCAGGUCUACAGAGGAAUGCUUUCUGAUGGACAAGUUGUGGCAAUCAAAAGAGCUCAGCAAGGAUCAAUGCAAGGGGGGCUGGAGUUCAAGACAGAGAUUGAAUUGCUUUCGCGUGUUCAUCAUAAGAAUCUCGUCGGUCUUGUGGGAUUUUGUUUUGAACAAGGAGAACAGAUGCUGGUUUAUGAAUUUAUGGCAAAUGGAACACUCAGGGAGAGCCUAUCUGGUAAUUUUAUCCUCAGUCUUGCUGUUUGCUUAAACAUAAGUUUCGACUUGUCAUCAUAUGGCAGCAAGUUUAUUCGCAAAAAUAUGUUUUGCAGGGAGAUCUGGCAUUCAUCUUGAUUGGAAAAGGAGACUAAGAAUUGCUCUUGGCUCAGCUAGAGGAUUAGCUUACCUACAUGAGCUUGCAAAUCCUCCUAUUAUCCACAGAGAUGUUAAGUCCACCAACAUUCUGUUGGAUGAGAACUUAACAGCUAAGGUUGCAGAUUUUGGCCUGUCUAAACUUGUAUCAGACAGUUCAAAAGGUCACGUUUCAACUCAAGUCAAAGGCACAAUGGUGAGUACACUCAAUCCACAUCUCUUAUUUACUCUGUACAGACUUUGUAAUAGUUGGUUCAACUGGCAUGCUCUCUUGCUAUACACAAUACUUUUCGGUUUAAUUCAUUUGCAAGAGUAUGUUUGGUUGCAGGGUUAUCUAGAUCCUGAAUAUUACAUGACUCAACAACUAACUGAGAAGAGCGACGUGUAUAGUUUUGGAGUGGUUAUGCUUGAACUUAUAACGGCUAAGCAGCCGAUUGAGAAGGGAAAGUACGUUGUCCGCGAAGUAAGAACGGCUAUGAACAGGGACGACGAAGAGCAUUAUGGCUUGAGGGAGAUGAUGGAUCCAACCAUCAGAAACACCGUCCUGCUAGGAUUCAGAAGGUAUCUGGAAUUGGCAUUACAAUGUGUUGAAGAAUCGGCCACGGACCGGCCAACAAUGAGUGAGGUGGUUAAGGCCAUUGAAACCCUUUUGCAAAAUGAUGGGAUGAACACAAACUCCACUUCAGCAUCUUCAUCUGCUACAGAUUUUGGUUCUUCAAAAGGUGUCGUUAGACAAAUCUAUGGUGAUGCAUUGCCUAAUAAUAAGAAGGAUAUCAAUGACACUAAUGCCUUUGAUUACAGUGGGGGAUACACACUUUCUGCUAAAGUUGAACCCAAGUAGAGGAAAGCACUUUCUCUUUUUUCUUCAAGUUUUAAGUUUUUAGAUAACUUGUGUGUAUUACAAGGGAAAUGUUGUAUGCUUAGUGUGCUUGUCUGCUGAGAGCAAAAAAUUAUUUUGCUAUGAGAUAAUUAAAAAUCCUCUGAAAGAAUCCAGUUUGCAGUAAGACAAAGACGAGUUUUUCAAGUGACUGACCUCAUCCACAGGAGAAAAAAUAAAAUGGUAUCCAAAGUUUUUAUAACUUGAAAAGCAUGAAAAGUUUCCAUGUAACCAUUCGAAAUUACAGAAAAUGACCAUUCGAAAUUACAGAAAAUGAAACUUACACAGAGUUAUAUACUGCACAAACAAACAAAACCACAUUCUUCAGAUCACAAACUUUCACUAUGCCACAGUCCUUGUAGUUCUGCUACUCAUGCUGUUCCUUGGGUGGCUUUACAAUAAUGAUCGGGCAUACAGCAUGAUGCGCACAGUAAUCACUUACACUCCCCAAGAAUGCCCUGAUAAUUAUGAACAUAUACAUAAGCAAUCAAUCAAAGGAAUCUGUUGCAAGCAAAUAGAUGAUUUGCAGUCCAUAAUACUUAAAAAUAUUUCAGUACGAUGACUUGAACAAUAAUCUAGAUUCUUUGCCUUACGCCAAUAGAUGUUUAAAUGUGUGUGCAAUCAGUCUGGUGUCCACAACGAUGUGAUUCUUUAAGUAUAUUGGUUGUCACCUUUUAAUCUUGCCGAGGCCGCGGCUUCCGACAACAAGGAGAUCAAUGUGCAUUUGCUCAGCAGACCGACAAAUCAUGUCCUUUGGAUCCCCUUCAAGAACCAGACUCUCUGCUUUCACCUACACAAGGUUACAUGUUUUAGAAUUAGAACCGAGGAAGUAUGGUCUAAAAAUUCGAUGCACGGAAGGCAUAUAAUACACUUUUAGGCAAUCACCAUCUUAUCUUUACACAUCUGCAAUGCCCGGGAAAGUAACGCCGCUGAAUUUUCUUCUUGGGAUUUCCUCACAGAUUCUACCAUCGAAGAUGUUGCAUAAAAUGCUAUCAAAUCAAAACCGCUUUAGAGAUCUAAUGCAAAUUUUAUGAUUUGAACUAGCAAACACAUACUGAAAGCUAUAGCAUACUAACAAAUUUUGAUCUCAUGUGAUGCAGACAUUCAUUUACCAUUUAAUGCACAUUUCAAAAAUGUGGGUUUGAGGACUGGACAACACUGUCUAACUAUGGUGAUUAGUGCACUGUCUACCACUCAUCCAUUCCGGAGAACUGUUAAUAAAACCAAAUGAUUUUCAUGGAAUUAAAGAACAUUUUGGAGCAUGUUACAAGUUAAUUAAGCAAAUCGGUGUAGCCAAUAGCCAACGAUUCUAUCAUACAAAAAAAAACAUUAAAGAAUUACUCGGCGAGCUGGAGUAGCUCAGUUGGUUAGAGCGUGUGGCUGUUAACCACAAGGUCGAAGGUUCAAGCCCUUCUUCUAGCGAUUAAUAUUCUAGUUAUUUAUCUAUUUAUUUUUUGUUUGGUAGUUACACUACCUGAACUGGUACUUGGGGGUUACACUACCUGAACUGGUACUUAAGGCUGGCAAAACGAAGCGCUGAAAUGGCUGCUGAACAUGAACGAUUGUUAGGAUACCGCCGCCGCCGCCAGCUUCCGGCGUAAAGCCGACGAUACCAUAAAGAUUGUCAAGAGCCCAUUUGAGUGCAUUGACACUCUCUGCACUUUCAUCAAUAGCCACCAUCACCUUCAUCUUCUUCUUGCCGUCGGUCAUUUUUGUCUCCUCUUCUUCUUUUGAUUGCAGCAUUGCUGACCCUGAACCACCUGGAACUGUUUCUUUCUCCAUUACCCAAUUCUUUUACACCUCCCUCUCGGACAACAAUGUCAAUGUCACAACAUACAGUAGUGAGCCUAUUUGCUCUUUAUAUAAAUUGAACGAUGAUUGGGUUUUCGUCAUUUUCGAAAAAAUUAGGGAGCUGAAAAUGAGGUGUCAUUACGUGGAAGUUUAUGAGAGGAAAUGUGGCAUGAGCCCAACAAAUGGCAUCCAUGCAAUUGAAAAGUUACAAUUCCAGCAUGCAAAAUUUUAUAUUUUUAUUAAAUAGAUCUACAGCGUAGUUGGUGCCCGUUGUUGGCGACUCUAACUUUGGUAACGUAAAAUAAAAUUACAUUCGCCUAAUUCAUAGCCUAAAAUUAGCUCGUACUUUGAAAUUACCCAUGCUUACAUUGAUAAUAUGUUCUCUAUAACUUUUUCUCCGCUCAAAAUUAUUUUCUUAAACGCUAAUCAUUUUUCAACCAAUGUGUAUGUUCUUCUCAACUCAUUUUUCCUCUCUUUACGUUAUAGGAGAUAUUCGCCACUUUUUUUUUUGGUAUAUUAAGUUGUCUAGUAUUCAAAAAUUUUAUUGACCUCAAUUAAUUCAAAUUCGAGUUGGGCAUGACCAUUAAGGUGAUAAAUCUCUCCCAACAAGCAUUCUUAAAUUUCAAAUUGAAGAACUUGAUUAACUUAAAACAGCUCCAUACCAGCUGAUUUACGUACUUGUUAAUAUAUUAGCAUCCCAUAAAUAAAAGUUAUUUUUUUAUUAGAAGUUCUUAGAUUUCAGAAAUAAUGUCCAUAAUUUUUAAAAUGUUAAUCGCAUUAUAUACAUACAUAGGUCGUGUUUAGAUGCGGAUUCAUACUUAAAUAUCAGAUUAAUUAGCUUAUAACUUCUGUUGCUAUAGCGUUACUUGCUUAUUUAGCAUUCCUUUAAUGGUCUAGUUAGGUUAUGAAAUCAGACUUCAAGUCUACAUAAGUAGAGGUACACCCUGUUAUAACAAUUUCAUAAGUCUUGAAUAAAACUUUCGUUUAUUCUAUAACCAAACCAUUGUAUUACACAAUUAAUUAAGGGAGCUUAAUGAACUGUACACUCUUACACUCAUACGCACACAUUAUUUUACACACACAUUUCCCACUUCACAAAAAUAAAGAGAUAGCUUCUUACGUUCUUGAUACUUUUUCGCUAUGCCACACGGUCCUUAAAAUUCUUGUGCUUAUGGUGCUCCUUUGGUGGCUUGACAAUGAGGAUCGGACAUACAGCAUGAUGCGCGCAGUAGUCGCUUACGCUGCCCAAAAAUGCCCUGCCAGUAAUAAAUCGGAUUAAAACUCUGUCAUGAUUUGAUCUCCUUUUGAGUAAAAAUAUAUAUGGGUCAUUGAUAGUUAAUAAAUAAAGAAAAAUCAAACUUUAAAUCUUACUCAUAUAUUAUCACUUAAAGACACAUGACACGAGAUUUUUAAAAACUCAUAAAAAUUCAGAUCAAGAGAGGAUCUUAACCCAAUAAAUUAAUAGUAGCAAUUAAUAAUUAGAUAAUCAACAACCCGAACUUUUAUAGACAAAUAAUAGUAAGAUUAAUUACUCUUGGCGACGGCCAAAAUUAAUCAGUUUGAUGCUCACAAUAUAUUGUAUAACACUUAGGUAUUUUAAUUAAUUGUCAGCACAUGUUUACAUCACCUCUUAACCUUGCCGAGGCCACGGCUUCCAACAACAAGGAGAUCAAUGUGCAUUUGUUCUACAGCCUGACAAAUCACAUCCCUUGCAUCCCCAUCAAGAAUCAGUGUUUGUGCAUUCACCUGCACCAUGCAUGCAUGCAUGCAAGUUUUACAAUUUAAUUUGUACACCACUGAUAUCUAAGGACUGAAAGGAAAACAAUUCUACCAUCUCUUGUAAAGUACUAGUAGCUGAUAUGUGCUGCGUGAAUAAGUAGAUUAAUCCUACUUAUUGUAUAGAUUGUAGAAAGGUUUCUUAAAUUCUGCUUAGAGCGGGUAAACUUUUUUAUUUUUUUGGUCGAUGGGAAAGUGUGUUUUUUUAAUGCACUAAAAGUAUAUAUACAAAAAUUAAAAUAUGAUACGAAUUUUUACAAUGUUAUAAACUGUUAUUUUUCACUAUUUACAAUGCUGCAAACUCAAAAAUCAAUUUCCAAUGUUGGAAAUUCGUACCAAUUUUAAUGGGGAUUAAAAAAUUUUCGGAUUUAGGUAGCGACUACCAUGUUUUCUUUGCACACUUGUAGUGCUCGGGAGAGUAGAGCUGCAGAACUUUGUUCUUCGGCUUUCUUGACAUUUUCCACCAAAGUAGACGUUGCAUAAAACGCUGUCAAUUAAUUAAUUAUCGGCUUUCAUCUCCGCCAAUUAUGAAUAAAAGGAUUCCAUAUCGACAAGCAUAAUUUAAUUAUUUGCUAACCUGCACCAGCGGGGAUAAAAGGCUGCUGAGCAUGAACAAUUGUCAGGACGUUGCUGCCACUGCCGGCUUCCGGCGUAAUGUCGGUGAUGACAUAAAGAUUAUCAAGAGCCCAUUUAAGUGCAUAAAAACUCUCUGCACUUUCAUCAAUAGCCACCAUCACCUUCAUCUUCUUCUUGUUUUUCCUGAUCAUCGUCACCUCUUCCUCUUUUGCUUGCAGCACUGCUGACCCUGAACCUGCAAUUGUAUCUUUCUCCAUACAUACCCAAUUCUUUUAAUUCUCUCUCUCUCUCUCUCUCUCUCUCUCUCUCGAUCAGACAACAUGAACCGUCUCAACAUAGAGUAGUAAGCAAGUAAGUAACCAAUUACUUUUUAUAGAAAUAAAAACGUGAUGGCUUUUGUCUUUCUCUGUAAAAGGAGAUGAAAAUGAGGUGUUACGUGUAAGUAAUUAUGUGGGCAAUAUGGAGAUUUAAUUUAGCUGGUCCACGUGGCAUCCGAGCAAACGGAAGUUCCAAUUGCAGCAUGCAAAAUUUUGUUUCAUUAAGUAACAAGAUUUGCAUGCAUCCCAAAUCUUUUGUUCUUUCCCCCCACAAAUGAUAUAUACUGGUAUACUUAUCCCAUUUGUACUAUAUAGAUCCAUAAGUCGUAUUACAUAAUCGGCAGAUCAGCCUAGGUAGGAGAUAAUCCAUUUUGCUUAAUUGGUCACGGAUUCAAGAGAGAAUACAUUUUGCUCAAUUUAUCACGGAUUCAAGUGUAGAGGAUACAUUUAAUUAAGGAUAAAUAUUUAUUCAAUUCCUAUAUUUUAAAAAAUAUCUCAAGAUAUCUAUUUUGAUAUUUUCACCCUUAUUUUUUCUUUACCGUUACAAUAAUAAUACCCUCACUAUGAUCUUAAAGAGUAUUAAUUAAUUUAUCCAUAAAAUGUUAAUUAGCAAUUGAUUAAUAAUUAUCAAUCUAAUAUCCUUACGCCGGUUUUUCUGAUAAUCAAUUAUAAAUAAAUUAAUAACAACCAAUUUAAAGCCACAUUUAACACUUUAUAAGGACAAAAACAUUCUUGCAAGGGUGUUAUAUAAAAGCAAAGAAAAUAAAGGUAAAAAUAUCACAUAUUUAAUAAUAGGGGUGUCUUGAGAUAUUUUUUAAAAUAUAAAAAUUAAAUGAGCAUUUAACUCAAAAUAUAAAGACUAAACAAAUAUCUAUCUUUUAAUUAAUCUGGGAUGGAAUUGGGAAUGAUUAAGGUGCAAUAUAAUUGGAUUAAAAAAUGUACAAAGACAUCCAUACCAUACAUAACAUAAAGAUCCGUUGAAUGAAAUUGAAUGGCUGAGAUUUUGUUUUAAUUAAUUCUUAUUUAAAGAGACAUCUAAGGUCACGUGAUUGUUGUAAUGUUUUCCCCUCACAUCUCUCUCUACAUUCACGCCCAUCUCCAGCAACUUGUAAAACAAAAAACAAAAAAAACAAAAGCACAUGCUGGAGAAACGAAAUCGACAAUAAUGUUUGUUUUAAUUAAUUUCAUUCUUUUCGUCUCUUCUCUUUCUGUGUUGAUGUUGAUCUCCAACAAAUUGAAAAUUUAAAAAAAAAGUCUGAAUAAAGAUGGUUAGGAACAUGGGUGCGGGAGGCUAAGGGACAAUGAUGAUGAUUACGGGGUCUAGGCUAUAUAGUAUCAAACAACUUUUGUUCGAUCGAGGAGUCGAGAUAGAAAUGAGCAAAUAGUUUUGUUUCAUAGUAUUUUGUUUUGGGUGAGAUGUACAUCGAAAGGGAUUGACGUGUUCAAUGGAAAAAGCGAUCAGAAAAGUGUAAGAAAAGUUGAGAAGUUAGGAUGUUAGAGAUUGCCCUCCAAGUGUUUGAUGAAACGGCUGAACGAAAUUGGUUGUAGAUGUUGAGAAGAUUUGCUGGAGGGGAAAUGCACAAUUUUCAAAAUUUUGAGUAGUUAGUGUAUGAAAAAUGCUUUUGGAGAAGUUAAUGGGCAUUAUAUAUCAUACUACAACAAAUGAGCGAUAAUUCCCAUUAACUUCUCCAAAUGCAUUUUCCAUACACUAACUACUCAAAUAUUUGAAAAUUGUGCAUUUGCCCUCCAACAAAUCUUCUCAACAUCUAUAGCCAAUUUCGUUCAGCCAUUUCGUCAAACACUUGGAGGGCAAUCUCCAACAUCCUAACUUCUCAGCUUUUCUUACACUUUUCUGAUCACUUUUUCCAUCGUACACGUCAAUCUCUUUUAAUGUACAUUUGCCCCAAAACAAAAUACUACGAAACAAAACUAUUAGCUCAUAUCUAUCUCUACUCCUCGAUCGAACAAAAGUUGUUUGAUACUAUAUAGCCUAGACCCCGUAAUCAUCAUCAUCGUCCCUCAGCCUCCUGCACCCAUGUUUCCUAACCAUCUUUAUUCAGACAUUUUUUAAAAUUUCAAUUUGCUGGAGAUCAACGUCAAUAUAGAAAGAGAAGAGACGAAAAGAAUGAAAUUAAUUAGAACAAACAUUAUUGUCGAUUUCAUUUCUCCAGCGUGUGCUUUUUGUUUUUUUUUUGUUUUCUACAAUUUGCUGGAGAUGGGCGUGAAUGUAGAGAGAGAUGUGAGGGAAAAAAAUUACAAUAAUCACGUGACCUUAGAUGUCUCUUUAAAUAAGAACUAAUUAAAACAAAAUCUCAAGUCAUUUAAUUUCAUUAAUAACACAUGUCAGCGGAUCUUUAAAAGUUUAGGAGGACUAGGAAAGAAAGAGCGGAUAUGGAUCCUUGUAUCAAAUAGUUUCUCAAUUAAUUCCAAUUCUUUUAUUUUUAUUUGUAUUUUUAUUUUUGACAAACUCAAUUAUUUCCUAUUAGAAUGACUGGAAUGCUCUUUAGUCUCAACCAACUUUCACUUUCCUCUCAUACUGUGAGGCGGUUAAAACUCAACAUUAAGGGGUAGAUUGGUCAUUGAACUAUUAUUGCGACAACUGGUCGAAGUUCCUAGAGCGUUGGCUUUUAGCAGCAUCGCCAGGAUCCACAGUGAUCGUUUGUUGAGAGCUAAAAAAUACUUUGCUAUGCGAUAAUUAUUGAUCACACAGAAAUCAUCUAGUUAGUUUGCUUUUUACAACUCUAAAAUAUAUAAAGAUCACUCAGUAAAUUGAGUGUCUUCUUUAUUUUCUUUUAAUUUUCUAUUUAUAUUUAUCUUAAUUACAUGAGGAAGAAUAAAACUUAAAAGUUGAUGGAAAAUCACCCAACAGAAGAUUAUCCAAAAACAAGAAAAGUCUCAAAAAUAGAACCAUGUAAAUCGAUCCAAAUCACCCAUUAUUACAGAAAAUAGAGACACAUUUAUCUGCUGCAUGCACAAACAAAGACAAUAUAUUCUUCUGAUAUUACAAACUUUUUAUUCUUCUUAUAUCACAAACUUUGUCUCUAUAUCAUAGUCCUUACGGAGCUACUGCUUAGUAUGGUGCUGCUUUGGCGGUGGCUUGACGAUGAUGAUCGGACACUGGACAUGAUGUGCACAGUAGUCACUUACACUACCCAAUAAUGCCCUGCCAAGUGUCGAUUACAGUAAAUAAUCAACAAGCCAGAAAAUUUAUGCACAAAUUACAAUGACCAAAAUGUCGGAUGAAAUACUCAAAAGUGUGUAUGAUGCUCACAUGUCACAACUGAGAUUAUCAGGUAAAGCUCAGAUUCUCAGGUAUUCAUAUUAACACCUUGUUUUUUUCAAUUAACUAUAACCGUAUGGUGUUGACGUGAAACAUCACAAAAUUGACAUUUAGAACUCUCAUACCCAAGAAUUUCUACGGCAUUACAUAUAUGUGUAUAUUCAUAUAAAUAAUUGUCACCUUUUAAUCUUGCCGAGGCCACGGCUUCCUACAACAAGGAGGUCCAUAUGCAUUUGUUCUGCAGCCUGACAUAUCAUGUCCUUUGGAUCCCCAGUAAGAACCAGUGUUUCUGCUUUCACCUGCACCACACAAGUUAUCAGUAAUAGUACACUGCCCACAUAUAAAUACCAAAUUUAAUGAAAUUUAAUUUAAUUAAUUUUGUUUGCUGGUUGCAUAAUGUUACGGUACAGCUAGCUCACAUAGUCAUCACACACAUGCAGCCUGAGUAAGUUCAUUAAUGCUACUAAUCGUAUCCUUGCAUUAAUUUUUUUUAAUUUAUAAGUGAGAGUGUCUCUAAUCACAAAAAGUUUAUUGCUAGUUAAAGUAGACAUGUACUGUAAUUUGUAAGUUACAUUCUUAUCCUUGCAUAUUUGCAGUGCUCGCGAGAGAAGGGCUGCAGAAUUCUCCUCUUGAGCUUUCCUGAUAGAUUGCUCCACCGAAGAUGUUGCAUAAAAUGCUGUCAAAAAUUUAAUUUAGUCUUCAUUUCACAGCCAAAAUAUCAAAAUCAUUCACUUCUGCAUGCAAUGCAACCAACAGUUGGUUCGAAGUAACGCCUAUACUCACUUUAAAGUUUUGUAUUGCUGAACAAACAAUGAAUAAAAGUUAGAUGAGUUUGAUCAAGGGGCUGGAGUAGCUCAGUUGGUUAGAGCGUGUGGCUGUUAACCACAAGGUCGAAGGUUCAAGCCCUUCCUCUAGCGGGGUUUUAAGUUUCAUUUUACCAUUAGCACAUCCAAAAAUAUUUUCCACAAUAUUACAAAGUAAAAAAAAUUCUUGGUAAACAGAUCACCUGCACCGCCAGGUCCGGCAGGGAAGACAAAGUGCUGAAAGGGCUGCUGAACAUGAACAAGUGUGACCGUGCCGGCGCCGCGGUCGCUGGUUCCCGGCGUUACGGCUCCUGUGAUACCAAAAAGAUUAUCAAGUGCCCAUUUGAGUGCAUAGAAACUCUCUCCACUUUCGUCAAGCGCCACCAUCACCUUCAUCUCAUUCUUCCCCAGCAUCUCCUCCUCUUCUUCUUUUGUUCGCUGCAUCGCUAAUCCUGCACCCUCCACCGCCUCCAUCGCCAAAUUCAAUUGCUAUCACUAUCAGUAUACCUCACGUAUUUGAAUAUAAAUUCGAUUACAAUUUUACAAAUUUUCUUUUAUACAUUGAACAUGAUAUUUAUUUAUUUAUUUAUAAUUAUUAUAUAUGGUGUUUUUGUUAAGAAAUUCUUGUUUUGUUGUGAGGAAAAGUUUAAGAGUGAAGGUGGUACGUGGAAGUACGGUAACAGAUCAUGAAACUUCAGCCGGGACAUAUGGCGUCCAUGCAAAUGAAAUCUUCCAAUUGCAGCAUGCAAAAGGCAUCUACCAUACUAAUAAUUAUUCAUUUAACAUUUACCGAAAUCUCUUAUAUAAAGUGAUGGUGCAGUCUGAAUCUUUAUGCUAUUUUUAGAAAAAAUAACUCCAUAAUAUGUCCAAAGGAGGACUAAAAAUGUUUAUUCACAUGGAUUUGUAGUAAAAUUUUAUUCUAAAAAGUGUUAAAUUUAGAUUUAAAUUUCGCACUGAGCUGAAUUUAAAAAUAUGUAAUUAGUAGAUAUUAGAUGAAGAUAUAUUGCUAUAACGUACACAUGGAAACCAAUCAAUUAGAAUGAUACAAUGUAAAACCAAAGAGUAAAAGGAAGGAUAAGUAAAAAAUUAACCAAAAAAAAGUGAUUAAUCCUUUAAAAAAGUUCUGAAUGAUAAUAUAUGGGCCUUCUUGCCGGCCCAGGGGUGUAUUUUCUAGUCCAUUAGAUAAUCCGACAAUCCGUUGUCGUUUGAUAGGCAUUUACAUUUUACAGUGAUGAUGCAUGUGGUUAGUUAUGUAUAUAUCCGUAAAACUUCAAUCAUCAAAUAUGUAAUUCCUUUAAACCAAAAAAAAAAAAAAAUUCAUUUUCAGUUUAGAGAAAUUUGCCCAUUUUACCUUACAAAAAAUACUUGCCAAAUAAAAGCAUUAUUCAAUCAAUGACUCUGAAAUAUUUAAUCAAACUUUUGCACAUGGAGAGAAUGUAACAACGAACUAUAGCUUUUCAAUUUUCACUCAUCCGAAAGCAUUUCAACAAAAAAAAAAAAAAAUUAUGUAUGCAAUAAAAAUUCCUUGAUCACUAGAGGAUAAAUUAAGAUAAAAAUGAAUCUAUAAAACGUUUUAAUCAAGCAAAGGCGUGUUAUAACAAAAAAAAAAUAUAAUUUACAGGUCACAAGAAAAAAAAGAGGAACGAAAAAAGGUGAAACGCAGAAACCAGUAGUCAUCCUGUACUAGGAAAGCAAGGGACAGUGUGUCACCGACCUCAAUCAGUCACUCCGCACGCACGUGACCCAAUCAAGCCGCCACGUAACAAUAUCGUACGUCACCUAACACAAUAUCCCACAUGGCUUAUUCUGAAUGGCCGCUUCUCCGCUUGAGAGACAAGAUCUGAAAUUCUUAUUUCCAAAAUUACCCUCUGAGUUUUUUCAAGUUGACAAUUACGUCCAUCAUCAAAGUAAAUCCCUCUCUCUCUCUCUUUUCUCUUCCUCUUGUCACCCUCACCUUACAGUGCCCCCCGCUUCCCUUCUCUUCUCUUCUCUUAUAUUACUCUCUCUUUUCAUUUUCUUCCUUCUUACACAAAUUGACAAUACUGCCAUUCCGAUAAAUCUCUCGCUUCUCGACUUUUCGAUUUCGCGAUCGGACGGUCAUGACUAUGAUGACUCCUCCACCGUUAGAUGUAAACAUCACUCUAUUUUUUUUUUCUCUCUCUCUCUAGCUUUAUCUUUAUUUCCUUUGAUUGUUUUGAACUGUUUCUAGUUAUUUUCUCGAUCAACUAGGGUUUUGUGUUUGGAUUGACUUAAAUUCGACGAAAUUUUCUGUGAAUGUUAGUGAUUGAUAUCUAGGGUUUUUGAUUGAGUGAAUUGCGGCUGACUUAUAAUUUUGAUUUAAUGAUUUGUGUUUUUGUGUGUUUGGACUUUGUAGCAAGAAGAGGAGGAGAUGCUUGUGCCGCAUUCGGACAUAGUCGAGGGUCCUCAGCCAAUGGAAGGUUCGUUUUAACGGUUGAAAUUUUGUAUUUUUGUUUAGUUUCGUGUUUUUGUGGAUUAUUUAGUGCUGUAGAGAGGAUCUGGAGGUGGCUUAUGUAUAAUUUUGGUUUUGAUUGAUUGGUUUUGGUAUUAGGGUUUUGAGUGUUUUGUAUUGAUUUUUAUGAGUUUUGUGUAUGUUAGUGGUUUCGCAAGUGGAGCCGGCUAGUACUGUGGAGAAUCAGCAAGUGGAAGAUCCUCCUACAAUGAAAUUCACUUGGACUAUAGAGAAUUUCUCUAGAUUGAAUACCAAGAAACAUUAUUCUGAUGUAUUUGUCGUUGGCGGUUACAAAUGGUAAUUAUAUGAUGGACACUAUCUCACUGAUUGAAUUGUUUAUGCAAUGCGAUAUUCUUCUUGUGAUUGAGAUUGAACGUUGGUUGUUGCUGCUUUGUUGCAGGCGGAUACUUAUUUUCCCAAAGGGAAACAAUGUGGACCACUUGUCUAUGUAUUUGGAUGUUGCCGACUCUGGAACAUUGCCAUACGGAUGGAGUAGAUAUGCACAGUUUAGUCUGGCUGUAGUUAACCAAAUUCAUUCCAAAUAUUCAAUCAGAAAGGGUAUCUUCUUAACUGUAAUUAUUGCUGUAGUUGCUCUAUUGAUGUUCAUGCUAUUGUUGUUAGUAAUUAAUUGCUACAGCCUUUAAUAAAAUGAAAUUAAUUAUUCUUACAUUAUUAAAUUUUCCUAUGUACUUUGUUUUAAAUUUUUAUUGCCACAAGUUUACUUUCCAAGCACGGUAUUGAGAAUUUUCCCUGAACAGAGCAUUCUUCAAUUUUUCAUUUUUUUCUUUUUUUGUUUCUACCGAUAAGAAAUCAAGUUUAUUGGUUCAAUGUAUGUUUUAUAUGCUUGGUUAUUUAAUUCACUCAAUUGUGUGUUUCUUUUCUAAUAUGAUCCCUGGUCGCAUUUCUUUCUGUUUGAUGACUGUGCAAGCAACAAUAACAAGAAAAAAGAAAGUAAAUAAAAAUGUUGAAGUUUUCCUUUCAUCAUAUAUGAUAUAAAUAAAUGUGGCAACACAUUCUUUUCCUUCCAAAGAAUGAUUGAUUGAUUGCAUGCAUUCAAUAUUUUUAAGCAGCUUCAGUGCACAAAACAAUGUGUAAUUGCAAAGAAAAUUCAUGUAUGGCCUUAUAUUAUGUGGGAAGAGAGGAGUGAUGAGAAAGGCAAGAAUCUUUAAUAUUUGCCGGAAAUUUGUAUGCUGUUAAAUAUAGCAAUAGAUCAUCUGUUAUGCAUGCGUUACAAACUGGUGACUUCAACUUGACAAUUAGUCUGCCAAUUUGGUCAAAUUUAGAAGUGUGUUCUUGUAGAAGUUGUAAAAAAAUUCAAAAAAAAAUAAUCAGAAUACUGUUGUUUCUCUAGUUUUGCAAGUUAAUGAAAGAUAUCUGCUUGCAGUUGUUUUGCUUGUGCUUGUCAGGAAACUUAUGUUUGAGUUUGUCUGUAUAAAGAACUUUGUACUUUUUGCACUGUAAAUUUAAGCCAAUUAUAUUGGUGACAAAGAAUAGGGCUUCCAUCGUGGUUAUUUAUACCAGAUGUUGGGUCUAUUAUGUACUUUGAUUUAAUCAUAACGAAUUUCUUCUGGAUUGUGCAGAUACUCAACAUCAAUUCAAUGCAAGAGAGAGUGAUUGGGGUUUCACAUCCUUUAUGCCACUUGGUGAUCUUUAUGACCCUAGUAGAGGAUAUUUGGUGAACGAUAGUGUUGUCGUUGAAGCUGAGGUUGCUGUUCGUAAAGUCCUGGAUUAUUGGUCAUACGACUCGAAAAAGGAGACUGGUUAUGUUGGACUUAAGAAUCAAGGAGCAACCUGUUACAUGAAUUCUCUCUUGCAGACUUUGUACCAUAUACCUUACUUCAGAAAAGUGAGGACAUAGUCUGAUGUUUUCAACCAUAAGUCACCUUCAUUUACUGUUAAUGUUUUGUAGAAAGUUAAAAGCCUCAUGUUGUAAAGUAUAUUUCAGGCCGUGUACCACAUGCCGACAACUGAAAAUGAUUUGCCUUCAGGAAGCAUUCCUUUAGCUCUGCAGAGUUUAUUUUAUAAGCUUCAGUAUAAUGACACCAGCGUUGCAACAAAGGAAUUGACCAAAUCAUUUGGAUGGGAUACAUAUGAUUCUUUCAUGCAACAUGAUGUACAGGAACUUAAUAGGGUCUUGUGUGAAAAACUUGAAGACAAAAUGAAGGUAUGGUGGUUUAAUGAGUUUUAUAGUUUUUCUGGUGCAUUUUCUUUCAUGUCUGUCAUCCUAUGAUUAUUGUUCUGUUGGUCCAGGGAACUGUUGUGGAAGGGACAAUUCAGCAGUUAUUUGAAGGUCACCAUAUGAAUUAUAUCGAGUGCAUAAAUGUGGACUACAAGUCUACAAGAAAGGAAUCAUUUUAUGGUAUUUAUACUUUUAGAUGUUGUUUGGGAUUGAGUUUGUUUUUAUCAAUAAUGUUGAUUCAGACAAGUGCUUCGUACAUGGCAGACCUCCAACUUGAUGUCAAAGGCUGUAGAGAUGUCUAUGCUUCUUUUGACAAGUAUGUUGAAGUUGAGCGUCUGGAGGGUGAUAAUAAAUACCAUGCCGAAGAACAUGGCUUACAGGUUAGUUUAUGGGAGUUGAUUGGGACGUGAUACUUGUCUUGCUUUAGCCUCUUGUUUUUAACUCACCUAUGCUUGCCUUUGUAAAGCACAUCGGUUUGUAUGUGAAAGUUUAAAAGUUUAGACUAGCUCGCUCUUUCAUUUUAUAUUUUUUUCUGUCAUUUGUACGUAAAACUAAUUUAAAGGUUUGUCCCUCAAAGCUAAGCUUAACUAUGCUGAUAGCACUGAUUAGGCAGAUCUAUCUGUGUAAUAAAUAUAAAAUUAUCUUGAGGUGUUAUAUUAUUAAAAAAGAUCGUUUCAAAUAGACCCGAUGAUAUUUUUUUCUUAAAUUAAAAAAAAAUUCCAGAUAUAGCAGCUCGAAGGCAUGGUCGGUUUCUGCCCAGCUGAGUGUCAGCUCUGUGUUUCUAAGAAAUCAGGCAAAUCAAAGUUAAACUUUGGUAAUAGUAUUAGAUAGUUUUGCUGUUAACAAGAGAUAAUUUCUAGAAGCAACUGAAAGAUCUUCCUUAAGAUGAUGCCUGCAAUGUAAGGAUUUAUUUUGGUAUUAGAUUAUUCUGUUUUCUUGUAUAUUUUGUUCAGCAUCAUUCUUUAAAAUAUAAUAGUUUUAACAAUUAUUUUGAAAAGUUUUGCUUCCAUUAGUUGAGUUUUGCUUCCAUUAGUUGAAGAUGUUUCUCUAUUCACAUGCUGGAAUUUUUUAUCUUUCAGGAUGCCAAGAAGGGAGUCUUAUUUAUUGAUUUUCCGCCUGUGCUUCAACUCCAGUUGAAGCGGUUUGAGUAUGAUUUUAUGCGAGAUGCUAUGGUGAAGGUCAGUGUCAAUGAUUUGUGUGAUCAGAUUCCAUGUCUUGCCUAGCCCUUGUCGUUUUGUAGUUAUCUAUAUGCAGUAAAUUUCUUCUAUACAAAACAUGGAUUUGGAUUGAGAGAAAGUAUUUUAAUAAUAGUAGUAAUAAUAAUAUUAUAAUACAAAUAGAACUGAGAGGAAGUAUUAUAUGCUUUUUGUGCUUUCAAAUUGUCCUGCUCUGUGAUUUAAAAACUCUGCCUGUAAUGAAGUUACUGUUGUUUGUUGGACAAAACAUAUAUUUUGCAGUUUUUUUUCAUCUUUUCUGAUUCUUCCAUUUUAUUGUGGUCUCUUGUAUGACUUCUCGUUUGUUAUGUAAUGUCCUAAUAAGUUGAAGGUAGGUUGUGGAUGGUUCUUCUAUUUGUAGUAUUUAAUUUGGACACGUCUUUUUUUUCUUAAAAAAAAAUGGAUACCGUUGUGUUGAAGGUUUUACAUGUCAUUGAAUUGUUGAGUUUGAGUGAGGAAAUUGUGCAUGCUUGAGGAAAAACUACAUUUAUACUAGUCUACAGUUUAGUUCUAUAUUAAUUGGCUCUUUUGUUUUGUAGAUAAAUGACCGCUAUGAGUUUCCUCUUCAACUUGACCUUGAUAGAGAGAAUGGGAAGUAUCUAUCACCAGAUGCAGAUAGGAGUGUCCGCAAUCUUUACACGCUUCACAGGUACUAGCCUCUUUUGGUUUUUUUGUUUUAGGAGUCAGUAUAGGUAUUUUGCUUAGCAAUUGGUGGUAGAUUGAAAGAAGGAGAUUGCAUCCUCAUUUUAAUUUUGUGCACCUGAGCACAUUACUUUUAUGGAUGUAGUGCUUUAUGAGAUUUUUGAUUCUUCAUGUGCUAUUCGUUUGUCAUAGUGUCUUGGUUCACAGCGGAGGGGUACACGGUGGGCAUUAUUAUGCUUUUAUCAGGCCAACACUCUCUGAUCAGUGGUAAGUUUAUCUUGCUUUUACAUUUAAAAUUGAUUUUGUGUGUGCAUGCUCUGCACGCUCUCUUUACUAUUUUGUGUUUGCUUGACAUCCUGCCAUUAGUUUGCCCAAACUGGCUAGGAAUAUUUUCUGGUGCAUCUAUCUGUGUUUAAUCACUACUUGGUUUUAGUAUUGUUAGGAAGUAUUAUUGAGGGCAGUUUUUAUGAUACGUGCGUAUUUUUAGUUAAGUUUCAAUAAAAAUAUUUCCAGUUUAUUUGUUGUCAGUUUGAGUAGAAAUCAUUGAAAUCAAUUUAAAUAUCAUCAACAAUAAAAUGGAAGUUAAUUAGCCUUUGUUAAUACGAUCUGAAUGAGGGAUAAAUACCUCAAGUGCCUUCCAUAUUCAAGAUUCCAAGGUUUUGGCCCCAAUUAGUCCCUUUUCCUUUUUUUUUUCUUUUUGGGUAUGUAGGAUGGCUAUUGUAAGAUACAUUCGAGACCAAAGAAGAUGCCGUAACUCUUUACCCCAUAUUUGUCUUUUUCGGAUAGCCUAUUUUAUAGGAUCACAUUAUAUUGGAAUUUUGAUUGUCUGCGGAAACUUAGAAGUAUAUCUUUGCCCCCACAAUAUGCUCAUGAGAUGUCAAGCACCUAAAUUCUUAAGGAGUGGUGAAAACUAUCUGUAUGACUGGAUAAUGGAUUGUUUGAUGAGCUUCUAUCAGAAUAGCUAAAUGUUGUAUGCGUCCUUUUAUAAAUAGAUGGUUUCGUUGAUUCGGAUUUCUUGCUCAUAUAAUCUUAUUACCAGUUUCAUAUAUUUUUUAUCGUUUUUUCUUCAACUACCUAUUUUGUUUCUAAAAUUUGUGUAUAUACCCACCUUGUUGUAAACAUUUGUGUAUAUGUUGUAAACAUUUGUGUAUAUACACAUGUUUGUCUAUGUAUAUAGUGAUUAUCUGAAAAUAUGUUAGUUUAUCAGUAAUGAUUCUUUUUUGGCAGGUACAAAUUUGAUGAUGAGCGGGUAACCAAAGAAGAUGUGAAGAGGGCUUUGGAAGAACAGUAUGGUGGUGAAGAAGAGGUAAGUAAAGUAUUCAGAUGUCUCUUAUAUCUUUUGUUCACUUCGCCAACUAAUCUUCUUGUGUUGUUCUGCUUGUCCAACAGUUGCCACCGACCAAUCCUGGUUUCAAUAACACUCCUUUUAAGUUCACAAAAUACUCAAAUGCAUACAUGCUUGUGUACAUACGUGAAAGUGAUAAGGACAAAAUAAUAUGUAAUGUUGAUGAGAAGGACAUUGCUGAACACCUGAGGGUAAUCUCUUAAUCCUUAUAGUUGGUAUUGACUUGUGCAUGCCUGGACAUAGUCUGAUACAUUGAACAUUUUAAUCCAGAUAAGGUUAAAGAAAGAACAGGAAGAGAAGGAGGACAAGAGAAGAUAUAAAGCACAAGCCCAUCUUUACACUAUCAUCAAGGUAAUAGUUUCUUACUUAAUUUCUUGUUUAUGCUUUAUUCUUUAGUCAUGACAAGCAUGUAUUGGCGUCACAAUUGAAAAUCAUAAUCUAGGUUGCACGAGAUGAGGACCUUGCAGAGCAGAUUGGAAGGGAUAUAUAUUUUGACCUGGUGGAUCAUGACAAAGUUCGUAGUUUCCGUGUUCAGAAACAAACGUCAUUUAUGGCUUUUAAGGUGGUAUUUGAUUUUGUAUUUUCCAGUGAUUUCAUUUUUCAUUUUUCACUUUUCACUUCCUGUUAUUUGAGUUCUUUCCUUUUUUUUUUCUUUUUUUUGGGUGUCAUGGCUGUGAAUAGUAUAGUUGAACAGAUUGUGCAUGAUUAAUUAACUAAAUACAUGGUGUUUCUGCAGUAUUGUGACCAAUUUUGUCUUUUCUUUUUUAAACUCAAUAGAUAUCUAAUUUUGGUUUGGUCUACAGGAGGAAAUUGCCAAAGAGUUUGGUAUACCAAUACAGCUUCAGCGUUUUUGGAUUUGGGCAAAGCGUCAAAAUCAUACAUAUCGUCCCAAUAGACCAUUGCUACCCCAGGAGGAAGCACAAACUGUAUGUAGUUUCUACCUCUGAAUCUUCCUGGAAAUUAUUUAUUUAUUCAUUGCAAUAAGCAGGCAUGUGCAUUGGUCUUGGAUUCCAUCACAUUUUCCCCUUGCAAUAAUUAGGGUAAGACCUAGGGGAUUGUGAUGGAUAUUUGAAUAUGUGAUGUCCUUUAUUUUCAGCUGUUAAUGGAAAUGUUUGUGGAAGGGGUCUGGUAUAGCUAUGUUGUAAUGGUAGCAUUAGAUUCUAUCAACCUUCCCUUUACUUUUCUUCUUGUGCUUAUUAACAUCCAGUUGGAGAUUUUACCUGACAAAUGAGUAGUAUACAUAGGAGUUGAGUUUUUAAUUGUGUAAAACUUCAACUUAAGUGCCUGUUAUACUCAGCGUCUAGAGAACAUUUCCUGUUAUUAUGUUCUGUAUCCCUCUUUUGCAUGAUUCCCUAACCUGUUUUCUAGAGAACAUUUCCUGUUAUUAUGUUCUGUAUCCCUCUUUUGCAUGAUUCCCUAACCCAUUUUCUAGCAGAUGCUGCAAAUAAUCUUAAAGAACUUCAUGUGUGUGUCACUGAACUUCAUGUGUGUAUCACUACGCCUUUUGCUUUUCAAAGUUUUUCCCAAGAUUUGUGUCUUGUCCCAUCUUUUUUGGGUUGAUAAACCUUGGGUGCUUCAAAAUUGACUUUUGAAUCAAACUUAGCCAGAUCAUUCUUAUGCCUAUUACUGUGCAAAAAGUGUUGCAACUUAAAUGUUUUUUGUUGGGUUCUUGGCUAACAAAUUAAGCUUUUAGGUCAAGUGGCAGGCAAUUCUAUUUUACCUUGUCUUCUUUGGUACUUUUGACUAUUGAUAGUGUGAACUUUUUGGCAAUGAAUAAUUUUUACUGCCCUCUUAGUGCUGCGAAACUCUUUACACAUUUGUUAUGCAAACUAAUGUUUUUGAAUUUGGCACUUGUAGGUUGGACAAUUGAGAGAGGUUUCAAAUAAGACGCACACCGCCGAACUAAGGUUGUUCUUGGAAGUAGAGUUUGGGCCGGUAAUGUUAACUUCAGAAAACCUUAAUAAGUUGAUACUGGUGCAUACUAUGCUUGUUAAUCCAGGAAGAUUCUUUUUAUUUUCCUCCCAUGUAUAACUUUAAGCUGUUCUGUUAUAGGAUCUACAUCCUAUUGCUCCACCUGAUAAAUCUAAAGAUGACAUUCUGCUUUUCUUCAAGCUUUAUGAUCCCGAGAAAGGAGAACUUCGGUAUCUAAUAGUUUUCAUCAUUUUUUUCAUUUUCUCUGUCCUUUGUUUCAAAUGGUCUCUUAUAUUAUAGUUUCUUGCAUAUUUGCAGAUAUGUUGGUAGGCUAUUUUUAAAGAGUUCCAGUAAGCCAAUAGAAAUUUUGAGGAAGCUAAAUCAAAUGGCUGGCUUUGAUCCUGAUGAAGAAAUAGAACUCUAUGAGGUCCAUACUUAAUUAACUGUCUUCUUUUCUUCUUCAUGCUUUAUUCUGUGUUUAUAAAUUUCAAUAUAAUAACCUUGGUGAAAGUAUACUAUCUGUAUGCAAUGCUCAGGAAAUCAAGUUUGAGCCGUGUGUUAUGUGUGAACAUCUUGAUAAGAGGACCUCAUUCCGGUUAAGUCAGGUACUUGUUUUAAUUCAUGCUUGAUUUGCUUGCAAAUGGGAUUUGAUAUGUUAAUACUUUGGUCACUUUGCUUGCAGAUUGAAGAUGGAGAUAUCAUCUGCUUUCAGAAAUCUCCUCCGCUCGAAAGUGAACAAGAAUGCCGAUAUCCAGAUGUGCCUUCAUUUUUGGAAUACGUGCAUAACCGGCAGGUGCAAAACAUGUGGAAAUUUUCAAUUAAUAGCAAUCAUAACAUUUGUGGUAUUUCUUGUUAGCUUGUUAUUAGUCUGUAAUAAAACGAGUCCAGAGGGAUAGGUUAUAGUUCAUUCUCUCCUGACUCUUACAGUACCAAGGCAAUUUAUAUUUAUGCUGUAAUGAUGCUAAUUGCCGAUUAAUGAUGUGGGAUUGGUGUUCACUUAUAUAUUAUUUUCAGUUUUAAAUAUGUUGUUGGUUUUCAGGGCUUUAAUCAAGAAUGCACCUUUCAUUUUCUUUUACUUUAGACCCAGUAAUGAUGUGUUUGUCAUUUGCCCUUUUCAAAUCAAUACAACUUACUAAGGCUGUGGCCUUUCAUUAUAACAAUAAGAUGGCCAUAGUAUUCUGACUUCCAAAAAGUUAUAUAGCCCUUCAUAUACUCAGACGUGGGAGUAACAAAUUCUACGAGAGUUCCUUCUUUGUAUCUGUAUUUGUUUCAAACUUCAGCUCCUUCUCUCUCAUGUGAUUAUCUGAAUGAGCAUUGACUGUGAUAUCAUCAUAGGAUAACAUUACCUCCUUUUUCUUUUAGAUUACAAUUGUCAAAUUCUGCCUUUGCUUUGUUUAAACUUCAGACUCAAUUCUUUUAAUGAUUUGAUGCUCAUAGAUUGUCCGUUUUCGAGCUUUGGACAGACCAAAAGAAGAUGCUUUUUGUCUAGAGUUGUAAGUAUUUCCAUUUCAAACCACUCCUGUAGGAGAAUCCUUUUUCGUGGGUUUAGUGUUUGUUCGGUAUCUAUAACCUUUCUAUAAUAUUAUUACCUUUUUAUAAUAUUCAAGGUCUAAGCAACAUAGUUAUGAUGAGGUUGUGGAAAGAGUGGCUCGAAAAAUUGGUUUGGAUGAUCCAUCCAAAAUCAGGCUCACUCCUCAUAACUGCUACUCACAGCAACCUAAGCCUCAACCCAUUAAAUAUCGAGGAGUUGAGCAUCUGUCAGACAUGUUAGUACACUACAAUCAGGUAACUGACUCAUCAAGCUUUUGGUAUUCUUAUUUUGUUUGUACUAAUACACAUUUUGACUACAAAGUUUUAGAUAUUCCUCUUCCAAUGUUGUUUCUUUUUUGUGUUUACAGACCUCUGACAUUUUGUACUACGAAGUUUUAGAUAUUCCUCUUCCCGAAUUGCAAGGUUUGAAAAAUCUGAAAGUUGCAUUCCAUCAUGCUACCAAGGAUGAGGUAUGUGCAUGAGUAAUUGAUGUCUAUCCUCUCUUCUCUUUUGUCUUUAAUACGAAACAGUUUUAUUCUUCAUGUCCUUUUUUGUAAGCUUGUUUAAUUAAACUGUUUCCAGGUGGUAAUUCACAACAUUAGAUUACCCAAACAGAGCACUGUAGGUGAUGUGAUUAAUGAACUUAAAACAAAGGUAACUGUUGAUUACUUGUGUUCCCUUACAUUUGAAAUUAUUGCUUUAAGAUAAUAAGUGUUGCAUGCACUUUUAUUGCUAAUUUGGGUUCUCUCUAUCAGUCAUUUUUCUUGAUGGAAUCGCUCCCAAUACAUCAGAGUUAUAUUUCAUUUCACUUUUUUACAAUGUCUAAUUUACCAGUUCGCUGACUUACGACAUGUUCCCUUGUAUGAUUUAAGGAAAUGCAUCAAAUUAGAUUUAUUUACCGACAACUGCGCCUCUUUUUUUUCCCUUCAUUUGAGAAACAAUUUAUCUGCAAAGAGUAUCGGGGAGUUUGCAUGAGCUAGAAGUCUUAUGUGAUUCAACGCAUAUUUAUGGCAAGGGUGAUUUUGCAUAAUUUGUUUCUUUAGAGGCUAUGUAGGCAUCAUAACCCCCUUUUUUUUUUUGCAUACAAUUCAUUUUAUUAAGCUGCGGAAGAUUUACAUAUUGUGCACUUUGAAACAGGUGGAAUUAUCCCAUCCAAAUGCAGAACUAAGAUUGCUUGAAGUUUUCUAUCACAAGAUAUAUAAGGUAAUUAACUUACAAUUGAAACUCGUUUGGCUUAUGGGAAUUCUUGUUAGAUGAUGGUUUUAAUUUUUUCUCUACAACAAUUUCCACUGGACAAUUGCAUUAGUUUUGUAUCUCAUAAUACUUGUAUAUCAUCCAUGCAGAUCUUUGCCCCCAAUGAAAAAAUAGAGAAUAUAAAUGAUCAAUACUGGACCCUUCGUGCAGAGGAGGCAAGUUUUUGUCACUAUCUUUUCGUGUCUUUAUUGGUUGCUGUGGUGUUGUGCUCUCAGUUUCAUUAAUUAUCUAGUUGAUGUAUUUAAGGUCGGGAUCUGCAAUUUGGAUUGAUGUUUUUGUUAUGUAUAUAGCUGAUUUUGGUUUUAAUGAGCAGAAUUGACGUAUGCUAUGUAGUGCUGGUCUGUUUACUGACCUCAUUUAUAUUGACUCAGAUCCCAGAGGAAGAGAAGAACCUUGGUCCCAACGAUCGCUUGAUUCAUGUUUACCACUUUACGAAAGAGUCUGCACAGAAUCAAAUGGUAUUCAAAUGUGAAUAAUUGGUUAUGGCCGCGCCCGGGCCCCCCCCCGGCGGCCUGAAGACUUUUAAUUGUCUAUAGAUUAUAGGAAUUUCUGAGAUUCUUAUACUGUUUCAAAAUUUUGUCUUUCAACAGCAAGUACAAAAUUUUGGGGAACCAUUUUUCUUGGUUAUCCAUGAAGGUGAAACAUUAGCCGAAGUUAAAGAGCGCAUACAAAGGAAAUUGCAAGUUCCUGAUGAGGAGUUCUCUAAGGUAUUUUUGCUUGGGUGUUAUCAUUUCAUAUUACUUGGGAAUUCACUGGUGAAUCAUGUAUUUGACAUUGACCCUUUUCUCUUCUUUGCUUGGGCGUUAUCAUUUCACUUAGCUUGCUAUAUACUCAUCUGUUCCAAUAUUGGAUAUGAUUUUUCUUUUUGUGAAUCCCUAUUUAUGUGUGUGCCCAAUAAACUGACCCUUUCAUUCAUCAUGUUAUCUGGUUGAUCAGUGGAAGUUUGCUUUCUUAUCACUGGGUCGUCCAGAGUACCUUGUGGAUACUGACACUGUUUUCAACCGUUUUCAGGUUUGUUUUCUUUCAAUCAUUUUUUUUUUCUUUUCUUUGGGUUUAGUGCCCUCCCGGAUGUGAGUUCAUUACAUCUGUUUUUAUUUCAAUAUUUUCUGUAAGUUGAAGCUCUGUUUUGUUUCUUUCUUUCAACUUUUUUUUCCAUUUUCCUUAGAGACGAGACGUUUAUGGUGCUUGGGAACAGUACCUUGGGUUGGAGCAUUCUGAUAAUGCUCCCAAGAGAGCUUAUUCCGUAAAUCAGGUAAUUUACUUCUAUGCUCGCUAUUGUUAUGCGUCGUAAUAUGAACCAAAAUAUUAUUUUUAUCAGUGUUCAAUGCUUGGACAGCUCGUUCUGCAAUUUAUAGGACUCCUAUACUCCCCAUUCAUAUGGGUGCCUCAAACCAUUUGGUUAAUGUUGUAACAAUUUGUUGGUGUUGCUCGGUCUGCCUUGCUUUCUCGUAAAGCUAACUUUUUGUCGACAGACUAGAAUAGUUAAUCUUUUCUAAAAGUCAUUUUCAAAUUGCAGAACCGGCACACAUAUGAGAAGCCCGUCAAAAUAUACAACUAAUGCAAGAGCCUAUGAUCCACCUACACAUAAGCUGAGAAGAAAAACCUUCAAUGCCUUGAUGUAAUUAUGUAAUUGGGCAGGAUUGACAAUGAACAAAUGAUGGAUUUGAAGGUACAAACAAGGCUCGCCUUGAGAUGUUUCUGUGGGGCUCCAUUGUUUGUUUGUGGGCUAUAUCUGUUUCUUUGAUUGAUGUGGGUGGGCAAGCAGAGAUUUUAGUAGUGUGUUCUGUCAUUGUCAACACAACCUGCAUGAGCAAUCUCUUUUGUUUUUUCCUGGCUUUAGGAAGACACCUUGCCUCCAGGCUUUGAGAGGCUGGUGGUUUUUAUGUAUACAGCUCCAGUGUAAUUUAGCAAGCAGUAUAUAAGAAGAUUUUGACGGGGAUGUAUACUGGGUAUAGUUUGUUGCAGCUGAUACUUAAUUCUUCUUUUUUUUUCCUUUUCGACCCUGUUCCUUCUUUCUGAGUUGAUUUGGUAUCUUCAGGAUGAGCUUGUAAAAUGGUCAUUUUCAGUCUGCAAUUCUGGGCUUAGUACUUACCAGCAGCAGUGCAGAUUGCAAUUUAUAACACCUUGAGCUUAAUUACAAGUAGUCAGGAUUCAUCGUCCUUUUUUAAAAUAAUAGCGCUAUUCUCUCUAUUUGAAUGCACUUGCUUAUUUAUUGCUAAGCAUUAGCUGAUAUGCUGAACGGAAUAAUUUUAGCUGCAUUUUUUUUUUCCGUUAGGGCAUUUCUAGGUACUUGGUCCUGUUAUUUUAAUCUAAGUAAUGAAAUUAUAUUGUAUUAACUUGUAAGACCCAUUCUCCGCUUUUGAACGUGCUUAAGAAUGUGGUUUGUGGUGGAGCUAUAACCUAUUGUACAAAUUUAAUUUAAGCAAUUAAAUGUGGUUUAAAUUCUAGGAUGAGAAUAAUAAAAAUAAGUCAUGAGUCAAGAGUUAUUUUAAUCUAAGUAAUGAAAUUAUAUUGUAUUAAUUUGCACAAAAUAAAUUUUUAGAAGAUUUUACUCAAAAUUAAAAUGAAUAAGUAAAAACUGGAGGUUAUUAGUUUUACUGCAUGUUGUGUAUUCUUAAAAUAAUUACUUGUUUCCAUUUCUACUCCUAAAUAAUGUUUAAUAGAUCACUUAACAACUCAAAUAAACUAGUCAGUUUUAGUGCAUGUUGUGUAUACUUAAAAUAAUUACUUAUUUCCAAUUCUGUUCCUAAAUAAUUUUUAAUACUCACUUAACGACUGAAAUAAAUUAUGUUUGGCAAAAAUAAUUUGAUAACAUAAAAUCCACAACAAUUCUAAACAUUUGCUUGGUUUAAUGUGUUCUGCUGACUUGAUCAAAGAAUCCAAUUGAGUCGAUAUAUUCUAUUAAUAAAGUCGGUAGGAUAUCACACCAUCAAUAGUCUCAACAACAAGCCGAUUCAAACGCAUGAGAAGCAGCAGAUAAACCCUAGCUUUAGGCCCUGAGACAACCAAAUAACAGCAGAAAACUCUAUGACGUAAUGACAAGUGAAUUAAUGGAAGUAUUAGCAUGUGUAGGCAGCAAAGUUAAGAUUAUGAAUGCAGAAGUAAUUAUAUUUGGCUGAAAACGCAUACCUAAGCCCAGAGAUGUAAUUUCAUCCUGAAGAAAAUGGCUAUAUCCUUUGGCUCUCUCUUUCUGGCUCAAGCUCGAGUUGAUCUUAUCAACAGCAGCCAGCAGAUCCUACAAGUCAACAAAUCAUGGAUACAAUCAUAAAAGCUAUAUGCUAUGAAAUCCCAGACAAGACGAUUCAAAUAUUAAGGAUAUACAACAUUGUUUAGAACUAUUGAAUUUUAAAUUAAUGGAAACUUCUUGAUAUAUCUGUAAACAGGAACUGCAGUUCUUCGGUCUGGCCGCCCAGGGCAUAGCUUGUUUAGGACCAGGGCCUGUCCCAUUACUGUCCAUAGCUCAUUAAGUGGUAAGAGAAAGACACGAAAUACUUAUUGGACAUGAAAGCAAAGCAAGGCACCAUAAUGUGAUGGGCCGCCCAAAAUUUCAGCCCAAGUGUCCAAAUUUAAGCUAAGGUGUGCGGGCCUGGUCCAAUUCCAAAAUUUUCCAGCACACUGUUGUCUGAGUGCCAUGUUUGCUGCGAAAGAUACUCAUCCGAUGACAAUAAGAUACUUCAGCCUAAGCCUCGAUGCAUUUUCAAUAAUUUGAAUCAACAAGCCUUAUAAGCAACUCACAAAACUAGGGCAUUUCUUAAUGGUUAUCUAAUAUUUCCAAAACCAAAUGCAAAAGCCAUUUCUUGUACCCCUGCACAAAUGAUUCAUGGAAUCUCUAUUUUCGGAAAUGCAUCACUCAAAUACACCAGUUUCAUCACAUAAACUUCACGCCAUGCAGUUUCAUCACAUAAACUUCACGCCAUGCAGUUUCAUCACAUAAACUUCAUGUCAUGCAGUUUCAUCACAUAAACUUCAUACCUCCCAUGGUGCUAGGCUCUUCAUGUAGGAAGGAAGGCUUUCAUAAUCAACUUUUGAUACCUUUAUUAUGGGGCCAGAAGCUUCAAAUGACUUUGGCUCAUCUUUCUGUUCACCUAUAUUCACAAUAAAUGAUAAAUACAAUGUGACUAGGCCUGUCAUUGUAACAAGACUCUUUAAAUUGAUUAGGUGCUUUUUAAUCUACCUUUAAUUUUUGCAGCACGUUGACACGGAUCCUUCAUGUCCAGUUUGUCCCCAUAAGAUCUAAGAUUGAAGGCUUUUAAGAAAGGAGUUAAAAGAACCUUGCACAAUAUAAGUAACAUUCCAGGCUCAAAACUUACUUCAUUGGUUUUUGAAUACCGAUAUCUGGAUCAUCAGUCUUAUUGUCACCUGUAGAGAAAGAAAGAAAGAUAUGACUGUCAAUCAAAAAAUUAGGAAUGUAAAAGCUAUUAGUCUAAUAUCUAACCUAACUGUAAUUGCAUUAAGAAGUUUGGCUGUGGUAUCAACCAACUGAAACUCGUCACAACUAGUGUUCUUUAAAGUAAUGUGCUAGUCAUGAUGCAAUUGUUGCUAACCUUCAGAUGCUAAAGUGGCGAGACAAACAUCUGAAAGCCCAAGGUUCUUUAAACUCAGUGAUUCAUCAAGUCUAAGAAAUGUCAAGGAAACAAAAACAUUUACGUCAAUAAGGUUUGCCAUUAGUUAUUAACGUGCAUUGUCAGCCAUUUUUCAACAUUCUAUGAAAAUAAUUUCAACUCCAUACACCCUUCAGUUACUAUGAUAAUAGAGGAGCAAAAGAUUAAAAUUCCAAGCUGGCAUCAAAUGCAACUUAAUGUCACUGAGUGGUAUCUCAGAUUCUCAUCAGCUCUUGUUCCCAAAAUCCCAAUGAAGAACUAGAUUCAAUUGAUUAGAGGAGAAAAAGAAGUAUAUCCUAUGACCCUUUUCUCAUCCCUUGUUUAAGUUAACAAAACUUUUCACGCCAUUAUAAACAAGAUAUGCAAAUGUAUAAAAGAGUGAUCACAUCAAUGCUGAUUCAAAAUUAUAAAACAAGGAUACAGAGGGUCCUCAUCCAAGCUCUUCAUGAACGAUCGUGCCACAGAAGCAGGUGACCGUGCAUCCACACCAUCCUUUGAACCUAACCCAAAUGUUGUCGACAAACUGGAAUCCUCAUCUUCAUCAUCAACCUCAAGUUCUAAUCACAGAGCCACACACAAAAAAAUAAUAAUACUAAAUAAAAAGGACAUAAUUUUGAAGAAUUACGUUGAUAAAUGGAAAUAAUUGUAAGCAAAGCUAACUCAAUUGACAGCCUCUAGUGUCCUAAACGAAUCAAAAUUUAAUUUUUUAAUUCGAAUUUAAUAUUAUAGAAGAGGGGAAAAAAUAAAUAAAUAGAGAGCGAAUCAGCGAAAGUGUUACAUACCGGGAACAUAACCGAAGCCUUUGAGGCGAUCCUGGAGCUCAAGAAGAUUUGUUUGGUUGUUUUUGUAAACUUCACUGCAGUGUCCUAACAACUCCUCAAACGACACCGUACCGAAGGACAUCGAGUCGAGCAAAUUCACAUCGCUGGUGAGGCAUGUGACGCGGCGGCUCAGGCAUUGUACGAACGUCGACGACGUUGAAUCCAGAGGAAUCGGACGCCGCUGGACCGAUUCCUUUAAAGCUUGGCAGCUACCUUCAAGAUGAUUGCAGAAGCAUCCUAAGCUUUUGCUCAGAUUUGAGAUAUUUUCGUCCAUUCUAUUUUUUCUGAAUUUUGUUGAAGCUCUCUUGCCUCUGUCAAGACCUACAGUUUAAUUUGGAAACGAAAGAUUCACUUACGAUUAUAACUCGUUUUGGAUGUGCAAUGACUGGAGCGCCUAUCCUUGGCGGGAAACAAAACCUUGAAGGAAAGCACUCUUUUAUUUUAAAUUUUCAAUUAUCUCCCUUUUUGCGUAUUUGAAGUUGGAAUUUUCCUUUUCAUAAACGGGUGCGGUACGAUAUUUCUUUAAACAAAAAAAUUAGGAAAAUGUGUUUAAAUUUUAUUUGUGAUUUAAUUUUAAAAAAUAAUUUUAACUAAGAUUCUUAGUUAAAAUAAAUUUUAAUUGUUUUUCUCAAAAAGUAAAAACAAAGAAAACUACCAGGCUGUAUGGUGUUUAGUUACCUUGUGAGGGGAGUUUUGAUUUUCAUUAUGUGAAAACAAAUCGAAUAAUUGUUUGGUAAAAUGAAUUACAAAACACAAAAUACAACUUUUCACUUUUUACUCAUGAAGUUAGAAAAUAAUGUUUUUAUAUUUUAUUGAAUUAUAGAAAAACAAACAGUGAAACUGUUGGGAUUAUAUGCUCUUUUAAAGCAUAUUAAUUUAUUUUCUGAUUAAUAAAAUAUUGGAGAUAUUUUCAAUUGCAUAAAUAUUUUGAAUAAGCUCUGUUUAAUCAUAUUAUAUGUAUUUAUGUGAUCAUCAUAUGGAUUCACAGAAGACAUAAAUACAAGUUAUCUUGUGAUUAAAUAACUUAAGUUCGCAAUUGAUAAAUAGAGUUGGGCGCUCUAUUUAUGUUUAGACUCAAGUAAAUUCAUUGAAUGAUUUGUCUUAAUCAUGCAUGAAUUUACUGAUGUAGUUUGACUACAUUGAGCUGGAUCACAUAUGAGAUUUAAUUAACCUUGAAAUGACUGUCAGACUUAUUAAAUCUCAUAGGCAUUGAUUUUACUGUAAUCUUAAUCUUGAGUUAAUUAUAAUUUCAUGAUUAUAAUUGUUAUUUCAUUUGAGUUACCAAUGGGCACGACACAUACUUGUAGUCAAGAUUACCCGGUAUCUUGGUGGGAGCAAUUAUGAAUAUUAGAGUUAUAGAUUGACAAUAUAGAAUUUGUACAACACAUCUCUUGAUGAGUUUUCGGUACUUGAUCAUUAAAUUCUCUGGCCAGAGUGUGUCAACAUAUUUAGUAUGUUGAAAAUUAUCAUUAGAGAAAACCGUUGAAAAUUAUCAUUAGAGAAAACCAGUAAGAAUCAAAGAACAAAAUGUAAUUAAAUUGAUUGGACAGUUGAGAUAUCGAUUUAAUUAAUGAUGUGGUACAAAAAAUUGUGCAGUAAAAAAAUCAAUGUGGCUUGUGACGAAUUAUUAUUCGAGCAUACAAUUAUAGAAGUCAGUUCCAAUCUUUUAGUGGAAUAAAUUUAAAAUUAAAUAAUUUAACUAAUUUAAUUAUAGACCUAAUUAUUAUAGCUACUAUUGUAUGUUCAUAGCUGCACCUUAGCUUGUUGAGGUUAAAGGAAAGAAAGGGCCUUCAGUUCAGUUUGUAUACACUUCUAUAACAAUUUACAUCAACUCAUAAAGUUAACUCUUCUAUAUUUCAUGGAUUUGAUUGCAAUUUACAGCAACUUUAAACAGAAUGUACCUUAAGAUUACACUGCAUAAAGCCCCAAAAAAAGGGGAUUGACAUUGCUACUGUUUAUGUACAAUGCAAAUGUCUCCUCUCAUCUAUUAUUUGCACGUUAAUCUUUUCGGUAAAAAUUCAGGUUAGCUCCCCUCUAAGAGCACUGGCUGCCCUUUGAAUGGCUCUCGCAACUCUCCAGACCUCAUGUUGAAUUAGAGCCUCCCCGUCUUUCUUGCUCAUACUUGUCGAUUGAGAAAUAGCAUCCGAUAUUCCAGGAAAGCAGCUCAGUUUGCUUUCGUAUUCAUCAUGAGGUCCAUAAAUCUACAAAAACGACAAGUGUCGCCAUCAUUAGAGCUUGACACAGACGCUCAAUGGCUAGUAAUAACAAACCGACAGUCUUUUUUAUCAAGUUGAAUUUGGAUAGAUUCUGUCAAUUGAGAAAGUCGAGAAGUUUACAUUAAUAGAAGGAAGAGACAGCGAUUGCAAAUUUCUCUCUCAUUCUCAAAAUAACCCGAAAAGUCUGAAAAGAAGCUGCUCCUUUUAAAAGCAUCGGUUCAAUUGUCGGUUCAAUUGUAUGAGCACAUGUAUGAAGCUAAUAUACUAAUAUAGAUGUCAAUCUAGGACCAUAUAUUUUCUUGAUAUUGUUUUGAAACAGAAAUCCAGGAUAUACUGUAAACCAUCACCCUUUUUUGAAAUCGGUCUAGCUGUAUUAAGGGAUAGGAAAGAACUUACAAGAUGUUUGAACCACUGCCUUCCUUGAAGCCCAUCAGUGUCCAGGAAACCUCUUUCUGCAAGCAUCAGCCGAUCAUUCAAAUCAUGAAUUUUCAAGAUUUCAACACCACCCAAAUGUUCUUGCUCUCUUAACCUCUGCAGUCACAAUGUAAAAGUGAUUAUAUGAUAGAAACUUUCCAUACGAAAAUUUUGCGACCUUUUGAACUAAUUAAUUCCAAUAAGAUUUUCCAGAUCUCACCUUUGCUUCAUUUUGAGCGUCUUUAGCUGCAGAGGUUAGAUCCUUAAUUGCCGCAGUUAAAGGAUCCAAAGAUAUCCUCUGAUCCAACAAGUUGCUCAAGAUGUCUUUAUUCUCCUGUCACAGUUCAGAAGGAAUAAGGAAUAGAAUAUUAAGUUCGUGAUGCCCCGGAAGCACAACAGUGGCUCUAGAUUUAGACAAAUUUUAUUACACAGUAAAGCAGUGUUCCGUAUACCACCCUUUUCAAAACUACAGGCCUUCACUUACAUGUGAUCAGUAUUCUUUUUCUUCCAUUUAAUGAAUGAUCGUUGUUAGAAUAACUUUUAUUCAGCUUAAAACAUCUCAUCUAAACCAUCAGCAACAGACAUGACCAUAAAAUCUUGAACCAUCCUUCGACAAAAUACAUCUAGACCCAAUCAUCUAAGUCAAAACUCAAAUUUUAAUGAUUUGUAUUAACUAAAUUCACAACAUCUCAGUGCCAAAAAAGAAAGAAAGAAAGAAAGCAAAAUUAAAAAAAAAAACCAUUAAAUUAAAUGUUAAUUAAGAACCAUAUAUUUCAGGGGUAGAAAACAGGAAAGAACUUGAAUAACCAGUCUUGAAAUAACUAUGAGAAGACAAGAUGCAUACCUGUAACUGAUCUGAGUAAGAGAGGAAAUUGAAUGGCAAAAUUGAAUCAUCGGCCAAGUGAAGGGCCAGAAGCCCCCAAACUCCAGCAACUAAAACACAGAACAAAAAUGUAAUGUGUGAUGAAGAAAUUUUUGAGUAAAUACUUUAUUGAUAAGUAUUUUUUAGCAAAAUAUCUUAUAUGGCAACAGGUGAAAAGGGUGGAAAGCUAACCAGCCACAUGCCGAUGAAACAAAGGAUCUGCAUGGCCUACAAUCCAGGUGUAUGUAUCAAGGGCAGUGUGAUAGACAGGAAAAUCUGAAAAACAAGAGAUCCUUGUAUUACAACUGUAUGGCCUUAAAAACUUUAGUCUGUUACUCAAAUUAGAUGACAACAUUCAAAUUAGAAGUUGCCACUAACUCUAACCAAAAUGAUGGGUAUAAACAGGGCACUAUUCAAAUCCUCCACUGGCGCGGAGGAUGAAAAAAAUAAGUAAAAAAACUGUUUGAUUGCACUUGACAAACACAAAAAAGUGACAGCUUUUCAUAUUAUAUUAUUACACAAUUUAACACCAGAUCGUCUCAUCCCCAAAUGUAACCAAAUAUUUCCAUUAAAGGAUGUAGAAAACGAGAGCCAAACCUUUUCCAUAGUACAUAUCAACAGAAGGGACCCCAGCAUGCUGCACAAAAGAAGCAAAAUCCGAAUCCACUCCACCAAGUCUUUGGAUCUGCAAUUAGGGGGGAAAAAAAGGCUCACAUAUCCUGGAUAAGUUUCCAUCUCCCAAAAAAAAAAGGGCAAAAAGCACAGAAGAUUGACCAUAGCACAUCCGCUAGUCCUGCAAACCCUAGGGUGUCUUACACUAGUGAAUCAAUAGGAAGUCACAGAAAGACAAUGCAUAAGAUUCAAAAGUGUAUGCACAUAUAAUCAUAUAAAAAGAAGCCUUACAUUGAAGAUUCUGUUUGGAGCUGACCACUGAUCAUAUAAAGUUCCACUCUCUGAUUCAGGAUCUUUUACCUGAAAUCGAUGUGAAUGUUAGUUGAUCCGUAUGUUAAGCCAGUUGAUAAUUGAAGACUAAUUUAAACAUUUUGAAAUCAUAGUCAAUUAUUCUUCCCCAACUUACCAUUUUUGUGACCUCAAUAAGAAUAUCAUCUAGCUGAGGAGUUGCCCCGGCAAAGAAUCCUGGCCCUUGAACUGCACAAUCUACAUUAAGGUAGGCCACAGCUUUGGCACCCAGAUUCACAAGGUUUUCUUCAACCCACUCAGUGGAUCCAAUCUGAAAGCAGAAUAAAAGGGACCAAUACAAUAACUUCAUUCAGGGUGUAAGCACAAAAAUGUUCCACUGAAAAAUCCUUGUUUGAUUUAAUAACUAGCAAAAACAGGCAGAUUUUAUAGCAUGCAUAUAGGGAUAUUAACAAGAGUGGGGCCCCACGACUCCCUCUGCUCAUCAGCAGUCAGCACACAAAAUAUAACAGUUUGUUCUUUCAACAAUUACAGCCAGGUCACUGACUACUGAACUGCAUCACAGUUAAGAUCAGUGCAGCAGCCAUUCAGAAGAAAGUAAAAUAGGAAAAUUACUGAAAGACCUCUCUCUUUUCUAGCAGAUGAUAAAAAGUAACCCCAAACGUGAAAACCCCAAAUGGAGACGUGAAAUUAGAAAUGAAAAGGAGCUGAAACUGCAAGGCAGCAUGGGUCAAGCCUAACACUCUUAUGUCAUAGAUUUUAUUUUCCCUGAUCCUUAAAAUCACUGACAAAGUCGUAAUAUUCCUAUGGGUCCUUGUUUUGAGCAAAGUACCAUAGAAGCCUACUGUUUACAUUUGAUCUGAUGUCUUUCUUUGAUGCAUCAUUCAUGUAUUGGACCAGCUAAUAUGCUGCUUUAAAGGGAGAAAAGAAAAUAACUAAAAGGAUUCACAGAUCACUGUCUGACACAUCCAAGCCCAUAAACCACAUUGUACAUCAAUGAUCACUGAAGACUGAUUAUUACCUACCAUCCCAAAUUCUUCUGCAUCCCAGCUGCAGAAAAUAAUUGUUCUUCGAGGGCUCCACCCCAGGCGCAUCAAAAGGGCAUAUCGUCUGGCAAUAUCAAGUAGGGCUGCGGUCCCACUGUUGGGAUCAAUAGCUCCAUAUGUCCAUGCAUCUCUAUGGUUGCCAAGGAGCACAUAGCGAUUAGGCUCCUCUAGCCCUCUUAUGACUGCAAAAACAUUAUAAAUUGUCGCCACCUUUUUCUUCCCCUAGAAGAACAGAAAGAGGAAAAAUUAUAAAUCAUGAAACAUACCACUUAUUCAGAACCAGCUUGCCAAAAGAUCUGGAAUUUAAGAAUUAAAUUUUUUGAUAUUUCCACUGUGAGCUUCUAAUAACAAAGACGAAGAGGAAACAAUAUAAAAAAAUCCAGUUUAAGUCAACAAAGCCUUGAUUAUACAAGUUAUGCAGAUGAAACAACCCCAAAUGUGACCCUAUAAUUUGAUUGUAUAAUCACGAAAGGGGGGAGGGGGUGUGGAAACAAAUCUUCCACCUAUCCAAAGUAGGUUCCUAAUUUUAUAAACGUUAAGUUAGAGCUCCGGAAUCUAUUAGACAACACAUUUCUAUAUGAAUAAAGAAUCACGUGUGGCAUGCUAACGUCUAACAACACGACAAACCAACUUCUAAACUUUAGAGAACUUUCUGUUUCUCCUAAUAUGCUUCAACCAAGGUGUCCUACUCCACAACACAACAAACCAACUUCUAUGCUUACUUUAGAGAAUUCCCGGUGUCUCCUUAAAUGCUUCAACUGAUGUUUCUUCUCCACAACGCAACAAACUCCCUUCCAAACAAACUCCAUAGAAUGUCAUAUGAUACCAAAUAUGCUUCAAUCAGCGUCUUUUCGGAAUAUUCCACAUUAAUUAUCAUCUUUGAACAGUUAAUUACAAUCAGAAUUAAGGAGGCUUGAUGUUCCACUUGUCCAACAUGGAAAACUUAUCACAUUUAGAACACUUUCUAUUAUUCAAACAAUCGAAUAACUCAAUAAAUAGACACGGCCCCAACAAAAGAAAGUAACUUUUUUCUACCAUUUACAACUCUUAGUUUCUUUAUCAAAAUAUUGGCAACAAAGUUGUUCAUAAUUCUAUUUACACAGCCUAAGUCAGCCCAUAUUCAACUAAUUAUAUAAUUUACACCCAACAAUAAUACCCGUUAUAACAAUAGGGCCGUUAUAACAAUAAGGCCAAAACCAAAGUCAUAAAAAAACAUGCAUCAAACCAAGGAACCAACCAACCUGAAAUGUCAAAUUAACCAUAGUCGGUCCCGGGCCGACCCGCCCACCAUUAACCCGACCCAAAUCAUUCAAAAACUGAGGCACAAAGCCACCCCAAAGAGACCCCAGAAUGAUCUGAGCAUUCUCAAAAGACAAGGGCAAAGAUGGAAUUUUAGGAAAUCUCUUUGAAACUUCACUGUCUUCUAAAUCUAAGCUCUCCCCUCCUUCAACCCCAGCCCACCCUGGACUCAGUGGGUCCCCCACUCCUCUCAUAACUGUCCCUCUCUCAACCCCACCCCCCUUAACCUAUCCCACUCGGCGUACAAUAGCACCCCGAUCGCACCUUUAGCCUCGGCUAAAAAAAUAACUCCACUCCUCGAUAAAACACUCCCCUUUCUCGCCAUCACUACACACCCACUAACGUUCACCCCCGCAGCCUCCAACGCACGAUAGUCCUCUUCCCUCCCGUAAUUCACAAACACAACCUUACCGUACGCCGACCCGGACGGCGAGUACGCAUGAUACGGCUGAACAACGUCCAAGAUCGCAUUUUGAGAGAUACCCUUUUCAGUCAACGACAAUUCAACGGUAGUGCCGUUGCUGAAAUGCGCUGAAACAGAAGCAUGCACGGGAUACGACAAAAGCGCUUUGUAUUCGACGGUAUGAGUGUUAAACUUGAGUUGUUCGAAGUGUGACUGAACGUAGCGGACUGUGUCCAACGAGGGCUCAGUUCCUGCGAGGUGAGGAUGGUGAGUGAGGUCGCGGAGGUAAGAAGAGACUGUGUAGUUGGAUGACAAAGAGAGGAAAGUCUUUUGGAAGUGGAGGGCAGUUUGGGGAUUUCGAAGUGGGGGUGUAGCGGGUGAAGGGUAGGGAUGAUGUAGAGUAUAGAAGCCAAUAAUGCAGAGGAUUAGAAGGAAGGUGAAGGUUAUCAAAGGUGGCGGAGGUUUUGAGGAGGCGGUGGUGGUGAGUUUGGUGAAGGGAUGGGUCAUUUCGUAGAGAGAGAAAAUCGGCGUUUUUGAGGGUCUGAGAGAGAGAAAUUAAGGGUUUUAUGUUCGAGGAGUUACAGAGAAAGGAGAAAGGAGAAAGGACAGAGAGAGAGCAAAGGUCGUGGCAGCGCAAAGCAAAGGUGGUGCGACUGAAAUUGAUGCAAGUCAAAAAACGAGUUUCAGUGGGCGUUAUAUGGGUGCCAACUUUAUGGCGUAAUAACAUUUGGAUCCUUGAAUAUCUUUAUAUUUUCAAUUAAUGAUGUAAUAAUUAUAUUUUUGUUUUCUAUUUAUCAAACAUGUAAUAGGCCUGGAGUGUCUGUAAAUUGAUGCUAUGGGGGUGAGUACCUGAAGUUGAUUUUGAUUAUUUUUACUUGAAUGAGCUUUUUCUUUUCCCAACAAAAACCAAAAACUCCGAUCAAGAAAGAAAAUGCGUAAUAGAGUUAUGCAAGCACAUCAAUAAACCAAAAAUGAUAUGUAGUAUUAUAGCUUAAUAUUAUUACGAAUUUCUUAAACAUCCAUAUGAAUAAUGUCAGAUAAAUCAGACUAAAUUACUGUGAUUUUCUAUUUUGUUAAGAAAGCUUUCACAUUUUUAUUACUUGAAUGGUUAUUAUCGAAUGAUUGAAAUAUUUUUAAUGCUUUUAUUUUAUAGUUGCAAUUUUUUGUUUUUACCUUUGUGAUUUAAGAAAAUCUAACUUUCAGUUAUUAAUGUUUGAUGUUAGUUUAGACCGGUUACAAAUUUUUAAUUGAAUUCAAUUUUAAACAACAAUUCAAUAAUAAUUGAAAUUUAAUAUUAUAUAAAUAAUUUGGUUAUUUAUAAUUUUAAAUAGAAGGUAUGAACCUUUAACGAGAUCAAAAAUCUUGUUUCAAAUCAUAAUCUUAUUGUAUUUAGACGUGCUUCUAAAAUAUGUAAUCAGAUUGUUUAUCACCUAAUUAAAUUAGACUUGUCAACUCAACAGGAGAUCUUUCACUUGCUGUGAGCCGUAAAGUGAUGCCUUGGUUUUAAAUAAAGUUCUAAUUCCAAAGAAAAAAUAAAAUAGAACUUGUGGACCUAAUUGAUAUAACUUGCUAAACUUAUGCCUUUAUUUGUAAAAAUGUAAGAAUCGUGGCCUAAAAGUAUUUUUAUCAGGAUUGCGCCCAUCUUUUUUGUCUUUUUGUUUUUUGUAUUUUGUAUUUUUCCUUUGAGGAUAUAAUUGAAUGUCCUUUUUACAGGAAGUACGAUAUGCUGUGUAAUUAUUUAUAUUGGAGCAGAAUCCCGACUGAGAUAUGAAAAAUUUUUAAAUUAUGCGAUAUUUACAAAUUCUAUAUACAUUGAUGUGAUAAGUUUGUACGAAUCAAUGCCACAUGUCUUAUAUAAUUUUUAAAAUUAAAAAAAAAAUACAAAUAUAAACAGAAUAAGUGACAUUGCGACAACAACUUAGUACGAUAUGGAAUAUUUUAUAAAAUAAACAUUAAAGAGAAAGUUUUAUAUAAUUUUUUAAAAAUAAAGUUAACAAAUCCAUUAAAAAAUGGUGGCAUUUUGUAAUUGAUGCAUUGUGAUGUGGAAUCAUAGAGAGCGUGGUGGGGGAAAAAGUAACGGAUGAUUUAGUUUGUAUUUUGGGUUCCAAAGUGUCACUAUAACAUAUGAUAGAUUUCUUCUCUCUCUUUAAUUAAAAAUCAUUCAGGAAAAAUGACUGUUAGGUCCCUCACCUUUAAGAAAAAAGACAUAAAAAUUCCUAACAUCUUAAAAAAGAUAUAUAAUUUUUUUGUGUUAAUAAUUGCGAUUGUUUUAAAAGAAAAAAAGGUAAUAUUAUACAUUUAAAAACAAAAUACAAGGAAAAAGAUUGUUAAUCCCCAACCUUUAAUGAAAAGAUAUAAAACUCCAUAAUAUUUAAAAGAAAAAGACAUAUACCAAAAUAUAAAGAAAAAGAUUGUUAACCCCCAACCUUUAAUAAAAGGAUAUAAAACUUCACAAUAUUUAAAAGAAAAAGACAUAUAACUCCUUUUCAUAAUUAAAUUUCAUUUAUUUUAAUUAAGAAAAAGUAAUAUUAUCACCACCAUCAUCAUCUUGACCGUCAUUAUUAUUAUUAACCAAUGUCAUUAUCAUUAUUAUUAAAUAUUAUUAUUAUUGUUGUUGUUGUUGUUGUUGUUGUUGUUGCUGCUGCUGCUGCUGCUAUUACUACCCUUUUAUCAAUUUAAAUAAAGAAAAUUUAUUAAUGGAAAAGUGAUUAUAUGUCUUUUUUCAGAAAUAUUGAGAGUUUUAUAUCUUCUUUUUUUGAAACGUUGAGGGACUAAUAGUCACUUUCGUGUAUUUUAUUAUAAAUGUACAGUAUUACCCUUUUCUCUAUUAAAAUAAACUGACUUACCAAUAAAAAAAAAAAAAAAAAAGAGGCUUGUGUGUCUUUUUCGAAAUAUUGAGAUUUUUAUGUUCUUUUCCUAAAUAUCAGAGUCUAGCAGUCCUUUUCCCAUUAAUUCAAACCAUGCUUAUCCAAAGGCCAAAACUUUAAUUCUUUUUUUUUUUCCCGAUGAUAAUCUGUUAAAAAUACUAACAAAGGCAAAGGUUGUUAAAAGAGCCGAUGAGUAUUUUAUAACGAGGCGGUGAACCCAUUUAUUGUCGGUAUGCCAAUUAUACAUUAUCUCCUUUUUUUUUUCAAUCGUUGAUAAGAUUUAUAUGAAACAAAAUUUAUGUGUACUCGUAAUAAUAAAAGAAUAAAAAAAUUUACAAUAAUUUCAUUCUUAUGAUUGGAGUAGACAAAUUAAAGAAACCACAUUAUUGUUCAUAAGGUACGCACUAAGGUACCACAUUAUUGAGUCAUCUUUAUAACUAUAUCAAAGAGAAGCAAUUAUUCUCAUCUUAAGCAGCCAUGGUGCCCACAUGAAUAUCUUUUGUUCCAUUGUCAUCGUAUCUUUAUUGACAAAAAACAUUAUAAAACAAAACACUAAGAAUACCCUUCAACUUGCGGUCGCAAAUGAACACGAAAUUAAUAAAGUAACUGUCUCUUUGUCAUGGCUUUGCUAAGGAAAAUGACAUUAAAAUUUAUCAUUUGAUCUUUCAUUUAUUUUGUUUUUAGUUAUCUGUUUGUUUGUGACACAAGAAUGAGAAUCAAUGUUUGCUUCUUGUUUCUCUUUUUCUUUAUCUUUCUCUUUCACUUUCACUUUUUGAUUUUGUAAUCUUUUCCUCAAUAUCUCUUUAUCAUGUUUGUUUUUGUUUAAUUUAGUGGAGAGGGCAUUAUAAUUUACAGACACCAGCUAAGAAUUCAAUCAUAUAGAGAAGAAUAUCUGCUUUUUAAGAAAUAAAUUUGUUGGGAAGACAGCUAUGUGACAAACAAAUUUUAAAGGUCCAAUUAUUUUGCUCGAUAUUAAAAAUUCCACUCUGAACUUUACAUGUAUUAUUUAUUUGUAUGUGACAUUUUAUUUCAAGUUUAUCUUUUAUGUGUCAUUUAUUUUCUUUAUUGCACGAAUAGAUAUCUUUAUUGCACGAAUAUAUAUAUAUAUAUAUAUAUAGUUAUAAACUGAGAACAAUAUUACGAAUUAUAUUCAUUUAAAAAUAUAUUGUAACGUUAGAGAAUCUUCAUCUGUUUUAUAAAGUAAAAUCUCAUUAAAUUAAUAUUUGAUAAAUUGAUAAUCUCGAUUAAAUAGUAAUUUUUGUAGGUCUCCGCUUAGGGCAGUGGUGGAUCUAAAAAAAUAAUUUAUCGGGGGCUAAAUUAAAUAACAACAAAAUGUAAAAAUUGAAACUUGAAUAUAUAAAAAAUUUUUAUAACACAUUUACAAUUGUUCUCUACGCGAUUUCAUAUUCUUAAAACGUUGUGCAAUAGACUCAUUAUCAACACUAUUAAAUACAUCUCCAUAAACAAUCAAAUUAUUAUUCAUCCAUUCAUCUCUUAUCCGAUUUUGAAGUUCAUUCUUCACAAAAUUCAUUGUUGAAAAUGUUCUCUCUAUUGUGGUUGUAGAAACUAAAAGAACGAGACUAUUUGAUCAUUUGACAGAGAUUAUUUAAAAAUUUAUUAAUUUUUCUUUUAAAUAAAAAAGGAUAAUUUUUUUUUUUCAGUGGGGGCUUGAGCCCCCACUAGUCCUACACUACAUCUGCCUCUGGCUUUAGGGCUAUUGUGGUAAAUUAAAAUUUUUUGAUAAAUUUAUUAGAUAAUAAAUUUUUUUAAAAAAUCUUUUUUUCCCAUGAGACCAAUGAAUAUACAAAUUAAUAAUGAACUAAUUUGACACAAAAUAUAUAUGAUAUGUCUAUAAUUUUAUUUGUCGUACUUGCUAUGUGAUGUAUUUUAUUAGUCAUUAUUGCUUUGUUUACCCCUUUUGAAUAAGAUGCCGUUGUUUUAUUAUUUAUGUGUUGUUAUGAUAAAUUAGAGAGAGAUCAGCUUAAUAUAUUGUCCUCCAAAAUAUCUUCUCUAAUAAGUUACUAUGUAACGUGAUCCAGUCAUGCAAUUUAGACAAAAUGAUUAUUAAGUGACUGAUUCACUCAAUCAAGAUCAAAAUUCUAUCAUACAACUUGACAGGAUCGCUAUAAUCUCUAAUUAUACUACUCUUAUUCUUUAUGAAGAUUCAUAUUAUGAACGUUAUUUUCCUUUAUAAAUUAAUAGAAAUUUAUUGAUAUAUUAAUAUUUACUAAAUUAUUAGACUUUUCAUAAUCUCAAGGUUAUUAAUUUAACGAGGUUCUAUUGUAUUUUUUUUUUUAAUGAUAGGGGCGUAUAUCAUGCAUAUUUCCCUAUUUUAGGGAAGAUGAAAGAUGUAGAUGAUUUCAUGUGUAUGCUUGUGAAAAUGGAUGCAGUUGCAUCAUGCUUUAUUGAUGAUUUUAUUUAUAUUGAAUUUUAUUAUUGAAAUUACUUGAUGAUUUAUUUUAUGGUGCUUCGUUAUUAAGUAUGAAAUUUUUUCUUUAUAAAUACCUACAAUAAUAAUAAAUGGGCUUUUUGUCAGUGAGCCCAAUUAAAUUAGCAGUCAAUCCAACAUACACUCAACCCAAACAUAUCAAAUGCAAUAGCCCCUUUUUUUGAUAAGAUGUUACAUCAAUGUUUCUAUUCUUUUUGCUGAGAAAUAAUCACACACCAAUUGAUUAAAGUCAUAAAUCAUAUGCAUAGCCUGAAUUUGAUAUUUUUAAGCUGUGGUGACUAGUGUAUCCUGCACAUUGGUUAAUGUCGAAUGCUCAAAUUUAUUGAUUUUUGUUGAUCUUUUAAGCAUUUAGUCAUGUACAGGGCACGGCACCUAAAAAAUCCAUAUUUUUAUUUUUUAACAAUACUGUGGAAAUAUUUAUAAAUAUAAAUAUCCGAAUAUAUUAGUGGUGUUAAUUUUCUUGUAAAUAUUUAUAAGUUGAUUUGCUAAACCUAAUCAUUUUUUCAAGUUAUGAACAUCACGAGUCACAUAUCAGCGGAACCCCACACAUAUAUUAUUUUUGACCAACAAUAAUCCCCAGAACGUGCAAAUCUACCUGGGAGACAAAAUAAAGUCCAUAAAGUCGAACAUAGCCAAAACAUAUUAAUGACCAAUUAACUCAAAUUAAGUUUGUAAAUAUCAGGGAGCUAAAGCACACUGAUUUUGAUCAUUGACCCCCAAAAAAAAAAAUAUAUUUGCUCACACGGAAAAUUACAUUUUAAAAGAAAUUUUCUUGGAACUGCGAUUCAAUGGAAAUUAUUUACAGUCAGACAAGUUUACAGUCACUGUAAAAUGUUUGAAGCCCUUGCAUCUAUUACAAAAUCAGAAUACACAAUUCUAAGAAAACAAAUUUGCCGGUACGUUUCGUUCGUUGUGAACAUACCAGAUUUGUUCAAACUCCUACUAUGGAGUUAUAAGUACCAUUCGCGGCGAAAAGCAAUCCACACAGCAAUAUGCAAACAUCAAGAGAUCUUUGCCAGAAAUUCAAAGAUGAGCCUAGCAAUAUUAAGUGGUAUAAAGCUGGCAAAACAAAAGAGAUUAGAGCACAUAAGGUGCUGCCCACAAGCGAUGUGAAUGCACCAAAUCCUGGUAUGAACGAUGCUAUUGCUGCUAGUGCAACCACCAAAAUUGCUCGACUUAUGUAUAUCAUGAACUUUCCUAAUCUAGUGGUCGAAUUGUUGUCAUAAGAAAUGCACGGGUGCGUUUGAAAGAACGAGCUCUUCUUCAAACUCCCCUCUAUAAUCUCGUGAACCGGGUGUACCAUGAUCGGAAAUGUAAAUAUGAGUGCCACACACAACCCCAUCUGCCAGUAUAUUAUCAUUAAGGUUAGUCCAGCAACAACAUAUGAGAAAGUAGGAUUAAUCUUUAAGGGUGGAUUAUGAAAUAUUACUGUAAAAACUCAGGCACCUCAAUUCUCAACCCUCCAAAAUGAUUAGUUAAAGAAAUAAGAGACUUAAAUUUAUUUCUUUUUUCUCCAAACUAAAAGACAAAAUCAUGAAGCACAUAAAUUCAAAGGGAAAAGUGAUCUAAGAUUCAAUAGUACUUGUAGAGAUGAUAAUCAUUUAACAGGCAAAAAGAAUACAGGUGGGCAUGACAUUUUAAUAUUGUAUUUCUCAUGGCUUUAGAUGCAUGAAACUCAUCUAAUUCCGGAAGUCAUCAUACUCUUUUAAUCCCACUCCACAGUAGGAACAAUGAAGAAUCUGAUUUUGGUGUUUGGGCACAAGUACUGUAGACCUUGGAUUAUAUUAAUGUGUUCCCUAAGACUUUUUGAUAUCAAAAGCUUUACAAGAAUACAAAUUUUAACUAUGUCAAUACAUCAAAAAGCAAUCGUUUUUAUUUCAUUUAGAAAACCUUCGUUAUCAAAAAUAUCCAUUAACAAAUUUAGGCUUCCUUCUUUAAAUUUUUGAACAAAACCUAAGUCGGAUAAGAACAGAGCAAGUGCAAUAUGUAACAUGAGAAACAUAGGAAAUUACCUGAACUGCAAUGGAAGACCAAUCUUUAGGCAGAUUCAGAGUAACAAUAUCCUUAGUGUCAUCACCAUACGCCAUGAAACCGAAAAAACCAAACGUAACAUACACAAGAGUUAUCCCAGUAAAAGCCUGAGCAAGCAACUUGGAAAACCUUCCUCUUUCUCUCAUUGAUGACUCUAAUGCAAAAGUCAUACCAAAUCCUUCAAAACAAAAUACUGCCAUUCCUCCAGCAAAUGGCAGACCUCUGAUGUUAGAACUCACUGCUUUCCUGUCACUAAAAGAAAAUUCACCCCCUAAAAUCUUUUGUACAUCUUCUUUAACAACAAGUGUCAUGGCUAAAACAUUGCAAAUAUCAGCAAAAAUGCUGAAAGGCGCUAAAGCUGAGAGAGAAUUAAUCCAAGAUAACAGAAUUUGAACUGGCACUACUAAGAAUAUGAAAGAACGAUACGUGAGGCUGGUGUAGGAUUUGAAUAUUGAAAAGAGGUUUUGGCCAAUGAACACUAAAUAUGCAACUGAACCUCCACAUUGGGAAGUGAAAAUGAGAAAUUCUGUGAGAAAGCGGCCAGCUUUUCCCAUACAUUUGUAACCUAAAUCUCCAUAUGUCUUUGUUUCUGUUGAGGAUGUGUCUUCAGAUACUAACUUAUCUCUGCAUUGAAUCUGCCAGAACAAGAACUUAUAAAUUGGCUUUUCAAUUGAAAAACAGAGGAAAUACUUUCAAAUCAUAUUUCCUAGUCCGCCUGUAGUAGCGGCCAUAAUUUAUUUGAAAACUAAGAUAACAAAAGUGUAUAGUAAAUUCUGCAUGACAUCUUUUCGAUUUGUGAAAACGACAACAAAUUACCCAAUAUCCCUAAACUCUUAAACAAUUUAGAGUACUUCAGUCGGUUAGUGACCAAUACCAAGUCACAAAAAGCACAAAACAAAAGAAAAAUGCAUCUGGCUUUAUGAAUUUAAACAUCUAAGAACGAGAAAAAAGACAAACAGAAACGUUCACAAGAAAAAAGAUAAAGAUAUGUAACAAGAGACUUAUACUGACAAGAAGGAGCAUGCAGUAGUAGGUGGAGAGACCAGCGAUCAUGACGCCAAGACAUCCAGCAAGCCAACCGGCAACACGGAAAGCAAAAGGCAGUCCCAAAAUGCCAGUCCCAACUAUUGAUACAAUUAUAUUCCCCAGCGUUUGAGCCGCUGAAGCUGUUCCCGUUACUCUUCCUGAUGAUUUUGGCAGCAAAGGGUUUUCAAUUUCAUUGCUCAUGUGAUUCUCACCACCUUCUUCUCGUCUCAUCUUUUUUUUUUUUUUUUGGUCGGGGGGGAGAGUUCGCUGGUGUUGCUGAAAUGCAAGCUGGUUUUGGUUUUAUUUUAUUUUAUCUUUUUUUUUGGCUAAAUUUUGUCCCAUCCUUUUUUCGGAGAGGGUUUUGCUGGUGCUGCUGAAAUGCAAGCUGGUUUUGGUUUUAUUUUAUUUUUAUUUUAUCAUUUUCAGCUAAAUUUUGAUUGUGGGCUGGGCUUUGUUUGACGUGGGAGUUGUCGGCUUGUGGCGGCACAUGGAAACGACAGAAGUUUGCGCUGGUCUGUGACCGAUGCCAGUGCCACGUCGAUGUGAGUGUGAGUGGAGUUGAAAAGGGUAGAGCUUACAUCAAUCAACUGAACAGGAAUGUCUACGUAUCAUAUCCGGAUUGGCGUAUCACAUCGUCGUAAUCAUCAUUACGAAUUCUGUCGUCACUUUGCUGGUAGCAGACACAGUGUUGUUCUGGUAAAGCAAAAACAAGAGAGGAAACCAUGGGAAAACGUCUUAGGUUAUAAACAAAGAAGGGGGCUUCGUUUGUGGUACAAUCUGAUAGAAGUGCAUGUGACACGUCUCUAAUGGCCGAUGAAUUUGUAAAAUGUCACGAUAAUGAGACGUAAUGGGGCUGUUCUCGCACUGUAUCUUUUCCUGUGUUAUUUACCAUUUAGAGAAAUACUUAUGGACAUUCCAGUAUACCAUAUAAUAAGAUCAUGCAUGCCAGAUUCUGGUUUCAGAUUUUGCAUUUGAUUUGUUUCGUUCGACAAAUUCUGCAAGUUCUGUAAGCCCUGAUAAAAUUAAACUUGUUCAUCAAAUUUCACAUAUCUACUCAAAAUACUAAAAGAAGAAAAAGGAAAAACAGAGAAGCAGCAGCCUAUGAAAAGGAUCUAAGGAUAUAAAACUGCAUAAACAAGCACGCCAAAAAUAGCAAUUACAGCUACCAUUGCCAUCCAGCUUAUACAAUGUCCAUUGACGAAAUGAACACUAAAGUUAUAACCUCUUAUAAAAUUAACUGCAACAUGAGAAUUGACACUCGACUUCAAAACCCUAACUCAAGCUUGAAACAUCUAAAAUCCAAUCCAAAACUAUGAACCUGAACUGUAUAAUAAUGAACUCCAACCCAAUCCAGAACCUGAUUUGCUGUCGUGAUUUGCAGCCAUUUUUUUAUAUUUACAGAAGGCAAGUGAUUGUAUAAUACAGUGUGCAAAUACCUAUAUAAGUCAGCAGCAAGGUGGCUUCUUUUUUUUUUUCACCCCAACGGAGACAAAGUUUCUCCCGCAUAGUUAUUUGCCAAAUGCCUUAAUUCCUAGGAAUAUUUACAAGGCCUCAAAACAAUACGGUUGGCAAACACAUUCAAUAGCAUGCAUCAGCUUUCUCCGUGGGCCCACUGCAUCCACACCCAUAUCCUUAAGCUUCUGCAUGGUUAGAUUCACCAACUGAAGUUUAUUCACACACUUUCCCUGGAAAAGCUGAAUGAACUGUCCCAGUCCAAGUGAUGCUAGCCACCGGCUCAAACCACCCGCUUUUCGAAGUUUCCUCUCAAGAUUUAUAGCCCUUAGCCUUUGAUUUAGCAACAUGCUCCUAUCAAGUGAACCACUGAUGCAGUGAAAAGAUCUUGGCCGCCUGAUGAUUUUUGAUGUGUCUAAUACCUCAACUAUGUUAUGUGGUUUUGUAACAUGAACUCGACCUAGAUUUUCUGGUUCCGUCCUAGAAUCUAUAAUUGGUGGCCUGGCUAUGGUUGCAAUGUACUGACGUGGAGUUCUCUUAGCAAUCUGGAAACCUCUGCUAGGAGCCAAUGAUGUAGACUUCUCUUGUUCAUCAACUAAAAUCUUCUUGGAAUGUGCCUCAUUUGAAUGCUGUGACUGUGUGUUAACUGUUUCUGUAGGCAUAGCUUGCAGUUGACUGGGUCCCAAAUUUGGCAUAGUGGACAUAUUAGCCAAAGGCAAAGGAGGAACCAGAAUGGUGACCUUCUGUUUUUUAACUAUAACCCAACUUUCAUCUUCGUUCCACUCAGCAUUGGAGUUGUUUUCAGGCACAGCCUUCGACGGUCUUUGCUUUGGCUUGACCAUUAGUUAUAGACCUGCUUGUUAUACAUUAGGCAAUAGGCUCCAAACAUUAAAUACUGCAAUAGAAAUGCCUCUAGAAUCACAAAUAAAAUACAACCUAAAACAAAGACGCUCUUCAACUAAACAGCAAUUUCAUAUGCAUACAUGUCAAGUCAACACAGAGAUACCCUGUAUCAAUGAAUCCUACUAAGUGGUUGAAGAACACCAACUAAGAAUACAUGUUACUAGCUAUAUCACUGGUCACUAUAAAAGAUUCAAACCAGCAAGCUAUUCCAAUCCCACUAGAACAAUUUCCCACUAGACUACAGGCCCAAAGAACCAAAAAAACAAAAAUCACAGGAUUAGACAUUUUAGAAUGUUGAAGACUAGUGUUCAGAUGAAUUACAUGCUAAUUCGGCACAACCUCCAAACUAAUUAAAGAAUUCACUUUCGUUAUCAUUCUCAAAGGAUUCAAAACCACCUUUUAAGCAUUGUUUAUGGUACUUAUGUAAAUCACAAAAACAUGAAAAUCAAUUACAGAUAGGUUGGACAUUAGCUCGAGUGGCAGAAUAGAUACAGUAGACUCCACACCUAUGAGAUAUGUACCUCUAGAAGAAUUUAAGUAGGUGCAUUGUGCAUUUUGAAGAUAAAUAAGACAUAAAAUUAAAUGGUAAUUAUUGUUUUGGUGUGCAGUCGAAGUGGAGAAUUAACUAGACAGUUCUAUGUCUAUCAAAUUCAUUAGAUCAAGAAACCAAUAUCACCAAGGUUAUUAUCAACUAAAUAUUACGAAUUACAUUCAGUGGUACCUGUAACCUAUCAAAUAACGAAGCGUGCGUAAAGAAAAUAUUAAAUUUGAGCUACUUCAACAAAUUACUUGAGCAGUAAUACGCAUCAAAAAGAUCGAAAAUUUGUUACUCGUGCAAGAAAAGGAGAAUAAUUUAUAAUGGGGAAAAUGAAAUUUGUUCAAAAUUCAACAAAAAUUAAAUCUGAAGAAUGAAAAUUACCGAUUUACGUGCUGACGCAGAGAUACAUGAGCUGACAAAUUGGUUUAAAUCGCCACCGUUUUGAAGAAACCUAGAAAAAUUUUCUGAGUUGGAAUCUGAAGAAGACCCGGAAAUAAAAACCGGAUCGGGUAAGAACCGAUCAUAAAGGAGAAUCGGGCUUGAGUUUUUUUAUUGAAGAGGAGAUAAGAUAUGUGCUCUAAUUUAUCCGAUAAUAUUUUCUUAAAAUUUGAAUAAAUUAGUAGUUUAGAAACCGGAUCAAUUCAGUCUGUCUUAUCUCUUAUUAUCUUCGACCAUUAAUAUUGAUAUAUAUUCUUUUAGUAGAUGUGCAAUCUCCCCAAUUCUUAGUUGAUAUAAUCUUAGUUGAUAUAAUAUUGAUAUAAUCUUCAUCUUAGUUGUAUAUUGCUAUUUUAAUGUACAUGCGAUUAAAGACUACGAAUGAUGAAGCACAAGAGGUUAGCUUAGCAUUGAAUAUAAACAAUAACAUCACACAACACUCCACCAAAAAAAAAAAAAAAAUCAAGUGGAUUAUCAUUCAAAAAUAAUUUUACUAUUUUAUGAUUGUAAUGUAUAAAAUAAUCAUAUUGUCCGAUAAAAAGAAGUGGAUACUAGGUACAAUUUCUAAAUGAGUGGACUUAUUUGAAUUCACAAAAAAAAAUUUCUAUGUCCAUUAAUUUAUAAUAAAUUUUAUUUCUUAAAUAACCUAUUAAAAUAUACCUUUGAGGACUUUUUUUUUUUUUUUUGAAAUUGCACAAAAAUUCUACAUAAACUAUAGCUUUCUAAUCCUUCUUAUAAUUUGGUAAAAAAAAAAAUCAAUUUAGAAUAAAAAUUUUCAUUCUACCAUUUAGAACUUUACUGAAAAUAUAUGGAGAUUCUUUUACAAAUUGACAUAUUAAUACGGAUUGGACUUUAACUAACCCAAAGUUCGCUACUGGGCUGAAAGAAGAUAGAAAGAGAGGGAUUAAUUGUGGAAUGUAAUUAUUAUAUAUUUUUAAAAUUGAUUUCACUUGAAUCGCAUUAUUUCAAGGAAUAAUUGGUCAAACCCCGUUCCAAUAUCUCUAAGUCAAUAAAUUAAUCUCCAAAUACUUGCUUUAAUUGGUCAAACCAUUAUUAAUGACUUUUGCCUUAGUGGAAGACUUCUUACACUUACAAUAUUGAGAAUAAGGGUUCGAGUCACCAUAAAAGUAUUAUGAGGGUUAAUUUCAAUCUUCCUUCAAGUUAAUUUAAAUCUUCCUUCAAUUAUUAAAUAAUUGAGUAGAGAUAAUCUCUCUCUCACAAAAUGUGAAUGAAAUGGACACCCCUUGAAUAUUAGAGAGGAUUUAAAGAAUCUGAAUAGCUCUUCAAAGGAGUACAUGCCAAGAGGAGAUCUCAAUUAUAUAAUAUGUUUGUAAAUAUUAAUUGUAAUAUAUAUUAUAAAACCCUUCAAAUAUUAAAUAGAAUUUACAGAAUUUAGGCAACGUUUCAGAGGAGUACAUGGCAAGAGAAGGUCUCAGUUGUAUAAUUUGUUUGUAAAUAUUAAUUGUAAUAUUUACUGUAAUAUCAGUAACAAUCAUAUAUAAUAGUAUUAAAAAAAAUGGUCAAACCGUUUAGCGUUGUAUAAGAAAAAGGAAAGGAAAGAAAAGAAGUAGAGAAAACGAAGGGAAGAAGAAGACUAAUUGUUGAUUUGCUGAUAAUUGUAAAAAAUGUACAAUUAUUUUUAGAUUUUAUGAGGAUUUAUAAGGCAAGACAUUAUUUUUUAAAUUUAUAUUACGAAUUUAUUAAAAAAAAUGGGUGUGGAAAGAAAUAUUAUGUGUUACCAUUUUCUGACCUCAUCAAAAAGCUUUACAAAAAAGUAUAUAUCAUAUAUUUGUAAUUAUUUUAAAGUCAAUAAAUAAGAAAUAUAUAUGUAUAGUUCUUUUUAAAAAAAUCAAUAAAUAAAAGGUAAUGAUUACUUUGGAGUUGCUCCAAGCUAAAACACAAAUCACAGCCACACACGUAAAAUGAUAAAUAAUAAAAAAUAUAUUAUAACUUUGAUCAUGUGGCUAUGAAGAUGUACUCUAUCUUACAAUGGUUCCAACAUAACCGGACCCUAAAUAAAAUUAUUAGAAAACAUGCUUUCCAAAUAAGAAGAGAAAAUGAGAAAUAGGAAGUCACCAAAAUUAACGAAAAACAAGCAAGAUCACUACACGUGCCAUGCAUGCAGCUGCAGCCGCAUGCCACACAAUCGUGUGCGUGUAUAUUUCAGCCCAGACAUGCGAUGACUUAGCCGCUUGCGUUUCAAACAUAUAAUCAACCAAAAACAAACAACAAACAAAAUCUCCUUUUUAUUUCACAGGAAUUUCCCAGAUCCUCCUUACUCCACACUUUGUCUCUCUCUACUGGUAAUUGCUUUUUCUUUAUAUUGAGCAAAAUAUUUCAUGUUAUUAAUUUGUUGGGAGAUUCACUAUUACAAACACCUACGUGUUGUCCACGUUUUAAAUUUUGUGUUAGAAUUACUAUUACGUUUAGAUUAUUAACUUGUAUCAGUUUUUUCUUCGAACCUCGCCCACACAGAUGACAGAAGGGUGUUUCAAUUUAUAUUUAAUGCAAUAAUUCAAAUGUAAUAGAAGUUAGGAUUUCAAGUUUGUGACCUAACGUGCGUGUAUAUCUGCUACUUCUUAUGGGAAUUCAAGGAAAUUUCGAUCAGUUUAUAGAGUAUAGGUGUCCAACAAAAUAUAUGGAUCCACUUGGAGGCCAAUGUAGUUUGUUUACUACUUUACUUUGGUUCAAAAUAGCAGAUAUAAUUUGUGUCAUAGUGGUGCAUAGGAGCAUGUUAAGAGAUUUCACAUUUUAUAUCAAGGGCUUGAGUUUCCGUCUGUUGGCGUCUAUAACAUUACAUGUAUGUACAUUGGCAGAGUCGGCUAGUUAAUGGGGAAUGUUUGUUAGUUUAAAAUUUGGGUCUGAGAAAGGUUUUUGGGUUUAUUAGUAAGCCAAUGUGUUUAUUUUUUCGAUUUUGGAUGAAAUGACAGUUUUGAUUGGUGUCUGAUGAAUAUUAUGAAAGGAUGAAGUUUGGAGAGACAUUUACAGAGUAUUUGCAUGGAGAUCAGGAGAGGUUUUUGGAUAAAUGCUCUCAUGUUGAGUAUAAGAGACUAAAGAAAGUCUUAAAGAGCUGCAGGACUUGUAAAGGACUACACGAUUCUGCUUGCAAAACGGAGCAACAAUGGGAUGAGGGAAAAGACAUCUCAGAGUCUCAAUUAUGUCAGUGCCAGUCUUCAUGCCAAUGUCAGUUCUUACUUUCGUUACAUUUUCAUUCUUGGUAAAUUAUAUAUAAUUAAUUGGUUAGGUGAUGCAACUUAUUCUAAAAAAAUUUGUUUCCUUGUAAUGUGAAAAAUACAAUGUCUAGGAAUUGUGAAAUCAGUUUAAGAAUGAAAUUUGGGAGCUUAAUAAUAUUGAUUUAAAGCUUGAACUUUAAAUUUUCUCGAUUUUGCACAUCAAUUGCUAAACUCUUAUCGGUAAUGUAAACAUUAUAUUUUCAAGUAUUAAUCAUGAAUCCUUUGUUGAUUUUCUAGUGUGUGAUCAUAUGUUCUUCUCUGAGCUGAUGAAGGAAGCAUCAGAUAUAGCUGGGUGCUUUAGUUCUCGGGCUAGACAUCUCCUCCAUCUUCAUGUUGCUAGUGGAAUGCAAAGAUAUGUGCUGCGCAUACGUCAAUGUUUCAAGAAUGAUCAGACAGCCAUGAUAGAAGAAGGAAGGGUGUUGAUUGAGUACAUAAUAAUGAAUGCAAUUGCUAUCCGUAAAAUCCUCAAGAAAUAUGAUAAAGUAAUGCAACUUUGGUCCACUUUUGCUGUCUGUUGUUGCUGAUUCAGUUCACAGUAUUUUUGUAACGCCGGUGACAGUUAUUUUACUUUGCAUAGGUGCAUAAAUCUGUAAAUGGGAAGAAUUUUAAAUCCAAAAUGAGGGCUGAACACAUAGAGCUUUUGCAAUCACCCUGGCUAAUAGAACUGGGAGCUUUUUAUUUGAAUUUCAAUGGAUUAAAUUGUGGAGCAUCCAGUGAGUUUUCAGGUCAUUUCUCCUUUGAUUUCAAUGCUUCACGACCUGUGAUGACACUGGCACUUCCAAGUUCUAUAAAGCUAGAAUAUGAUUUGACUUGUGCAGUAUGCUUGGUAAGAUCUCAUUCCAAUAAAUUCCUAGAUGAAGAAAAGAUGAGAUUUAUUAUUUAGUUUUUCAUUUGUUUGUUUCUUGUUAUGAACUGACAGGAUCUUGUUUUUAAUCCGUAUGCUUUGAGCUGUGGUCAUCUCUUUUGCAAGUUAUGUGCUUGCUCAGCUGCCUCAGUCAUGGUGUUUGAAGGCCUUAAAUCUGCCAGUCCGGAUUCAAAGUGUCCAAUCUGCAGAGAGGUUUGUGUUUGGCAUUAGAACAAUAUAUGGAAUUCAAAUUUUUUAUGUGGAAGUAACACCGGUAAAGAUUUCACCAGGCAGGUGCAAAAAAAUAGGUGUAUAGUUAAAUGUCCUCUUCUUGUGAAAACUUGUCACAUUUAUUCACAGAUUAUUCUUAUAUCGUCUAUAGGAGCUGGCUGGCAAUUAGGAUGCAAGGAGACGUGGUAACUAUUUUGACCAAAAAUUCUAAAAGAUACAUUCAACUUCAUGAUCCUCCUAUUAAUCACAGUUCACUUCAAAAAGGCUUAUUUUCGGUUAGAAUAAUAUGAACACUUUGCUUAAUAUUACUUUGCAGUCAAUUUCGUCACUCAUAUCAUAUGUUCAACUUUUGACUUCCACCGUUGACAUUGAUCAAUUGUUUGGCAGAAUUGUCUCGAUAAAAUGUAGAACUUGAGUGGUUUUUGAAUUAGCUCUCCAUCCUGUCUUUGGUUGCUCAAGGCUAUGCAGUAGCAAAUGACCAUAGUCUGAUGCUAGAGGACAUUUUAAAACAGGGGCGUAACUGCAGGCAUUCGCUGGCAAACUGCCUUUGCAGCAGUUUAGUCAUUGCUAUAGUAAUUUGUAUUCUGAAUCUGUUUCCGAAUUCCCUAUAAAACCACCUUUCUUUUCCCCUUUGCAAGCAACUGCCUUCAAUUUGUAGAGUCCUUGAGCAACUGCCUUCAAUUUUUAGACUCCUUCUCUGGUAAUAACUUGUUUUACCUACUUUCAUUCACAUGUAAUAUGCUAUUUCUUGAUUCUAUCAGACAGUUGAAGUAAUGAAGUAGCUACCAGGUUGUUUUAUUCCUUAGGUUCGAUGUGAAAAGAAUGACAAUUCGUUAAGUUUGAUGCUCAAAAUAGAUCUUCGCUGCUGCAGUUCUUUGUCUUGCUAGGCAAGGUUUCAGAAGUAAUUGUUCCUUAGUUGUGCCUGUUUCCUUCAAACUAAUAGCACCAAAACCCCUCUGCACGGUGUGGCAAUGGGCAUGAUAAAAUCCCUUCGUUUUUAGAAGUUUUCCCUUUACAUUAGAAGGCACAUUUAGAGCAUUCUCUUGAAACUCCUGCUGUUUAAUCAAACUUGAUCAUUCUGCCUGUGAUCACAACAAUUUUUAUCUUUUAUGUUGUGCUCUUUUGAGCAUAACGUAGCAAAGAUUGGAUUAUUUGCCAUUUAACUAGGCUUCUGUUAUUGUUCUCUAUUAUGCAGGCAGGAGUAUAUGCGAAAGCAGUCCACAUGCUUGAACUAGACUUAUUGGUAAAAAGAAGGUAAAGAAACUGAAAACUCACUUCAUUCAUUAGAGACAAAUCAGACUUUUCUUAGUAAAUAUUUUCCAGGUUCAAAGAAUAUUGGAAGGAAAGAUUAAUUGCCGAACGAGCAGAGAUGGUGAAGCAAUCUAAGGAAUACUGGGAUUUACAAACCAUAUCUGCAGUUGGGUAUUGAUUUUUCAGGCUCCCUUGUUUGAGAAGAAGAGAAAUAAAUCAUUCAGUUCACUUCAAUCUCUGGUACCGGAUAGUAUGAUUUCGUUAGUUUGGUUGGCACCAGUAACAUCUGCAGUUCUGCAUCCAUUGUUGAUUAAUUUUUGGGUUAUAUGUUGGACAUUUUUAGUUCAAAUCAUAAGAUUACUGAAUGAAAUCAUGCUAAAUUGCUCUCACAAUCCAAUCUUUAGUUUGUAUUCAUUGCACUCGUGAUCAAAUAAAACCCAAAUUUAUUAUGGUUAAUUUCAUGAUUGAUAUUUAAUAACAUAAUACAAGGGCUUGGCUAACCUGACUGCUUUUGUAAGGUACAACUGGGCCGAAAGGGUAAUCGGAGGUGGGCCCUAGGAGGCCUAUAACCCCUUUUCUAUAUGGGCUGUACUUUAUAGAAGGCGUCAGGUAGAAAGAGGGACGAGAUUUGUGGGCCCUACAGGACACAAGACAUUGACACAAAUCCUCAUUUUUCAACCCCUUUUUUUUUUUCAAUAAAUAUAUGUUUGUCCUAUUAAAAGUGGAAAAGGUCAGGUUGGCUUUCUCCUUUUUUUCUUCGCAAAAAGUCAUUAUAAAACAAAAACAUUUGGUUCUGUAAAUUUUCAAAUUACAAUCGCAAAACAGCCUAUCAAAUAUAUUUCUUUAUUGUCUAUUCUUUAAAAGAUAAACAAUAAUAAUAUGUGCAUAAAGAAUAGCAUAAAAACAAAAAAAAAUUAAUUCUUGUGAUAAUUUUUUUUUGUCUUUUAUAUUAUUUUUUUGUUAUUUUCGUACAAAAACACAAAACAACGAAAGUAAUCCUAAACACUCUGUUACUCUAAGCUAACCCUUUAUUUUUUUGAUUUUAUGAGGUUUUGUUGGGCUUUAAUUAUAAUUUUUUACUGGGCUCAUGUAUUUAUUUCUACCUAAUAUUAAAAAACAAAGGAAGAAAAUGUCCGUUGGCGGGUCAAAAUUUGGCAUUACACGUGCAGUGGGUUUGGUAGUUUACCCUAUUAUCUGAUUAAUAAUUACAUAAAUUCCAAAAAGAAAAAUUAAAACUAAAAGGAGAUAACAUCCUGCCCUCUAAUUUUGUCAUUUUCGCAUAAAAGGGCAUAGGUUUUCUGUUUGUAUCAAAUAGGUCCGUAACCCCUUCUCAAAUAAUGUAUUUUGACAACAAUAGAGUUUAAACUCUCUAAAUGAGAGACUGAAUGACUUGAGAGAAUAGGAGUAGACCCUCUCGAAUAACAAUAAUAUAUGAUUUUUUAUAUUUUAAAAUUACAACUCAUAUUAUAAUAUAUACUUUUUUAAAUAGAGAUUAAUGUCUAAGAUGAGUAUUUUGUACAACACAUGUGUGCGACACUUAAACAACUUUCAUCCAAAGUUACUAAGUAUUAAGAUUCUCAUUCUCAUUAUUUAAGCUAGAAUACAUGUAGAAGAGCAAUUAAGUCAAAAGAAAAGAGAGCUUAUAAUAUUUACAAGAGAAUAUGUGUGUACAAGUAUGUUGCAAUACAAUGAUUGAGUACUUGGAGAAUUGCUUAUAUGGAACGCUAAAUAAGUACGUGACAAUACAAUGCUUGAGCACUUGGAGAAUUGCUUAUAUGAAAUGCUAAGUGACUAGUCUAUUAAUAAGGAGGCUUGUCACAUUCUACUAAGUUCUAAAAUAUUUUUAUUUAGAGAAUUUUCAUAGUUUAAAAAACUCCUACAUAAAAUAGAUAGAAUUUUUAUUUAUAAUUUCUUAGAGAAUUCUCAUUCUACCACAAUACCACUAUUUUAGAGAAUUCUUAUUUUAUCCAGAUAUUUAUAAGCUAAAAAAUUCUAGAGAUAGAAGUUUUUAAAUAUAAAGCCCGAGUUGCACGUCCUAAACUUAUAUAAUAAAUCUCUUAGUUCAAAAUUAGGUGAUUUGUAACACUAAAAUCUUAAUUUUAAAUGGAGAUUUGACUAGAAAAUGUAAAUAUUUAAGAAAGGAUUAAUAUUAUAUUUUUAAGUUAGUAUUCUAAACUUUACAACCUUACUAGACAUUAUGGAAUAAUUUAAAUUUUCAAUAGAAUCGACUAUGGAAAAAAACUAUGCUUUGAAUUAAAAAUUAAAAAAAAUUAGGGAUCUGGAUGUUAUUAUCGUUCAAAAAAUUUACUUCAUAUUUCAAUGAUCCAUUUUCAUUCACUAUCGGUGUUCGCAGAGGAACUCAACAAUGGCGUAUUAUUCCUUUUGGCUCGCUCGUUUACGAUCAUCAUCAAAAUCCAUCCUCAGCAGUCUCCGCACUUCAAAGUUCAGUACUCAGAACACACGUACAAGAACUCUUAUCACAUUAUCCAGCGACAACAGCUCGAGAAAUGGAACCCCGUUUCAGCUGUUUUCAGCCUCUCUUCUUCCUUUAGCACUCGCUGCCUCUGCUGGGUCCCUCGCCAUGCAAUCCCAGACGCACCCUUCUCUCUGCGACUCCUCAGCUCUUGAUUCUCGGUAACUCUUUCCCGUUUUAGUUGAUUUUGUGUAUGUUUAGUUUAGGCUGGAGGUGCUGUCGCUUUUAGCUCCGAAUAAAAAUCACUAGCUAUCAAAUCAGGUAUAUGUGAAUGUGUCAGAAUGUCAGUAAUGAAUAUUAGUUGUGAGUAAAAGUGUUUGAUAAAUAGGCGCAGCAUUUUCAGUUGGUCCCACAUCAUACCCGCCCCACGUAUCACCUUUUAUGCCCUCUGGCACUAGGCUUACGAGAGGUUAUCCAACGUAAGUGGUGGUUGUGGAGACUUGAACGUGGACCUUGAAGUCCGUACUGUUCAUCUGUGAUUUCAAAAUUGAGUAGAAGUAUGGCAGUUAUUCACAAGCAUACAGUAUGUACUCGAUUUUGAUUCUGUGUUUACUUUUUCAAUUUUGUGUAAAGGGAUGUGAACAUUGGUGGUAAAGGAAGUACGGAGUAUGUGGUGAAGGGGUCACACAAGGAAAUUCCGCAGGAGCUUGUUGAUGAACUCAAGGCUAUUUGUCAAGUAUAGCUUUAUACAUAACUCAAUUUGAAUCUUUUGAUUUUUUUCUUUUUGAUGGAAAGUAAACUUAUGGGUCUGGUUAUAUUAAUUGAUCAAUAAGCUAAUUGUAGACCACAUGUAUGAUUAUGGGUCUAACGUUCGAUGUUAUUAGUUUAUAUUUUAUGUUAUCAUUCAUCACACUAUCAGUAUGACUUUGUCAUUUUACUAGCUUAAUGUUCUACUUUGGUUUAUAAUAUUACUAGUUGGAUGUCCUUUCAAUUGUCAAUAAGGAGGUUUAUUGUGUGUGAAUCCAAAUUCGCAAAAGUAUAAAAUUGUUUCAUCUGAAUUGGAGUAGGAUGAUAUGACAAUGGAUUAUGAAGAGAGGUACAUCCAUGGAAAACCACAAAACAGCUUUCACAAAGCAGUAAAUAUCCCCGAUAUCAUUGUGUUCCCCAGGUGCAAUUUCUUCUCAAUCAUCUCCUUGUGUACUGAAUUUUUUUUUCCAGCUCUUGAUAUCACAUUUGUAUUACUUUUCUUUUUUAAGUUUAUAUUUUGAAGAAGAAUACAGACUCCAUCAGACUUUAUUGACCAUUCAUAAAAGAUUAGGUUACCUGUGUCUAUUAUAGUAAUUAUUCCAUUUUGUGGCAAGAACUGAUUGCCCUGUUUCUUGAAACUAUCUAGGAUUGAGUUGUGAAUUUUCUUUUUACUUUUUGGAGAUUUAAAUCUCCUUUGUUCAACUUUUGAAUUUAAAUAGGUAACAGUAUGCUUCUGGAUACUUGCAUGUGAACACAACAUGCAUAGAAGAAAACCAAAACAUUUUAUUUUAAGAGAGAUCUCCAAAUGUUGCUAGCAGUCUAUUUCUGCAUUUCUGUUAUUGUUCUCUGAAAAAAAUUUCAACUUAUACCUUCUACAUGCAGGUCUGAAGAUGAAGUUUCCAAGAUUGUCAAGUGUUGUGAUAAACAUAAGGUUUGAGUUCUUCUUUUUCUGCAAAUUAGUGAAAAAUGCACUCUCUUUCUUAUAUGAAGUCUACAGGUUUUCUGCAAAAAUAGUGCUUAUCAUAAACAUUUUAGGUUUAAUGCUUGUGGGUCACAAGAUUCACUAUCUAAAUCUAAAGAUUUGAUUGUCAAUUUUCAAUUUGGUUUAUCUACUUUUGCUUUAGUUGAUCAUGGAAUGAUGAAAAAUGAAAAAUAUUGCCUUCAUGUAGCAAGUAUUUAUUUGGUUUGCUUUUACAUUGUGAUCAGGUCCCUAUAAUACCAUAUGGUGGGGCUACGUCAAUCGAGGGUCACACCUUAUCUCCUAAUGGAGGUGUUUGCAUUGACAUGUCUUUGAUGAAAGUAUGUAUCAAUAUCCUUUUUGUAUACAUAGUUACAUUACAUAAACUCUGAUUCAUCUAAUUGAGACAUUCUAGAUACAAAUUGCUCAAGAAUACCUCAAGUUGUGUCUCUUCCUGUAAUUUUAUAAAGUUACCCACAUGCUAAAUGGAAUUGAUCAAUGUUCUUUGUAUCUGCCUUUUUAACAGCAAUCAUACGGGUCACCUGCCAUCCCUUAUGAAAUUUUGUUGGGGUGGAAAAAUUCACAAUUUUGGUGAAUACAACUUACGUUGUGUGUAAGUUAGACAGUGCACCUGAUUUUGGGCUUCUUUUGAUUGAACGUACAUUAUGCAAUUAAAUAUCUUGGGCCUAAGCUCUUAAAAUUCAGGAAUUUGGUUGUCUUUUAUGGUUGCAUUUUGUUUCUCUAAAAGACUAUCCUUCUUUUUCUUGUACUUGCUCUGCGUGUGGGGCUCAAACAGUAUAAGCUGUCCAGAGAAAUAACUAAUAUCUACCAUCCGGGGAGAUAUAUAUAUAUUUUCUAAUCUAGGAUUUUAAAGUGCGGGAAAGUCCGGGAUAUGUAUGUAUGUAUUUUUAAGUCAAAAUAGCUUCUUUAAAUUUUACUAAUGUCUACCAUCCAGAGAAUUUUAACAAAAUAGCUUCCUUUAAUUUACUCAUCUAAUUCCUCCUUUAGUAUCAUCUAGUAAUUUACUUAUGGCUUCUUGAUUAAUUGAUAUAUGGAACAUUUCUGUACUUUAUAUUUCAAUUUUGCCCAAAUGUUUGCUAUUUAUACAUAGCAAAAUUUUUGUGUUAUCUAUCAACUCUAAUCUCUAAGCCUCUUGUGUAUACAAUUAUUGUGGUUGUGGAAUUGUUCAUUUCUAAUCUUAUAAAAAUGUGUCAAAUUUAAACAUGUAUUCUGGAAAUUCUUUCAGCUGCUUAUUUAAUGUGGAUUCUUCUCACAUUGUAGAGUGUUAAAGCAUUACAUAUUGAGGACAUGGAUGUGGUUGUUGAGCCUGGGAUUGGAUGGAUGGAACUUAAUGAAUACUUGGAGCCAUAUGGGUUAUUCUUCCCUCUUGAUCCUGGUCUGAUUCCUAACCCUUGUAAUUUUUGUCUGUAAUUUUAUUAAGGAAGAUGUAUUUGGAGACUUUGGAUUUCAUUACAGUUUUAACUCUUUCAUUCUUUCCAUCCUCCCACAACCCAAAGGGAGAAAAAAAGAAAAAAGAGUUAAAACAUUUUAAGCCGUACACAAGGUAAUGUGCCUCAUAAUGGUGUCAUGCUUUUCCACAUUUUCACUUGAAUCUCUAUUUUUCCCUGGGAAAUCUUUCGAAUUACUAUUACCACUGCUUAGCUUUCAAUUCGCCUCUGACCAUCAAAUCAAAAUCAAAUUAUUUCGUGGAUUGGAUUUCACUUGACUGUCUACGGCUUCAUUGUGAACUUACUGCCUUGUUCUGAUUCUGUCACAUCUUGUCUUGCAGGGCCUGGUGCAACCAUUGGGGGUAUGUGUGCUACCCGCUGCUCUGGUUCCUUGGCUGUGAGGUAGUUUCUCAGCCUAUUUAGCUCUAGUAACUUAUUUGUUGCUGAAAAUAUCCACAUGUGAGAUUGCUGCUGCUCGGUUAUGAAGAGAAAGACUUAGUAUGACCUUAAAGUAUUCAUGGGUGGGGGUGUAAUAUAUUCCUUCUCAACUUGUGUGAUGGACACUAGAGUUAUUUAUACCCAGUACACCUGCUUUUCUUGGUAUAUAACCUUUUACUCCUGAGAUAGUUUUGCUAUUUUGUCCCAGUAAUUCCUUUUAUCAGUUUUUUUAGUGUUUAGAUAUUAUAAAAUCUUGCAAUUUCUUAAGUUUAUCUUUAGCUUUGUACUUGGCAGCCGAACUUUCAGUUAUUCUCCUAUAUUACUUUUUGUUUCUAAUCUAAAUAAUGCAUUUUGCUGAACUGAAUUCAUUUAUUCACUAUUUACCAAUUUAUUUGUCUAAAUGAAUAACUCAUUACUAGUUGUUGAAACUAUUUUCACGGUCUGAUUUGUUGUUGGAGUUUAUGAUUUCACUCUUAGCAUGUAGGUAUGGAACUAUGCGCGACAAUGUCAUUAAUCUGAAGGUUUGUUAAUUUCCUUUUUGUUAUACAAUUUCAUUAAAUUGGGAUAUAUUUCUCAUCCUGUCAACAUCUCAGGUAGUUCUUGCCAAUGGAGAUGUUGUUAAGACAGCUUCUCGUGCUCGAAAAAGUGCUGCAGGGUUUGUUCUCUUGUCUAUUUAAAUUGUCCCAUUGGUUUUCUACUUCCAUCCUGAAAAACCAAUAUACAUGUGAUACAGAAAUAACACUUGGUGUUACAAUGGUGUUUGAGUUUUUCUAUGCAUUUAUUUAAACUUGAUCUUAUCCCUUGGUUUGCUGUCACCAGAUGCCUUUUACUACUGUUAUGACCUGGACUCACAUUUAUUUUGUGAAUCCUUAUAUAUCUUUCUUAACUAGGUCCAAGUAAUGUUAAUAUAGGUGUGUUUGUGUCUGAGAGAGAGAGUUCUGGUCCAACAUCAAUAUAUAAACCUAAAGCUUUUGUAACGUUUUGUGUGCAUGCAUGAAAGAUGUUCUCAUUCGGUUCAAAAGUGCUUUUGAUCUUUCAUAUAUAAAAGAUAAGAAGUUUUCAAUCCAUGAGGCUUAUGAGGCUUCUGUAUGUUAGGUAUGAUUUGACCCGACUGAUAAUUGGAAGUGAGGGAACCCUUGGCAUAAUAACAGAAGUCACUCUAAGGCUUCAGAAAAUUCCACAGCAUUCAGUGGUAUCUUCACCUUUCUUUCUUGAAAAGCAAUUAUGUUUUACUUGAUUUCAAAUUUCUGUCUAAAAUUUUAGUUUCCUUGUUGCUAAUGGAUGUAAGUUUAUUAUAUAUGUUUAUAUUUGUGAAUGUUUGUGUUUUGUGUUGUAUAAGAUACUAUAGAAGUUCUUUGAGAUCCUGAUAUUUACGGAACUUUUGUUUUACAAGAAACUGAUUGAUAUUUGCAGUAGCUGUCCUUCUUUACUUUUGUUCUAAUGAAAGUAUGUAUUAAAAUUCACAUCUUGUUCUUUACAUUUAAUUUUCUAUACAGAAGUUGAAAAAUGAAGGCCUUUUAUUUUGUUAUGCUUGGAAAAUAGUUCCUUUUCCUCCCUGCAAUAUUCCUUCACAAUAGCCUAUAGGGUUAAAGUUAACCAGUGGGAGUAUAGGAAAAUUGGAAUGGGCUACUUUAUGUUUGGGAAAAAUAAAUCCUUGAGGAUGGGAAGCAUUUGUACUCCUUCGAUGGCAGAUGAGGAUGAUUUGCAUUUAGUCAAUGUCAAAAUUUCUCCUCUUAUCCAUCUUUGAACUGUGUAUGGGGUUGGAAUCCACCUGUUCUCCUUAUUAUUGUGUAUAGAAGAAUUUUCUUAAUUGAGUUUGAUAAUGUUGUAGGUGGCAACAUGUAACUUCCCAACUAUUAAGGAUGCAGCAGAUGUAGCUAUUGCUACUAUGCUGUCUGGCAUACAGGUGUGGCUUAAUCUGCAAACUUAGUUCACAUAUCCAAUUCCUUCAAAGUUCAUAGAUUUUAUAAUACUUAAUAGGUGUCAAGGGUGGAGCUCCUGGAUGAAGUUCAAGUGAGGGCUGUCAAUAUUGCUAAUGGGAAGAACUUGCCUGAACUUCCAACUUUGAUGUUUGAAUUUAUAGGCACUCGUGAGAUGAUAUCACUUUUCGCUUUUAACACAUUUCUUUAAUUAAUGGCCAUUUAUUUGAACUUUUUCUUCAGUAUUUUAAGAAUCUACUGUACCUCAUAUAUGUACAGAUUUCAAACUGGCAAGACAAAGCAUGAGCAAUCUCACAUUUUAUGCUUUUUUUCCGCUCAUUAUCUAUAUCGUCAGUAGCUUCCAGCAAAAGGCGUAUUUCAAAAGUUGUCUUCAUUUUACCAGUGCUAACUUUUCUAAUAAAUUCUGUUUACACCUUCUUAGAGGCAUAUUCACAUGAGCAGACACUAAUUGUUCAGAAGAUUGUGUCUGAGCACAAUGGUACUGAUUUUAUUUUUGCGGAAGAUCCUGAAGCUAAAAAGGAACUCUGGAAGGUAGUGAAUCUGAUUUCUUCAAAAUUGUCUGCGUUCUGCUUGAAUUUUGUUUGAAAUCCGGGAUCUUAGCUCUUACAUUCAUGUUUUCUGAAUGUGUUUGAGCUUUUUUCUCCUUUUUAGGGGCUUGCCUUCUCCUUCAUUUAAAAUCUAUCAUAGUAUAAUAUUUUAAUUUCAAAUUAAUAUUCUCAAACUGUUCAUCAGCUUUCUAAUAUACAUAAAUGAUCAUUUUGUUAAUACGCUAAAACUGUAUGAGUCGAUGUAUAUUAUUUGUAUGUAAAAGUUUUAACUGUAGAUUGAUUUUUGGAUUUUAUUAAAAAAGUUCAUUUACUUAUAAGUAUUUUCCAAGGGAUUAAUUUAUUCAUUUUCAUACAUCUAUAAUUUCAAUUUUUUUUUUGGCUUAUUAUAACCUCUCCUGGAGCUUUAUUUAUUCAUUCAGAAUAGAAAAUUCAAUUUUAUUGGUUGAAAGAGACCUAGAUUUAUGGAUUCUUAACAUUUCUACUGAGUGCAUAAACAUGUCCUUACAUGGGCAUCCAUAGAACAUACAUGUAUACAUGGUAAAUAGCUAUCGAGUUGAAUGGCCUUAGCUGACGCAUUAAUCCAUAUGAGAUGUCAGAUCAUUAUUCAAAUUCUCGAACCCAUCUUGUAAUCUUGAUCUAUCUAAUCAGUUUGCUGCUCAUGCCGUGCAUGUUGGGUCUUGUUUUGUUGGCAUAAAUUGGUCUGCAUUGGUUUUCUGAGUUGUAUUUCUCUUUGCAUUGUGUGAUCUUUGGCAGAUGAGAAAGGAGGCACUCUGGGCUUGCUUUGCAAUGGAGCCGAGUUUUGAAGCAAUGAUUUCUGUGAGUAUGAUGUUAACAAACUUAUAAAUGAUAAUUUCAAAAUAUGCUGACAGUUGCACUUUUUAUUCUAAACCAUAUCUAUUUUAACAAUCUCUGGACUUGCUACUCAAGUGUGUCGAAGCUGAAUUAGGACAAACUUUACUAGAUCAAUUUUGUUACCUGUUUUUGCAGAUUUGUUGCUAGGGAUAAUAGCAUCCGAAACCCCAAAAUGCUGACAAAAUGACAAGGACAUAGUUUGCAAUUAAUUUUUCACAUGGGUCCUAGUGAGUGCUAUCAGAUUAUGUUAAGAAUACAUCAGUGAAAUCAAUAAUUUGACUGUUAUACUCUUAGGUCGUUAUUUAAUUUCAAAUACUAUGGUAGCAUCAACUCUAAGGUUGCCCAGGUUUGAGAGGACCUUACUACAUCAUUAAAAUCAAUAAUUUGACUGUUAUACUCCUGAAAUAAGCUUGUCUAUUUUCCAAUUUUUAGGGAUAUAACAGUUGAAUCCUUGAUUUUAUUGACCAAAUCUGAGGGUGGGAACUGUAAUGAAAAGAUAUUUAAAUUGUGUCAUUGUGAUUUUUUUGCCACUUCCUUGAGCUAAAGCCGCCCCCCCCCCCCAACCAACAAAACACAGUUUGAUUUUUGAUUCUUCGAUAGUCUGACGAGAGAAAAAUAACAAGAAAUUUUUUGAGAAAUGAAGCAUAUUUAGCAUUUUCUUUUAAAUCCUUCCACUCUUCUGGGAGUUAUACAGAUUAUUAAUCUCUGUUGUUUGGUCUUACACAUAAAUUUCAUAAAUUUCUUUCUUUUCCUUGAUGUUUCUGGAAAAUUGCAAAAGUCAUCUUGAUAAUUUCCAACACAUACAAUCUUAAAUUGGUGGUUAGUUAAUUUAUAAGUAUUAGUUCCUGUGUUCUUUAGUUAGUUAAUUUAUAAGUAUUAGUUCCUUUGUUCUUUAGUUACACUUUAUUUUCUCUUCCUUAUUUUGCUUGAGAGCCCUCUUUGCCAAUCUUUCUUUUGUCCAGGAUGUAUGUGUUCCUCUUUCUUGCCUGGCAGAGUUGAUAUCAAGGUCAAAGAAAGAGCUUGAUGCAUCACCACUGAUUUGGUAAUUUCAGAAUGAUUGUUUGCAGGUUAAAACAUUUUAUGUUUCUUUGUCAGCACGGGCAAGUGAACUGAUGCUUGUAUUUCUUAUGCCCUAUUUCAUACUACGCAGCACUGUAAUUGCUCAUGCCGGUGAUGGUAACUUUCACACGGUGAUACUAUUUGAUCCGAGCAAAGAAGAGGACCGCCAGGAAGCAGAACGGUUAAAUCGAUUCAUGGUCCAUACUGCCUUGUCGAUGGAAGGUACAUAUGAUAUUUGACUUUUUUUAUUAAUUGAGACUACAGGUUGUGGUGUUCAAUAUCUCCUCAUAACAUGCAGCUGUUUAGUUAGCGGAAAAGGCAUUUAGUUUAAGUAUAAUCUGUUGCAUGUCAAUGGAAAAGAUAUAGGUACUCGUACAAAUGUUACAAUGCUGAACCAAUUGCGGCGCUAAAACUGGUUUCUCUGAUUUCACUGUUGAGCAGGAACAUGUACUGGUGAGCAUGGUAUUGGGACAGGGAAAAUGAAGGUAUUUUCAAUCUUUCCUGCUAGAAUUGUGCCGCGUAUCAUGCGAGUUACUCGGAUGUGACUUUAAUAGUUAAAUAGAUUAAAAAGUCAAUUCCAUGACCAGAGUUGGUGGUGCCUACCACUGGUUUAUAUCAUCAAUAUUAGCUGUAGAUGCAUUGACUUUAUAAUGACAACUAAUUUAAUUUCACUUCGGGUGUUGAUCAAAAGUUUUAUUCUCACGAUUUACAGUCUGAGAAUAUCAAAAUCUAAAAUGUGUUGUGCACAGUUGGUGAUCAUCUCAACAUGCUGUUAAAAAUGAUGGGUUUUUCUUGAUGUUUCCAGUAUCUAGAAAAGGAGCUAGGCACUGGAGCAUUGGAGACGAUGAAAAGAAUCAAAGUAGCACUAGACCCCAACAACAUCAUGAAUCCGGGAAAGCUAAUUCCACCACAUAUUUGUUUCUAAAUAUUGUUGCGUAGAUUGGUCUCAAAGGGUUAAAGCUGCUACACGUGCUCUUUUGUGAAAGGAUUUGCAAUUCAUUGGAGGAUCCUUAGCCUGUCUGUGGCAUUUAGAGUUAUUAAUGCUGCUUACGCUCGCAAGAUUUACUUUGAUUGCAAAAGAGAAAAAAUGGGGCAAGGUAAGUGGCUAUCUUAUCAUUGAUUAGAAACAAAGAUUCCCCAUUUUGUUUAAAAUGGUUGCUUGAAAUUUGCCCUCUCAGUAUUCUAAUUGAUUGUAAUCUAUCAAUCUAUUUUCUGUUCCCUCUAUUCUGCAUUCCAAAUAAACUCUAAAUUAGAAUGGAAAAAAUCAUGUGUUGAUAAAGAGAAACACGAGGAAUAAAUCAAAUUUACUUUCAAUAUUGAUCUUGUUCAGCUUCCUUUUCAUUUCCUUUCUUUUUCGGUGCAAUAAUAUGGCUUUGGUGAUUGUAAAUGAGAGUUUAUUUAAACGGCCUAACAAAGCUAAGCAUAAAAUCAAAUGGGCUAUUGUGCAUUCACUUCAGCUUUGAAAUGCCAAUCCUAGCUGAUGUUUUUGGUUGGUUUGGUUGUUAAUGUUGGCAUUGGGAAUUCUUCUUUUGGUCCUUCUACGAGUGCCUUUAACAUCUUGUAACAUCAUAGAUUAGAAUACAUUGCAUAAGUGCAUACUUUAAGGCCUUGUAACAGUAUCUUCAACAAAUUCAUCACUACAGUCUAGAGCGUAGCUCAUGCCUUUUGUCAGAAACUGAGAAGGCACUAAACCUAAAGGCUACUGCCUAGUGAGGCAUGAAAUGAUGGAUGAAAUGAAAAGGCACCCCACGUUUGAGCACCCAGAUUUAAAAGUGAUAAAUUUUGAUUGAGGAUGCAAACAAAGCAAGAGUUGGGACAAAUUUCAAGUCUCUGUUGAGUAUAUGUAAGAGCUUUAAAAAGUAUUUUGUUUGCUUGUAUGAGAUCUUAAAGGUUUCAAGAUUGUUCUAUUACUAGGAAUCAAUUUUUGACUCCUAAAUCUUGUUUGGAAGUGAUAAAUUCCAUUUUGUGAAAUUGUGGAAUUGAGCAUCAAUUAAAAAAGCCUAGGAAUUAGGGUUUAGUGUUGGGCCCAUUUCUUCGCUCUAGUGAUCUUACCAUUUCCUAAGAGGCAUGGCAGGCAAAACUUGAAAAUGGACACUUUCAAAUGGGGUUUCAAUGCAUUAGAUAUCAAAUCAUUUGUGGACGGUAGAAAGAUACAUUUUAGUUGACUAUUUUUUUCAUUUCUGCAACUAGUUAGUGAGGCCUCUCUCAUCUUCAAUACAAAGUUCAUUAAGUUUGGUCCUUAAAAAAAUUUGAUCACUACAACAUUACUGAUGCAGCGUGAUUUUACAAAAUAAUGCUCUGUAAUAAAAUUGAUGCAGUGAAAGGAUAAAUUGAUGCAACAAAAGAAUAAAAGAUGUAGGGUGAUGAUAGAUAGAUAGUGAUAUUUUCAAUAUUCUAUUGAUUCUUGAGAAAACAUAAAUAAAUAAAAAAAGUUAAAUCCACGUUGAUUUAAAGAAUGCCCGCGAAUUUAGAGUGUUAAAAUUUGUUGAUUUCGUAAAAUAUCGAGAAAUAAUAAGAGGAGUAGAAUUCAAAGUAAAAGUUUAUUCUAAAAAAUAAUCAAUAACGAAUAAUCAAGGAGGUCUUGUAAAAAAAUAUUUAUUUAUACUAACCAUUUUAAGAUGACUCAUUUGACUAGAGAACUUAUUUUAAUAAAUAAUGACUAAACAACAAAAUUCUAAAUAAAUAAUUAAAUUAAAUUAGAAUACAAAUUAAUUAAAAUAUUCUUAAAUAUUAUAACUUUCAAUUUGAUUAGGAUUUUUUUUUUUUUUCAAUUUCUUCGGAUGAAUCACUCAUGCCAUCAUUAUUAGCAAAGCAAAUUCCCAAAACCUGGUGGGCACUGAACAGUCCAAACUCUAAAGUUUCUGCAGAUUAAGACAAAAUAAAUUAUGACUGAGGAUGAUAACAAAUUAACAAAAUGUAAGGACAAAUUCCAAGUCUCUGUCGGUUAAAUACAUGUGGUGGGAGUUUUAAUGCAUAUGCAAAAAAACUUAAAAGGUUUCAUCAAGAUUGUUGUAUUACUAGGAUUCGAUUUUUAUGCCUAAAUCUUAUCUGAAAGUGAUAGAUUCCAUUUGUGAAAUUAAUGGAUUGAUGAUGAAUUGCAUUGCAAAUGCAUGCAUUGAUUUUGGCAUUCAAUUACAAUGUUGAAUUUUCAAUGCAAUUACGCGUGAUUGUAAUAUGAAAUAAAAUCAGUGUCACUUCGUAUCUCGAUUGCGGACACAACUUUGUAGCCAUUCCCUUUGUCUGUGAUCAACAAUGAAAAAAUUUUAACUAUGGUAAUUAUAAUCUCAAAAUCAAUGUGUAAGUGUGGAGUUGAAAUUUUACCAAUUACGGCCUAACCAAAUACCGAAGAUUGAGCUCUUAUUUUCAACUAUUUUUCUAAAAUUGUAAAUGUGGAGAAUCAUGGCCAUAGCUGUGGACCAAAACUUUUUAAGAAUCAGACAUUAUUUUGUUGGUUGUCCUCCAAUUAAUUGAAAAAAGUUUUGGCAACCUCCCAAAGAACAAUUUUCUUUCGGGAGAAUCGAUUAUCGGUUGCCCACGUUUCAUAAAUUUGGUGCAUUGUUUGACCAAUUUCUUAAUGAUUUGCAAUUCUGUUACUACUUUAAGUACUCCAUUAUAAGUGUUUGAUUAAUUUCAAAGAGAAGAAAGCAACAUCUUUUUAUUAGAUUCUCAUUCUGUCGUUCACAUGCCCAUUUAAUUACUUUUGAUGUUGCCUUCAAGAAAAUAAAAAAGUUACUUUUAUUGAAUUAUGGCUCAUAGCUAGGUGCAGGAUAUAUAUAUUUAUAUAUAUUAACUUUUUAAUAUUGGAUUCUAAAUGUGGGUUAUUCGUGUCAUUAUUGUAUAUGUUAAGAAACACAAUUUGAUGUAGAGUAAUAUAAUUUUAAGGGAAAAAGAUUCCAAGAUCUCCAAGAUUUAUUAAAAUAUAUAUAAGAGACAAACUGCUCAUUAUAUCAAAUUUGCUAGCUUCUUGAAAAACAAUCCAUUAUUAUUUUUUUAAAAAGAUUUUUAAAAGUUUCUUUUAGACAUACUGGGCGCAAUUCACUUUCAAAUUAGCCCCACAUUUAGAUGAGGGGCAACGUGUGGGAGUGUCUUGAAAAAAAUAUAUUGGCUAAUAGAACUUAAACUAUGUUUCAAAGGUUGAUCAUCUCCUCAUUGUUUACUAACCUCGCCGGCUAGCUUUUUGGUCUUUAAAUUCCUUAACUUUACGACACAUUUUCCUUGUAUUUGAUAUUAUUUCAUUUGAAGAUAUUUUUAGAUGCUUACAAAUGAUUUUUUAAUUGACAAGAUUGACACUUAGUUUCCUAUCAUAUUUCUUAUUUUCGUCCUUAUUUUUUUCCCGAAUUACCAUCAAUACUCUAAUGUUAUAAUUUUAUCGAUUGGCUGUUUAAGAAUAAACCUAACUUUGAUUAACCUACGAAUCUUCUUACAUUUUCACAACCACUUCUCAUAAUAUUAGAUUGACUGGGAGAUUAUGAUAGUAAAAGAGCCUAAAAUAGGUCUCUUCAUUAUUUCUUUAACAUGGGGAAUAUAGUAGGCAAUCAAAAAUAAAUUAAGACCAACAAGCUUGUAGAUUAGCUGGCACAUGGCUGUUCUAAGUUAACCAAAGUUUUCGGUUCGAACCUUGGAAAUGCAGCUGCGUUAAAUACUUAUUGGGAGAACUUUGCCACCCUAAUGGUCCUACCCGGCUUGAAUCUGGAUUAGUCGAGGCCCAAUGUAAUUUUCGGAUACCAAAUGGUUUAAUACACAAAAAAAAAAUUAAGGACAUAAAUGACAAAAGUGAAAAACAAUAGAGACCUAAUUAUCAUCUUUUUCCAUUAGUAAUUGGUCUACAGUAGAGAAAAAGUCCAAUCAAAUAUGCAAAAUGUAGAAUAUGUAAUAUAUCCAAUUACCCAUUUUCUUUUCUCAUUUGUGAUAAGUGAGAUCCUUCUGGAUUAAGGCUAUUCUGGUAUGUACGUAUGGCAGAAAUCAGCACUAUUGUAAGAUUGUAUAUGUAUGACAAGAAUCAAGACUAUUAUAUGCAUGUUGAAAGAUCAAGGUAAAGUUGCUGUGCAUUCCCAUUAGCAUUACCGAUGAGCUGCUCCCUCCCCCGGUUCACAGCUUCCGUGGAGCACUUGCCUGCAUGUUGAAAGAUCAAUACCAUAAUAACUAGCUAACACACACAAAUGGCAAGAAGCAGUGAAGCACAACGACAAAAUGGAGCUACAAGGAUGAUAGAGUGACCCUAAACAAUAGAAAGUAGGAUGUGUACAUGUUUGUGAAAAACCAAUAAACAACACAUCUUAGUUAACUAUUUAGAUCCACUACUCAUCUUGCCUUCUUGAGAUCCACAAAUUGGUGAUUGAUAGAAGCAAUAACAAUAAAUUAAAUACAUCUAGUUACACCAUACAUGAUACGGUGUAUGUUUUGCUAGAUUCUUAAUAAAGACAAGCAGAGCAAACGAGUAGACAAUUCAUUUCCCUCGAGUAAACCUCUAAAGUUAAGGAAAACAUCAACAUCUUUGGAACAAGAAAGACUUAAUGCCCUUACAAAAGCACCUGGCUCACCAUGUAGACCAUCACAGAGUCCAUAUAAAUUAGCAAAGCGCGUCACCCUUGUCAUGGUUGUCUCCAAAAGCGUGAGUACCGCCAAAAUUCAUUAAACAAAAUCGUUGGAAUAUUCAUCUCAAUUAUUAAUGUUUGUUCCUUCUACCAGUUCAAGAUACUUGAAUGUAUAAAAUGCUUUAUCGCAAUAAAUUCAGUCAAUAUUAUUUCCGCCGCCCUAAUUUGAGCUUCUGAUAAUUAGUUGGUAAUUUGACCGUAAUAUGAACAAUAAUGUAGACUUGGCACCAAAAAACUCCAAUCCAAUUAAACUGACAUCAUCAACCAUACUGUGGCCACCACCAACCUCAUCUAUGGUUGGUAUUCACAAUAAAAAGAUAAACACUACAAAAUUACAAAUAUACCCUCAAUCAUCAACAAUAUCUCCACCCUCACCCCUCGCUUCCUCUUUGUCUAUAUAACAGGCACGCUCCCCCUUAACUGAUUGCCACAAGAACAAAACAACUCUCUCAGCAAAACCACCAGAGAUUUUCUUUCUUUCUUAUUAUUAAUUUUUUUUUUUUUUUAUUUAAAGAAAAGACAAAUGGGUUCUCUUGAUCCUCAAGUUAUUGAAGACUUGGGGAAAGGGGUCAUUCAACUACUGAGCGAUGGCACCGUACUGAGGUCCAACAAUAUAGAUUUUGAUUACCCUUUAGACAAGAAUGACGGCUCUGUCUUGAUCAAAGACUGUCAAUACGAUGAAAAACAUCAACUGCAUCUCCGUAUGUACAAACCCCCUUCAAUAAUAACAUCCUCUAGGAAGCUUCCUAUUGUCGUAUUCAUUCACGGGGGAGGCUUUUGCGUCGGCUCACGUGCAUGGCCAAGCUCUCACAACUGUUGCAUGCGCCUGGCGACCGGGCUCAACGCUCUUGUUGUUGCCCUAGACUACAGGUUGGCGCCGGAGCACCGUCUCCCGGCUGCCAUGGAAGAUGCUUUUAGCGCCAUGAAAUGGCUCCAAGAUCAGGCUCUGAGUGAGAAGGUCGUUGACGAUGAAUGGUUCCAUGAUGUUGAGUUUGACAGAGUCUUUGUGCUGGGAGAUUCCUCCGGGGGGAAUAUUGCUCAUCAUCUGGCAGUUCGGCUCGGCGGCGGCGGCGGUUUUGAAGAGUUGGCGCCUGUUAGGGUUCGAGGGUAUGUGCUGUUGGCGCCAUUCUUUGGUGGGGUGGCGAGGACCAAGUCUGAGGCAGGGCCAAGUGAGGAGCAUUUGACUCUCGCUAUACUCGACAGGUACAAUGUUUUCCCUCUCCAUUUAGUGAGCGUUAUGGAUGAAUUUGGAUCCGUUCUCAUGUAAUUAUAAUCCGAGUUAUGCAUAUCUUUAUAUAUAUAUAUAUAUAUAUAUAUAUAUAUAUAUAUAUAUAUAUUUUGACGCAUACAUUUAAAACAGAGGACAGUUAAAACCAACAACAUUAGAUCUAAAUUUAUUUGAGGUUGCCGUUUUGUCAUAAAACAACAUGUUUAUUCUUUCAGAAUGAAGCCGAGGUAUAACCGUUAUAAAUUAAUUACAGAUACUCUAAUUGAAGUUUUCUGAUCAUUUUUUAAAUAACGGAAUAUUCUGUUCCUUUUUUUCAAUAUUCUAUGCAUUAUGCAGGAUUUUGCAACCGCAUGCGAAUUUGUUCUUUUUUUUUUUUUAAAUUGCGUCUUUCAUAAAUGUUUACAAACGAUGCUGUUUAGAUUUUAUAUUUUCAAAUUUAAAAAAUAUGAUUCUGGAAAUGAGAAUCGAGAAAAAGCUUUCAGAAGUAAUAUUUUCGUUGUUCAAACACUAAAUUUUAAAGCUUAAAGCAGUUGAACCACACUUUUUAUGCAUUUUUCCAUAGUUUUUCAAAUUUUAAAAUUUUUAAUUGGAACAUUUACAUAUAUAUAAUGCGAGGAAUCUCUUUUUUUUUUUUUUUUUCUAUGCAGAAAUACUUUUAAGUCAUGCCGUUUAAGAGAGUAAGUUUUUAAUGUUAUUAAACCACAUAAUUUUAUAAUUCAUUUAAAAAUAAGUCUAUUAAACCUCACAAUUUAAGAGCGUGUUAUUAAGACACCCGCACAUAAGAAUUAUAGACACACCACGAGCAAGGCAACAGCCAUAACUUGUUUGGAUUCCCUUUUUUAAUAGAAACAAAAUACAUACCCACAAUUUAUGUGAGUCCACUAAUUUUUGGAACUCGACACAUCAAUUUUUUUCCAAAUUGUGUGAAGAUGACGUGUCCAUUUUAGUAAAAACGUUCUGGCCUUUUAUUCGUACAUGCAUAAAUGUGGUUCCACUAUAUAUACGUGAUAUCACUCUCGUGAAAAUGGCUUUCCACAUAUACGAUUCCACUAAAUAAUUAAUUUAAUUUGUGUUCUCACUUGAGACAUUUUAAUGAUUAGUUUACAUUUUCUUUAACAUUAUUCCUUGAAUUGACCUCACAUGAUCAAGAACUAAUAGAUAGACAUAUAUAGUGCUUAGCUAUUGAGUAUUUCUCUUGUAAUGAUAAUUUAUUUGAAAUAUUAUAGUUGUAUGAAGGAAAGAAAAAUUUACAGCUAUAAAAUCAUACCAAAUAAAAUAAUAAUGCAACUACAAAAUUUUAACAACUUUAUUACAUUGACAUAUUUGAAUCAUAUAAUAAUAAUAAUAAUAAUAAACCACUUCUCUUACGAAGGAGUUCAAGUAGUUAUAAAGAAAGUUCAUAAAACACACACACACACACACACACACACACACAUAUACACACAAAAAAUAAAAAAAACUUAUAUUAUAUGAGAAAGAUUUCAAAUCCCUUGUAUAUUGGAACAACCUCUAAAUUAAAAAUCAGUUUACAAACAAAAUAUAAUUUUAAUAUAAUAAUAAUAACACAUAAUUCAAUAAUAAAUUCAUACAGGUACGUGGAAAACAACUUGUAUCAUAAAAAAAAAAAAAAAAAAACAACGACAAAAGAAUAAUUUAAACUAUUUUUCCAUUUUUAUUCUCAUGCGUUGUGUUAAAAAUUCAUAUAACACAUCAAAAUAUUAACGUGGGGGUUCCUAUCAAUAAAAAGUAGCUUUUUGAGAAAACGCCUUCCUUUGCCUGCCUGUUACUGGGGUCACAAAUAAUCGAAGCAAUUUGUCAUUGCCUAUAAAGAAAUUGCAAAUUUGAAAUUUAUAUGAGCUAAAAAGUUGGCCACUAGAGGACAAGUUAAAUUAGCCAACUAGAAAACUAACCUGUAACCUCCAUGACCAUUUGAAAAGUCCAUGAAAGGACAUUUCUUUACUUUUGCCAAUUUGCAAUUUGAUCCCACGAAUUGGUCACCCUUUAAUCCUGCCUAAAUUCAGAAAUUAAAAUUAAACAUAAUCACAAACGCCAAAAAAGACAAAAAUAAAUAAAUAAACAAAUGAGAGUUAAGGGAGAGUUAUACAGGUCAAAUGGAAUUAAACUGAAUUAAACCACUUGGCUUUUCUUGAGUUGUUCUCUUUCUCUCCUUGAAAAAAAUCUUCCCACGUUUGUGAAACUUUUUACAAUCAUUAUCUACCUGAUAGUCUCCUUUGGCUAAUAAUUACCAAUCCUGAUGAUUAUUUCAACUUUUUUUAUUCUUAAUCAACUGAUUUAAGUGUGCAACUAGGACAAUUAAAUUUCUCCAAAACUCUUAUCCACUUUAAUAAGCAGUUAUGUUGGAUUAGCUAAAGAAAUAUGGCCUGGACUAAUGAACAUCGUUCAUUUUAUAACUAUCUCAUGUUUAGCACAGAAAAAGUCUUGUGAUGAUAAACGCAAAAGUUAACUCUCUUAAUAAUCGAUAUUACUUUUAAGAUAGUGCUCAGUCCAUUAAUUUUAUUAAUAUCGACUUCCCAUCAUCACCCAAAAUCAUUUGAGAUAGUGCCUUAUCCAAAACUAUCUUCCUCUUGGUCUUAUACAAAAAAGGUGAAUCCAAUAUCUGAGUAGAUAUAACUCACAAAAAUUUUAUGACCUAUAUGAUAUUAGCGUGAUUGAAAUUCGAUUUUAAAAUCUCUUAUACUAUUUCAAAAGAUUCUACCAAUACAAUCAAUUAGUACCGGCAGAUGAUCAUUUGAUGUAGUUUUCUUAUAUAUAUUUGUUUAAUGCUUGGCAGCUUUUGGAGGCUAUCAUUACCAAUUGGAGUAACUAGAGACCAUCCAUAUGCAAACCCUUUUGGCCCCAAGAGCCCUAGCCUUGAAGCAGUAAGCCUUGAUCCGGUGUUGGUAGUUGCCGGCGAAAAGGAACUAUUGAAAGAUAGGGCUAAAGACUAUGCAAGAAAAUUAAAAGAUAUGGGGAAGAAUAUUCACUAUGUUGAGUUUGAAGGAAAAGAACACGGUUUCUUUAAUAAUAAGCCAUCCUCAAAAGCUGGCAAUGAAUUCCUUCAAAUCGUCGGAAAUUUCAUGUCCGAAAACUCAGCCUAGUCCUGACAAUCAAUCUUUCUUGAUUAUUAUAUAUAAUCAUAUAUAGCUGCCUGGAGUUGCAUGCAUGGAUUAGUGAUCUCUAUUAUUAUGAGUGUUAAGUUUAAUUCGUAUGCUUAGUUCGUUUUUAGAAAUAUUUUGAAGUUGUGUUAGCUUUAAGUGUAUUUGGAUCAUGGACGAUGAAUGUACUAUUUUAGUUUCUAUUCUCUCUUUUAUAAUGUGACUUAAAAGAAAAAUUCAUCGACUUAUUGAGGUUCACUGUAAUUAAUUAUUUCUUUUGGUAAGUGAUGUCCUGUAUUUGGCCUUGAAAAGACAAUUUGCAUGAGGCAUUAGGGCAUUAUUAUCACUUCAAUAAUUGUAGAUUAGACACCAUAAUCUAAGGCUGCAAUUUUAAGUAGGUUUUUUUGUGGCUUAGCAUUUAUGGAAAUUAGUGCGUAAGCACUUAGAUUAUUUAAGCUGGCAAGUAACUAAAUUAAUUUGUUUCUAUAAAUUAAAAACAUAGAGCAUUUGGUGUCAUAGUGUGAUUCUUGCUUAGGGUGCCAGAGGUCCCGAGUGCAAUUCCCGGAAUGCCCCCAAAUUAUUAUCAAUCAACGAGUCAACGACCUAACUUUUGGUUUAGUUUCUGUACAAUAUUCUCGUUAAUAUGCUGUUUGUGGUUGUUAAUUCAAAAUUAUAUAUAAGUCCGUAUAUGGACUAUGGACUGAGCAUAUAUAUAUAUAGGUUUCUUUGACAGUGAAAAAGUUUGUAUAAAAAAUAAUAUUUCAAAAAUAAAUGAACAAAGAAAAAAUUGUAAAAUAUUGUUGCUGAAUCAUUCAAACAGAAACCCAAGGGUCGCAGAAAAAAAGUCCUGCUUUAAUGGUUGUGAGUAAUGUUUAAAGGGGUAUUCUUCAUGGAUGACGAUAAUCUUUAAAGGGGUAUUCUGUUAUGACCUUAUAACUUGAAAUUUUGGUUAAUUUUAAAAUUUUUGGAAUUUUAUUAUCAUUUAUCAUUUAAGGAGAAACUUUAGGGUAUAUCGUCAUUAUAUUGCCUCAUCCCGUAUAACAAACAGUCCAAUAAAUUUCUUUAAUCGGAUAUUUAUGCGUUCACAUUAAUGUUUUUUUUUUUUCUCCAAAGAGAUAAAAUUUCUAUUCUUAAAAUCAAACCCUAGUUUGAAUUGCCUCACCCAGUACUUAUACACAGCACAUAAAAACCCUACUCUAAUUUUUCUUUCUCCAUAUUUUUUUUCCCUCACUCAGCGAACUUUAAAUAGGUAACACUCAAUUUUCUCAAACCCUAAUGCUGUUUCAAUUUCUUAUUCUCAAUCAUUUUGAUUAUGAGUUUGUGAAUAGGUAAGAAUGGCCACGGCGUCGACGGCGAAGGCAACUUCAGCGACAGCAGCGCCAAAACAGGCCCAUCAGGAUUCAUCUCAGCCGCAUUAUGAUGUAAAGCUAUUUAAUAGAUGGACUUUCGAGGAUGUUAGCGUUAAGUUUCCACAUUUUUUUUCUUUUUUACAUUACCGCUUCAUUUUUCUUUAAUACUAUGAUCUUUAUGUAUAUAAUAACAUAGAGUGAGGUUUUUGUUAUGAUUAUACUCUAGAGAUGUCUUGAUUUUUAUUUUUAUUUUGGGUACGUGUAGAUCUUUGGAUUCGGAUUCAAAUUUAAUCUGCAAAGUAUCCCCUAAAACUUGAGAGGAAAUAUUCUAAUAAACUUAUGUUGAUUGAAUUUUUUUUCAAUAUGAAUUUUUUUAAAUUAACCUCUCUUAGUUGUGAACGACUUGAAUCUGGAACAAAUUUUUAAGAUAUGUGAGGGUGAAUGAAGGAUUUAUAAAUGAAUGAAUGAAAGUGUCAUUGAAUUUUGUUUAUCCCGAUCUGCCACGCUAAAAUCUAGAUAGAAUCCAAUAAUAAUAUUUAAAAUGAAUGUUAACAUUCUCGAUGCAGACCACCCAUCAACUCUCUUUAUUAAGAGUUAUAGCACAAAUUUUAUCAUUCAACAACUCUCUCUGUACACAAAAUUUGUCGAUUAAUAAUUUAUACUUUUAAAUUAUUUGAUUUUGACUUUUUGUAAAUCUCAGUGAUUUUGAUUUUUUUGUAAAUCUCAAUCUAUAGGUGAGCGACAUGUCCUUGAAUGAUUACAUUGGAGUCCAAGCACCAAAGAAUGCAACCUAUGUACCUCACACAGCUGGGAGGUACUCAGUGAAGCGGUUUAGGAAGGCACAGUGCCCAAUUGUUGAGAGGCUCACAAACUCACUGAUGAUGCAUGGACGAAACAAUGGCAAGAAAUUGAUGGCCGUCAGGAUUGUCAAGCACGCCAUGGAAAUCAUUCACCUUUUGACUGACCAGAACCCAAUUCAAGUCAUUGUUGAUGCUGUCAUCAACAGGUACUAGUUUUUUUUUUUUUUUUCUCCCAUAUAUGUUGCAUGAAUUUAUAUUUCAUUAAUUAUGGC
Molecule: long non-coding RNA, 108258 nt
Filed under: Citrus maxima (pomelo)
Lineage: Eukaryota; Viridiplantae; Streptophyta; Magnoliopsida; Sapindales; Rutaceae
Description: long non-coding RNA (CMAX_LNC002838)
Rfam family: tRNA (bases 43173-43246)
Source: RNAcentral